RNAcentral lists this long non-coding RNA (89924 nucleotides) under Cucumis sativus (cucumber). Its description in RNAcentral is "long non-coding RNA (CSAT_LNC002902)". Lineage: Eukaryota; Viridiplantae; Streptophyta; Magnoliopsida; Cucurbitales; Cucurbitaceae. The record is from RNAcentral.
AUCCCUAACCUUGGAAUCUCAUUGUUCUCUGUGAAACGAAAUUGAAUGAGUGCUUCCAUGGCGUUAGCGCCAAGCUUAAAUCACAGCCCCAGGUUUCCACCAUGGAACGGAUCAAAGAUCGUGGCCUGCUCAAACUCAAUCAACCCUCCGAUAAAUUCCACCAGUUUCCAAUCAUCCUCCGUCGCGAAACGCUGCUUACGGUGCCAUACCGUUUACUCGGAUGUCGAUAAUUCUCCUUCCGCUUGCGUCUUCCAUGGCCACAUCACUGGUUCGUAACGUACACUCGAAAUUUUAAAAUUAGGUCUUAGAUGUUUUUCCGAAGAGUGGGGAUUCGUCUUCACAGUUUUUAUAUUCUUUUGAGAAAAGCUUAUAUUGAGGUUGAAAUAGUACGUGAAUCUGGUUUUAUUAAUAGGGGAGAGGGGGUUGUUUGCUUUGUCGCCCCCGCACCAGGGGAUUGACGGUGAAUGGAGUGACGGCUCCGGUGUGAUCGUUUAUAAAUGGAAUGAUAAAUCAAAUCGUCCUAACUCCGGAACUGGCAACUGGAAGAGACGGUGGAGUUGUUGCUCCGAGUACGAUGAACGUGCACCUCCUUGCCGUCGGGGAUGGCACGUUUCUUACGACGAUGGGUUCACUUUGUAUUAAUAGAAUAGAGUGUCGUCUCUGCCAAUAAUUAAUGGCAUUUGUAUAAACCGUAAGAUUGAUGGCAUUCGUAAAUUGCUUGAAUGUUAUAAGAAGUGUAUUGUAAAGUGUAAAUUGCUGGGAUGUUAUGAAAAUUAUAUUACAAACAGAUUUCAAAUACACGCUCCAAACAUUGAAUCUCAAUCAUGUUACAUUACAAAAAUAAUCUCAAUACAGGCAUCAAACCUAAAUUAGGCAUGUAAGGUUGAUCAACCUUGCAUGAAGUAAAGAUGUGAACAUCUAAGCUAAUGUUGUGAAGUUUUAAUCAAAUUUGAGUAACGUUCAAAUUCGCAACUAACAAAUUAAACAUUAGCAUAUAUUUAAUUAAAACUUGCUAAAUUUACACAAGUCAUCUUCCAAAAACAUUAGAUUGUAUGAACAAAAUUCUCAUAAAACAGAGACGAGAGAGAUGAGUGUGAAUGGUGAAAAAAAGCAUCCGAUUCUCAUCAUUCAAGAAUAAGCAUAUAUAUAUAUGUGUGUGCAUAACAACAAAUUCAUACACUCUCCGAUCAAAUCUCCGGUGACGCCACAAAAGCUGCCUAAUACGAUCCCACCGUCUUGAACGAAUCAUGAACAUGCCGGAGCAUAUCCUGGUCCCGAUUCCACUCCGGCGUCGGCGCAUUCACAAAAUGAGCAUACAGCUUGUUCUUUGCACAAGUCACCGAGAUCAAACUAUGAGUUCCGGCGCCGUCGAUCUCGUACACAUAAUAAACCUGUCCAUUCUCAUCCUUCUUCUCUUCCGCCAAGAAGCUCUCGGCGCUCGCGAUUUGAUCCUGCAAAUUCACGUCCGAUAGAGCCAGGUUAUUCAGAAUCACAUCCUUCGGCCCUAAUUGCCGGAUUCCAGCCAGGAAAGUUAGGUAUUCUUUCUCUGAUCGUUUCUUCGGAUUGUAAAAUUCACUAUCGGUUCCGUUGGUACCUGCGGAAAUUAGUAGGUAGAAUUAAUUUUCGGAACGAAUUGAGCUAUUAGAUAUCUUUAAUUUAGGGAUUUUGGAGUACCUUUUUCGACUUUGGAUACUAAUCGCUCUUUCCAUCCUUCCGGCACGUCGUAGAUGUAUUCUGCUGUGUCUUUCUUGUUGGCGUUGCCACCAAGGCCACCGUAGUUGGCGGCGCUGGCGGCAGUGCCAUAGUAGACAUUGAAAGCGGCCCCGGUAUCGGCGAGGGAGGGUGUAGCGGUGCUAAGGAUCGCGGCUACGGCGAUGGCAGUGGCUGCGAUGGAGAUUGGGGCAGUUGAUGAAAGUGGAGGUUUGGAUUGGAGAAUGGGAAUUUGGGGCUUUGGUAACGAUGAAGCUUGCGGUGGUUUUGGGGCGGUUGUGCCGGUGGAGGUUAAGAACGCCAAUGGCGCGAUUGCUGUGGCCAUAGUGAUUGAUUUUCGUGGAUUUGGGCUUCUGGUGUAUCUCCUCGAACAGGAUUUUCUCCUUAUCCAUUCUUUUUCUAUUUUCCUUUAUUUUUCUAAAUCGUUUUUUUUAUUUUUUGAAUUUAUGUACUUUUUUUUCUAUUUUUGUAGAAUCCCAUUUAACUUUAUAACUAACCCCUAAUUUAUGUCUUUACUCUCUUCUAUGGCUUGCUCACGUUGAUGAUAUCACAUCACGACGAAUUAAGUUUUUCUUUUUCUUCAUGGUUAUUAAAUUUUGUUUUUACAUUCACCAAAUUGAAUUUAAAAUCCAUUUAAUAUAACAUUAAUUAACUAUUUGUUAAAUUUAGAUAAAUACAAGCAAAAGUCAAAAGCUUGAUGAAACAACUAAUUAAUAUACGAGCAUAUGUGGAUUGAGUAGUAGGUGUGGAUGAGAGAUUGUUAAAAGAGAAUUGUGAGGAAGUAGUAUAGUGGCGGAAGCUAACCACCUACUUUUCUUCCAUCUGCGAGCCCAUUAUCCAUGAUCCCGCAACUACUCUACACUUUGGGUAUUAUCCCACGAUCAUAACCUACUCAUGAGUAAUUAUCUACGUUUCGAGCAUAACUCAACUCUCACACUAACAAAGGUAAUCCCCAUUACGUGUCAAGGAGUUAAUGUCUCCAAUAAAAAAUAAAAGAAAAAUAAUUAAAUGUAGCUUGGACAUCACAUACAUCUCACAUAUUAUCUAAUUUACGUAUUAUCUGGAGUUGGAGAGUAGAAAGGUGAUCCUAAUUUAGAGAGAUUGUUUUUUAAAAAGAAAAAUAGAGUAGAGAAGUGGAGGUUGAAAACUCCGCCAUGUAUAUUUACGUAUUAACUCUUCUAACAAAAAAGAAAUGUAACGGUCACUAUUCUUACCUAAACGGACAAAGAAACCCAACCAAUUAGAUAUUUUAAAGCCAUCAAAUAAAAAAUAAGCUUAUUACAAAAAUGCCCUCGAAUUCACCAUGCAAUCUCCCUUUUCCGGGCAGGGGUAUUUCGGGAAUUAUCCCUAAAAUGAAUGGCCAAUGGUUAUAUUGCAUACUGACCGCCAAAAAAGCCCUAGGUACAGCCGUACAGGCGCGAGCCAUAGCUUUUUCUUUUUCCCUUCUCCGAUUGAAUUAUGCACUCCCUUCAUUUCCUUCAUUUCUCUUCCUCUUUUCAUUUCCCUCCACUACCUAUAUCUUUUUCAAAUCUUCUCUCACUUCUUUAAUCAAUCAAAAUUUUUCAUUUCUUUUUCUUUCCUUUUUAUUUCAUUUCAAUCCGUUUCUCUUCUUUCGAUCGCCAUGUCUAAAAGGUCAGUUUCUCGCUUUGACUAUGCUUCUUUAUACGUUCUUGUUGAUAUUGUCUCUUGUUUUUCAUGAGUUUUGAUGAUUGGAUUAUGGGUUCCGAUAAUCGCUUCUUGAUAUUGUUUUUUUCAUCAUGGUUCUUUGGUAUCUUGGUUUUGUUUAUUAGGUUUUGGGCUAUUUCGACGGGAUGGGUUCUUUAACGUUUGGAAUUUACGUUUCAUGAAAAGUCCUUUUGUGGGGUUGUUAUUGAUGCGUUUAUUUGAACUUUGACUUGUUGUUCGUACGGGUGUUAAUUUACUUUGCUGGUUUGUUUAGGGUCUUAUGCAAGUAUUUUGCGCAUGGAGCUUGUUUAAAAGGGGAAUAUUGUGAGUUUUCUCAUGACUGGACGGCUCCACCAAGCAAUGUAAAUAUUACUUUCUCUCCUCUGUGUUGCCAUAUACUAUAAUGGUGUUCAGACUAUUGUUUCUUUCUGAUGCAUCGUCCAUAACAGGUUUGUACUUAUUAUCAAAAGGGAAGGUGUGCUUUUGGCAGUCGAUGCAGAUAUGAUCAUGUUAAAGUUUCUCACGCCGAAUCAUGUUCGAAUGUUCAGCAAUCUCAUGGGUCUGAAUCUGUUUCUGUAGCUCAUUCUCAAUUGUCAAGGCCACUUUCUCCCUUUUCUGGAUCUACAAGCGAGCUUGCUAGUUCAGAGAUACCCAGUCUUCCCUUGCGCGAAGAAGCUGCUUGGAGUGGAGAGUUUGUGCGUCCAGACGGUCUUGAUGAUUGGGUGAAUGGGGAGGCAAGGGUUGUUGGUCCAGCUGAUAUACCUAUUUGUUCUUUUGCUGCGGCUGGUGGUGACUGUCCGCGUGGUGAAAAUUGUCCUCAUAUUCAUGGGGACUUAUGUCCUACAUGUGGAAAACAGUGUUUACAUCCUUUUAGGACGGAUGAAAGGGAGGAGCACUUGAAGGCAUGUGAGAAAAAGCAAAAACAUCUAGAGUCUUUGAAACAUAGUCAAGACAUAGAGUGCAGUGUUUGCCUGGAGCGUGUGCUUUCUAAAACCGAAACAGCAGAGAGGAAGUUUGGGAUUCUAUCAGAAUGUGAUCAUCCAUUUUGCAUUUCUUGUAUUAGAAACUGGCGCAAUAGUUCAUCUACCUCUGGAAUGGAUAUUAAUAGUGCCUUAAGAGCCUGCCCAAUUUGUAGAAAGUUGUCAUACUUUGUCAUUCCAAGUGUCAUUUGGUAUUCUUCAAAGGAAGAAAAGCAAGAGAUUGUUGAUAGCUACAAGUCAAGGCUGCGGUAAAUUUAUGUUCUUUUAUUUCUAAUUUGUGAAUGCAUUAUGGAAACUGUUCAAUUGCUUUCCAUUAUGUUCACGUUUUCUGCUUCCCUUUUGUUAUGUUUUGUUUUGUGUGCGUGUGUGUGUUUAUAUAUAUAUAGAUUUAUUUAUUUAUUUAUCAAACUCAAUUUAGUAAAUUGAAGUUAUUACAUAUCAAAUGUAAUUGUACGAACUAUUAUUUAGAGAAUGGAAACUGCAUAACUACUAAAGUAAACUGCAUAACUGCUAUUAUUUGAGAUGAUUUCGCUACUCUAAUCUGUGAGUUUUUAUCAUUUUCAUAUUCAGAUCAAUAGAUUGCAAGCACUUCAACUUUGGAAAUGGGAACUGUCCUUUUGGAUCCAGCUGCUUUUACAAGGUAAGUUUACCUCUGAAAGCAGUCACUUCAGUUUCCUUAUCCUAAUUGUACUCUUUCAAGCAUGAUGGAUGUUUUUGUACCGCCUUUUGUGUUGUGAGGACUUUCCUAUUUUCCUGAAUUUUUAUUGUUCUUCAUUUUCUUUUCAUUAUGCCCUUGUCCAAAUUGUUUUCUUUACCUUUUUUAUUGAUCAUUGAUAUGCAGCCUGCUGAAUGAAAAUCUCGACCUGUUUGGUUUUGCUAAUCUGCAUACGCCCUAGGAUAUCUGUUAAAUAGUACAUGCUUGCCUACUGGACAUGAGUUUACUAGAAGAAAUCCUUUUUGAGAUCUGAAUAUGGAUAUCUAGUAUAAUGGAAUAUUCUUUUAUCCUAAUUAUUUUCCGUUGGUUUCAUAAGCACCCCCAUCUGCCAUGGCUAUCCAAUCAUGGCUGGUUAGAUAAGGCUCAAUCAUACUCACAUGACUUUUUUUAAUUAAUUUAUUUAAAAAAUGAUAGUUCUGUUUGAGGGGUGGCUAAGAAUUUAAAAGCGCUUUUAAAAUGUGUGAGCUAAUUUUUUUACUUUACUUGAAUUUUUUAAUAACCAUCUUCUUCAUUUUUCUAUUUAAAUUUUAAGAAUGUUUAAAAAAUCUAAACCUACAUUUGAAACAGAAAAAAAUCCCCAAGAACUAUCAUUUUGUUUUUAAAUUUUGGUUGAGAAUCUUCAAGUGUUCUGAACCCCUAUUUGAAACCAUUUCAUUUUUUUUGUUUUUGUUUUUGUUUUUUUAAAUUAAGCUUGCACACACCGUUUUUAUCUAUGGGUUUUAUUAUGUAAUCUACUUUUUAUGAGUUUUAAAAACCAAGCUAUGUUUUGAAAACAAACUUGUUUUUGUAUUGAGAUUCAACCUUUCAUUGGUCUGAUUUGGAAGUCGCAUAUAUUUCUAGGAGAUAUGAAGACCACUAUGGAGAAAUGAUGUGAAAAGAAGCUAAUUUUUCAUUAACUAGAAACCAAAUGGUUAUCAAAUAGGGCCUAAAAAUAUAAAUUAGGAAACGAUCAGCAAUCUUGCUUAAUAUUUGCAAUUACUUUUGUCAUCCCUCUUCGAUAAUUUCUAUGGCUCAAUUCAGGUACAAAGUGAUGUGCUGACUACUUUGCCUGGUUGGCUCUGCCACCUCUAUGUAGUUGUAGUAGUGUAGUAAUUUAGUCUUAGUUAAAUUCCUAGUAAGAAAAAAUUAUAUAUUUUGGACACCGAGAUUGUGUUGCUAGACCUGCUACAAUUGAUUGAUGGGAUCCCUCUGAUUCAAAUUAAUAAUAAGUUAUAUUCCUACAGACUAACAGGUGUUUGAUUUGAAAGUGUUAUCAUGGGAAAAUAAAUGUAGUUUAGGACUGUAGCAAGGCUGGCGGGACCUCUCCUAAACUGCAAUCUGUUAAUCUAUAUAUAUACUUCAUUUGCCAGUCCUCUGCGCUCGUCUAUUUUAGAAAGAACAAAUGCAACUGCUGUGUCACAUCUUCUUCAUCUCAUAUGAGUGUUGCAAUCUCAACAACCCUUAUAUUUUUUGGUGACGUGUCAUAGGUGUCACAUAAGCAGUGCUGUUGCUGUUCAUUUUCAAUCAGUUUUUGUGGUAGAUGUUGAAAGAUGUGAUUCAUAGUGGAUUUUAUCUUCAGAUCUAUUCGCAUUCUGUUUGUCAUUUAAUUUCAUUAGAGCAGAUUGGCUUUCCAAUGAUACAAUGUUUGUUGUGUUCCAGCAUUUGGUCAUUCCUGGUUCAUACACAUGGAAAUAUCACAGGCCACCUCCACGCCAACCACAAUCAUGGAGAACUCCUCCAAGCAGAUCUAAUAUUGUCGAUAUGGAUGCCUUUUUUGAAAUGUUCGAAGACUUGGAGGAUUUGGAUUUUAGUGAUGAAGAUUUAGAUUUUGAAUAUUUAACACUUUUGGAGAUGGCACUAAUGCAGUUGGGUUGUGAAGCUAACUCGUCAAGUGAUGAAGAGUCAUAGUUCUUGGGCUACAGUUUUCUUCUUAGGUUGUUGUAACCUGAUUUAUGUUGGGUGUUUGGCGAGUUUCUUCUAGUCUUGCCAAAAAACUUUGAAUAUUUGCUUCUCUGGCAUUUUUGGCCACCUAGCAGUGCUUUUGUGCAGUAAGAUAAGCUUGUAGACUUUUUUAAUUAUCAUAAAUGCCAUGUUAAUGGGGACUCGUACUUUGCAAAAGGCAACAGUCAUUUGUCCUGGGGAAAAUUAGUUACCAAGUUAUCAAGAUGACGAUGGUCUAUUUAUGGAAGAACCUUUUCUUUGCGUAGAUUAUAAUAUGGCUUCUUAAGUGUUGUAUUUUACUACUGGGAAUUAGGAAUAUCUGCUACAGCUAUCUUCUUCGUUCCUAGAUUUUACGGAGAGUUCCAUUUCUAACCCUCUUGCUUACCAAAACCAAUUGUGUGCUCCUUAUGUUGAUCCUUAACAGAUUGGUUGUUUAUUAUCCCAGUAUGCUGGUAAUUUGAAGUGAAUGUUCGAUUAAUAUGUUCUAUUAUCUAUGAAGUAGUUUUUCCCAUAUGUGGACUUUUGCACACGAUGAUUGUUUUUUGAAUGAAGCCUUAUCUGUUUGCAACUGGGACGUGUGUUGCUUCUUUACUUUCAUUCUUGUAUGCAUUUUUUUUUGUGACUAGCUGUAUUAACUUCAAAAUGAGAGUCAAAUUUUCAAUGUGAUUUUCUCACUGCAGCAUGCACAUCGGGAUGGUCGGUUGGAAGAGAUAGCUCUGCGUCAUAUUGGGAAUGAAGAUGGUCUCACUGUUAUAGCUAAAAAUCUUAGGUCUUGAUUUGUGCAUUGCUUUAUAUUGACCAUUUAUUGUGCAUCUUUUACCUUAUAAAUUUGAAGCUAUUUUCAGGUUGUCGGACUUUCUCAGUGACUUGCAUAUCAGGUGAAGAAUCCUUCAUUCAGGUAUGGAACACACUAACCACUCAUCCUUUGACCCUGAGGUUGAAAGUUCAUACUUUAUGCCAACUUUUGCUAUCUAUUAAAUAUUUCGCAUUUUAAUAUGAUUAAUCAUUUGCCUUUAUGGAUGGGGUAAACUUCAAUAAUUAACCUUGAAAAUAUCAAUUGAAACUCAACAUUUAUAUUAGAAACAGAGCGAAUUAAUCUUCUGGCACUGUCGCUAUCACUAUAUUUCAACACUUCUCUGGCUCUAAAGAGUCCAUGAAACGCUAAACUCUUUGCAUUUUGUAUUUAUCUUGAGUUACAAUAUAUUUCACCUGUCAUUUAAAUAUCUUUUUUAUUGUUGGUCUUCGUUAACACUUGCAAUGUAAUCGAAGAGUUUGAAAAACCCAUUUCAGAUGUCGAAUUGCUUGGUCUGAAGGUCUGAUAUUGAGAAAUGGAAGGUGGGGGUAUCGAACACGGUGCUUCAAACUUUGUGUUCUACAAUAUCAAAAUAAAGCUAAAGACAUUUAUGUCAUAGUGAGAAAUGAAUGUUGGAAACCCAAGCUUGUUCUUCCAAUGAUAUGGUGAAAUAAAGAAUCAUAACAUUCACAUCUCACAUGUUGAAUUUCAGCUGAAUAAUAUGUAUGGGUUCUACAAGUUGUACUAAACAACUGGAAAGUCACAGAAUGUAUUUUGGUUUGGUAUUUUAAAAGAAAGAUAUGUGGGAAUGUCAAUGUUGUAUUUUGUUUUAUACAGAAACAAGUAGAAAAAAAAAAGUAGCAUCAGGAUUUGCCUUCGGAUGAGACUUAGUACUCAUCAAAUUUACAAUAAAAAAAACUGUGAUUUUUUUUCUUCUUUUUAUUGUCAUUUUCAUUAUCAUUCUCUCUUUCUGUUAGUGAUGAUUUGUUGUAUUAGUCAAAUAUUGUUUCCUUCUUUCUCACCUGAAUGAAUCAAAAUACUUGUACAAUUAAUAUAUGUUUCUAGAUGGUUAUUUUUUGCUAUAUUUGUCAACAUCUCCGUAAGUUUUGUCAUUUUUUGAAUAAUUUAUAAGUAUUAGUUUAGUCAUUUUAUCAUGUGAUUACAAAGUCUUAUUUAUCAUUAGCUUUACUCGCACAUCCGACUGUAGUUAUCACCUUUAAAUUUGUGAUGAGGUCGUUACAUAACGAGUUUUAUAUAAUUUGUAAGAAAUAUUUAAAAUAAAUUGAGAUUGCAACCACAUAUUUUUUUUUAUUUUUCAAAGAUGAAAAGAGUUUGUGAAAGCAAUUUGAGGUUACGGUCUUUCAUAAUUUAGUUCGAAUUUCAAAGAUGCUGUUGGCUUGUAAUAAUCUUUCAAAUAUAAAGUCUCGAUUACUUUUCUUUCUUGCCUUCAAAAUUCUUCGGAUAUUGUUAAUUAUAAAGUAUGCAUUCACACUUUAAUUUAUUCAUACUAUUUCAUUUCUAAUUUUGAGCAUUUCUUUGUCAUUUAAUUUUAUGCCAUUCAAUUUCGAUUUCUCAUUUUGAAAAUCUUAGCAAUGUUUUGGAGUAUACGUUACUUUUCUAAACAUGAGGCCAUUCUUUCUAAAAAAUUUAGGGUUGGCGAGUUAUAUAAACAAUUAAUGUUAUGUAGAUGUUUACUUUUAAUUAGAACCUAGAGCUAUAUAAUUAAUUAUUACUCGUUAACAAAAUAUCUUAUUAAUUAUGUGUAUGUAUUUUCCUUGGAAAAUUAAUAAGAGAAGGGAUUGAUAAAAAAUAAAAUAAAAAUAAAAAUACAAGUUGUUGUUUCAUUGUUUUGAGUAAAUAUGCAAAAUAAUUUUAAAUGACUUUAACUAACUAAUUAAUCAAAAUACAUUCAAAUAUCAGUUUUAUAUAUUCUUAUUAUAUUUUGGAUUUUGUUUAUGCAAUUUCAUUAUCUAAUAUAUGUUUAAAUGUAUUCUCAUGCAUAAAAAUUUAAAAAGAUAAAUAAAAAAGUUGGAAGGAAAAUUAAGUAAAAAUCUUCAUAGUUGAAUUAUUUAUUUUAAACAUUAUGAAGGAAUUUCAAUCAAUUUAUUUUGUGUAUAACUUAUUUUAUUUGGUCGUACGAAAAAGAAAAAGAAAAUUAAAUAGUUAACAAUUUAGUAGUAUUAUUUAAGAAAAUGAUGUUUUUUAACCUACUUUUAUUUAAACACUCUCGAUAAAAUAAAAGUUUGCUUCAUUUGUUAUUUUUGACAACUCACCUUUUUAUUAUAUAGGAAGUCUUUUUAAUUAAUUUCAAAUUACUAUAAAUCAAGAAUUUAUUGGUGGAGGUGAUGGCCGGAGUUGGUCAACAGUCAUUUAGAAAUGUAAUUAAAGGUCGGUUGAUGGAUCCUUAGAAAUGACAACUAUAGUCUAAGGUUGGCCACCGAAGAUCAUCAAAUACAUUGUUAGAGAUUGGUAGAAGUUAGAAGGCAACGCUAGAAAAUUGGAGAGAAAUUAAGCUUUAAAACAUUCAAAAUAAUUCAUUUGUCCAUAAACCAACUUAUUUUGUAAGCUCAUUCUCUAUUUCAUGUUUAGGUGGUUGUCAUUCUUUUUCGAAACAACUUACCCUUUUAGUUAAAAAAUAUUUACACGUACAACAAAUAAUCUAAAAUUCUAUAUAUAUAUAUAUAUAUUUCCUAAAAAAAUAAAAUAAUUAAGUUUGUAACAAAAUUACGUCAACAUUAGAUUAGGGUAUAUGAUUUUCGUGCUCUCCUAUUAAAGAUGCAAAUCAUUAAUUUAAAGGCAAACAAAUUUGUCGUAUUAAUUAAAUAUAUUUGUUCUUAUACAAAUACACUUUUUUGAACAAUAAUUCAACCUUUACCUCUCAAUCCAAUUCAUUCCAUAAAAACAAAAACAAAAACUCUAAAUCCAAAUUCCUAAUUUGAAAAUUUGACCAAUUAACCUUAAUUGGAAAAAAUGGGGAGGAAUAAUCCUAAAAAUAACCAUCUUUCACAAUUACUGUUCAUAUUAAUUACAACGUUUCUUUGUACCAUUUUUUUGCCAAUUGGUUAAAACAUCGUUUUUUUUUUAAUUUAUUGGUUCAAUUUCAUUUCCGAUGGGUUCAAUAGAUCUUGAUAGUUUAAUGUUCAUUUAAAUUUUUUCAUCUAAAACAUGUUCAUCCAUUGUAUGACAUAAUUAAACCUAUUAUUGUUAUUGUUGUUGUUAUUUAUUUAAUCAAUUAAUGAAAAGGAAGAAACUAAAUUUAAAUGAUUAAUGACAUUAUAAUAUGUGUAAUCACUGACUUUGAAGUCCCAAAUUGAAACAGAAAGAAGAAGACACAACACCCUAUUUUUAUUGAAUAAAUCACACUAAAUUAAAAAAUAAUAAUCAUACAGCAAAAACAGAUCACUAACAACAAUGAAUCAUACAGUAAAGAGAUUCUAGAGAAUCUCCAUUUUAUUUUCCGAUCAAACUAACCUCUAAAUAUAAAAAUGAUAAUUAAUUAAUUAAUUAAUGUAUAUGAAUUAACAAUCCACAUUCGAUUUAAUUUAGAGCUUUAAGAGUGCAGGAAGAGAGAAGAAGAAGGAAGCAAAGAGCAGAGCCAUGGAGGUCGCAACAGGCAGGGACGACGCUGCUCCUCGGUCGAGCCCUGGCGCCGGCGCUGGAGCUUCCUGAGCGGAAACGAGGGCGGAGAAGAGAGCAACGAGGGCGAGGAAGACGACGGGGGAGAUCUUGGAAAUGGCCAUUGAAAUGAGGAAAGAAGAGAAGAGUAGAGGAGAAAGAAGAAUUGUGCGGGGGAAUAAUUAUGAUUUUUACUAUGUGAGGGGAGAGGUUAUUUAUAGUGAGGGGCAGGAUGGCGCGUGGAACCCACUGGGAUUAAGCGUCCAAUGAGGUGACGAAAAGUCGCGUGAGAAUUGUGGUCACGUGGAGGGUACGUGGAAUAUAAAAAUUGUAGACAAAUAAUAAAAUUCUUUACGUUUCGUACUACUAAUUGAUUAAUUAAUUCAAAUCCAUACCUAAGUCAGUAAUAGUAAUUAACUGUCUUAGUGACCAUCGUUUGUAUUUACGUGGAGGUUUAGGUUGAGUUGGUUCAAGAGAAUACUCAUUUUUAUAAUACAAUUUUCGUACAUAGGAUACACCUAUUUACCUACGUACUUUUAGAAAAAAAAAGACUAUUAAAACAGUAUGAUUCUAGAAAUUUUAAAUUUUUACUAAAGACACUUUGCCAAACAUUGUUUUUGUUUUCUUUAAAUAUGAUUCGGUUGAUUGAGUUGGUCAUAUGAGGGGAUUGUAGAAGUUGGCUAUCAAAGGUUGUUACCAUGAAUUUGAUUAUAAGAGGUGGUUAUUUGUCCAAAAUGGUCAUUUGAGAUGAGUGUCGGUGUUGGCUAUUACAAGUGGUUGUCUCACCAUAUAGUUAAUCAUUAAAGGUGGUUUUCGCCAAAGUUGUUGGAACUCGAAAGUGGUCGUUGGAGUGUACCAAUAUAAUCGUAUUAAGGAAUGGAAGGUCUACAAAUAAAAUGAGUGAAAACAUUAAAGAGUAACGGUUGAAUCGGUUAAAGUAAGAAAUUUCACUGUAGCAAAGUUUGAAGUGGAUGGAAAAAACCAUAAAAGUAGGUUUGUGUGUAGAAGGAGAAAACAACAAAAGAGGGAGAGAAGUUUGAAUUGAGGAAGAAAAGAAAGAAAACGCGGCGUUAGUUCAAAGGCAAUGCGCGGAGGGCAAAGUUGAGAUUUUAAAUUGGGUGGGGGAUGGGAGCUUUGAAGUUUGUUCAACCAAAACAGACGAAACGGCCAAGUGUGCUUUCCCCCCUCUUUUCUUCACUUCGAAUUCAUCUUUCUUUUUUCCUUUUAGUAGGUUUGUGUGUAUGUCUGACCUUCUUUCUUCUACUUUCCUCCAAAACGUAACCCCUUUUCACAUCUGACUUGGGACAAAUAUACAAUUCCUUUCCCUCUUCCACAAUUUUCAAUCUGUCUAAUUAAUUUAUUUUUAUUUUCUGAGUUUCAAAACGUUAUAUUUUUAGUUUUGUUUAAAUUUGACUGCCAAGUGCGUCAGUGAGUCAUGGGGAAUAGUAAAGGGUCUUUUCCACCCACCACAUUCUUCUACUCCUUUGGUUUGCUCAACUUUUAAUUGGUGGUGUCUUCCUUGUGAAAGUUACUUCAAACCCAGCUUGGAUUUCUGAAGCUUUUAAUGUAAAAACAAAGUGUUUAAAAAUAUAAUUUUCAUAUCUUAAUUGUUUUGCUCUCAAAACCACCACUGUGAGAUCAAUUUCAGUCCUAAAUCAUUCUAAUUCAGUUGCUCUCCAGAGUUAAUACAUCCUCCAUUUAUAGGGUACUCAUAAAAAACAUAGAUAAAUGACUAAGAUAAAAUUGAAAAAAAGAUUAAUGUGUUCUCUUUUAAAGCCAACAUGACUGGAAAGCUUUUAAGAAAAAAUAAAUGAAUGAAAACUUUUUAUAUUAAUUUAAUAAUUAAUUCAAACAUGCUAUAACUAUUUUUUUUUUUACAUUAUGAUUGAUGCAACAUUGGUCUUUUCAGAUCAAUAACAAUAAUGUUACAUAAACUAACCUUAUACUAAUUACAUUUACUAUUUUCAUCUGACUUGUUGUGUCAACAUUAAACCAUUACUUAUAAAUUUAGGACAUAAUUUCCAAUCUUGUUUAAUCCAAUUCCUAAUCUUUAACACUUCAAUUCAUAUGUAAUAAAUAUUUUAAAUUUUGUUACUUUUUCUUUUGGUAAAGAUAUUGUAUUUAAAGCCUAAGAAAGAAAAAAUGAACAUGUAACGUUAAAAGUUGACAUAGGAGAAGCAAUUAAAGUACACUGAAAUUUCAUUUAAAGUUGCAUUCAAAUCUAAAGGGGAAGAAAAAAGAAUCCAAGUUGUUAAUUAUUUGGUAAAAUUUUGAAUCUGCAACCCCACCAUCCACAUAUCAUCAAACGGCCCACGUAAGACUCGCUCAAACCAAUUACUUAAUUCAUUUUAACCCAAAAUUAGCAUCUUAAUCUCACCUAUAAAUAAUCUCAAUUACCAUUCAUUAUUCCUCAGGCAGCAAUCCAUCAAUCAAUCAAUCAAUCAAUCAAUCAAAGGCUUCUUCGGUUCGAUCGCUCUCAUCUCCACCGGAAGUGAGUUUUCUGCCGAAGAAAGCCAAUUCGCUCAACCCCAUCCCAUCAUCCUCAAUGGAAAUGAAGAAGAUCGCCUGCGCUGCUCUUUUCGCCGCCGCUGCCAUCAGCGCUGCCGUGGCUGCCGAUGAGUCUCUCUCUCCCGGCGCUUCUCCCGCCGCUGCCCCGGGGCCGAGCAGUGCCGCCUCCGCCGCUCUCCCCGUUCUCGGUGCCUCAGUUGUUUCCUUUGUUGCUGCUUACUUCUUGAACUGAAGCCCCGUCAUGGAGAGGGAGAUCAAUUAUUUCAAAUUUUAUGUUUUUUUCUUUCUUUUUUCUUUCUUUAAUGUGUUUAUUUUCCAUGGAUGAUGUGAUGUGACGAAUUGAAAACAAUAAUAAUAAAAAGGGAAUCCGGAUUCUUUAUAUUGUUUAUUUUCCAAAUUAUGUUAUUCUCAAUCUAUAUUUAUUGUUGUUGCUUUAUAAACAACUUUGAUGAGAAAAUGUUAAUAGUUGGAUUAUAAAGUUUAUAGUAAAUUAAUCUCUAUACAUUAUACUUGAACCACAAUUACCCUUAACUAGUCUACACAUCAUAGCUAAGUUGCAUCAUAAUGGGUGAUUUUUGUUGCUUUUGAUUCAUGAUUAUAGUCAUGAGAUAAAGAUAUACUUAAUUAGGAGAAUAAGAAGUUUAAUAUUCUUUUUUUCUUCAAACAUUCUAUUAAGAAAAAUUAUUAUAAAUGGUAAAUUGGUGAAAAUAUUUACAUAUAAAAUAGUAGAUUUUAUCAAAAAUAUAUACAUGAUUGUUUGGAUAAUAAUAUAAGAAUAAUAUUAUUUAUAAAAUAAAUGAAACAGUAGUUUUAUUAAUUUUCAUCUACAGACAAAAGAAAGAAAGAAAUAUUUUUAAUAACAUUUGAAAGAGAAAAAAAAAAAAGAGCCUCUGUGUAAAAAUGGAAGAAAAAAAAGGUAUUUAAAAUAAAAAAUAGAGAGAAAAGUGAUUAAAUACAUAAUUAACGAAAAUAGUAUUUGAUAAUAAUAUCGAUUCUUUCUUUCUCUGUCUCUCUCUCUCACAAACAUUUCCAAGUUGAAAAUCAAUAACCCAAAAAUGGCCGCCAUUGUUACGCGCAGGUUAAGCUCCAACAUUUUCAGACCAUUUCUUCCUUCCACCUUUCUCAUUUCUCAAAUCCCUCACGAGCCCUUGACCCGAUUCCAUUCUCCACAUUCCGAUCCCUCGUUUCUGGGAUCUUCCCGACGAACAUCUCCUAACACUACGGUUGACCUCUUCAAUUCCAUUUCGAAAUCAAUCACUCACGAUUUACUGGUUCAGAAUAAAACCCUUAAUUUCAAUGACCCAAUUGGAUCUGGUUCUUAUUCGAUUAUGAAAUUGAGAAACCCUAGCUUCGUUUCCAUAUCGGAUUUCGAUCGGAAAUCCAGGUUUUCUACAACUUCCGAGAAGGAGAACGAGCAGAAACCGGAUGAUUUCAAGCACCAAGACAUCGAAGGGCCGACCGUGGAGAGAGAUCUAUCGGCGUUGGCUAAUGAAACCAGAGACGUGAUUGAAGCGAUGAUGAAGAAUGUAUACAGGCUAAGUAAAGCUAUGGCGGUUCUGGGUUUGGUUCAACUCGGCAUUGGGGCUUGGAUUUCGUAUAUAACCCGGGGUUCGCCGAUUACAGAAGUUUCAAUCCAGAGCUUUGUGGCGUUCGGGUUUCCUUUCUCGAUGGCGUUUAUUUUGCGACAGUCUUUGAAGCCGAUGAUGUUCUUCAAGAAAAUGGAGGAACAAGGUAGGUUGCAGAUUCUAACACUGAGUCUUCAGAUUGGUAAGAAUUUGAAUGCUCUGUUUGUUAGAGUACGAACUGUUUCUUUCUUAUGUGUAACUGGAUUGUCUGUUGGAAUUUUGUUUGCUUUGCUUUCCAGAUGAAUUCAUUUGAGUUUGAAAUUGUUGGAUUAUCUUAGUCAUAAUGAACAAAUGUUCUGUUCAUGUAAUGACCUGAAUUUUGAAAACAAUGAAGGUUAUUACACCACCUAUUUACAACACACAUACCAAUUAGAUCACGUUCAUGUUCACAUUUCAGCCUACCGUCUCGAUCCAAGAAGCUGUAUUAAAUUUGCCUUCACUUGUUUCUCGUGGGUAGUGUGUUUAAACCUUUGCAGUGCUAUCUAUUCGUUUUUAUGUGUUUGGUUAAUAGAUGAUUUAGGAAGCAGUAAUGUUUCCAACCACGUUUCAACCAUGAGAAGGUGCGAAAUUGACAAAGAAAAUAGUUGACAUCAUCUAACUGGCAUGUUAACAAGUAAAAUCCUUUUAUUCAAGAGAUGGAAUUGAUGUAAACAGAACAAAUUCUAUCCCUAAAUUUUGUCCAUUAACUUCUACGUCAUUUUUAAUUGGGUCAUCAUGCUAUUCUAGAGAGGUAUGAAAUAAAAAAAAACCAGUUCUAGACUUGUAGACAUCAGCAUCAAACUUGAAUGACUAAUUGCUUUUGGUAAAAAGUAAUUAUAAUAGAUAACAAUUUUAGUGGAGAUAGAAGUAUAUUGUUGAUAGACCCACAACAAACUUUAAAUUUAAUUGUAACCAAAAGAAAUUCACUUCUAGCUAUUCAAAUGAUCAAAUGAGAUGACUUACAUUUUUAAAGUUGAAUUACAAUACCUUCUCAAGGAAAAAAACUUACAAUUACAUUAAAUUUGGAGGUACUUAACUACCAGGGCAUGUAAAAAUAGAUAUAUAAAGAAAUAAAUCUCUCACAAAUAGAAUUUAGGAAGAAAAUAAAAUUGUUUCUAUCAAUUAAUAAAUAAAUAAAUCAAUCAAUAUAGACUAUUAUUUUGACUCAAUUUUAUUAAGAAUGAGCUCAAAAUCAGGCAUAAACAAAACGAAAAAUUAUAAUAGGGAAAGAGUAAAUACAUAAAAAGUAUGGAGGGGGGAUGAAUAUGAGAUUAGCGUUGGGUUUAAAUAUAUUGGAUAUAAAAUAACGUGUCAAUGAAGCAUGGAGUAAUAGAACAUAAGAAAGAGUAGAAUGGAGACACGUAACCCAAACCCCAUAAACGGGAUUUAUCGGAGCUUUUCUACCUCCAUCUCCUACACCCAGUUCUACAUAAACUCGCCACUCUCUUCAUUUUCAUUCCCCUAAUCUUUGUUUCUCUGACUUUUUCCAUUUUCAUCCAUCCAUAACUCUCCACGUAUAUCCCACAACCAGCCCUUAAGAACUCGUAACGUUUUUUGUUUUUAUUCUUUAUUUUUGGCCCACCAUUUGGACCCUCGAUUCCCCUAUAAAUGAGGAAUUCUAAUGUAAACAUUUGCUUUUUCUCUCCACCUUCGAAACCCCCCUUGCCUUUCUGAUCGUUGUAGGGUUAGUUUUCCCAAUUUCCUCUUCGUUUUCUUUUUUUUUUUUUUUUAAAAAUCUUUUCCUUCAUGUUUUUGCUUUUAAUCUUGUUCUUACCAUGUGGGUUUUUUCUGUUUUUUUCUUUUUUUCUAUCUUGUUGAUUUUCAGUGGAAGGAGGGGAGCGAAGAAUCCUCAUCUCGCUGGGAAUUUUAUGGUGUUUUUUUCUAUAAUCAUCGAUUACGCAGCGGUCGAAUAGAGCUUUCCCUCCUACACCCACCAACGAACAGGUUAGAAAUUAAGAAUUGAAGAAGGGUUUCUUUCUUUUCUCGAAUUUGAUUUGUGGGGUUCUUACCUUUUUUUUUUUUUUUUUUUUUGGCUUUCUGUUUGUUUCUUUUCGUAUUGAUUCGUCGUGAUUGUUUCUGGGUUAAGCGAUUGUGUUUUUGAAAGUGUUGAUGGUGUUGUUUUGUUGGUACUAACAGUGGUGAUUUUUUUUUUUUUGCUCAAAUUUCUCCUGCUAAUUUAGGGGGAUUUUUAAUCAAACUUGUGGGUGGGUGCAAUUUUAUGAUGGUUUUUCGGCGGAUGCUUGCAUUUUCUGAAGUUUUUGGACAAUACUAGCAAAUUUUUGCAUGUCUGGUUUUGUCUUAUCGACGAAUUUCACUUGUUGGCUCCCAAUUGUUUGUCAUGUUUUUUUUUUUAUUCUGUUGUUGAUCGAUCUCUCUUCCUUCUCUUUGCAUUGCGAUGUGAUGAACACCUCCUUUGGAGUGGAUUUUCGUUUUAGAAUAUAAUUGAGGUAUUUCUGUAUUUGAAUUACCAUUCUUUGAAGAAUUGUUUGAGUGAGUGGGUUUUUUCCCCCCCGUUUUUUUUUCUUUUUUUGUUUGCCUUAGGUUUCCAUUUUUGUUGAAUGGUUCUGGACUCCUAUUGAUUUAAUGGAAAGGAAUGAAUAACUCUCAAAGGGAGUGGAAAAGAAAACACCACAAACAACAAAUACAACCAUAUAUUAGUAGUCGUGCUGAUAAAUAAACAUUUAAGAACAAAUAACUUUUUCUGAAAAACUUAAAGAGCUUGCAAUUGAAUGAUGAAACAAUCGAUAAGGCCUUCACUAAACACUGAAAACCUUUGGCCACUUCAAACCUUCCAAAGACAACCAUGAAUGGAUCACCUGUCAUCAAAAGAAGCCUUUCGAAGGCAACAUGUUGCAAUGUUGUCAGUAAGAUUCUGAAAACCAAAUAGAUUAAUAGAUCAAAUCCACCGAUGUUUCAAACUCCAAAUCUUCAGAGCCAUUUCUACACAGGACUUCUUGAAAAAACCUUUUAGUUUUACGUGAACCUCUAUCCCAUUAAAAGAGAAGCUUUGGAAGAACCAUCACCGUCAAAAAAAAAACAAAGGUUCUCCUUAUGCAAGACAAUCCAAUUACCUAUUUUGACUGGAAAAGAUUGCUUCCCAUGCACAGCCACUGAAGUUAAGUCAUUUGGUACACCAACCAAAGUUAUAAUUUGAUCUCUCUAUGUAAGACAAGUGAAGCAACUUACUCAUGCAAGAUCUCGAGAUCUUUAGGCCCUACUACACACAUCGUUAGGAUAAAAUGAAUAAGAAAGUAACUCAAAAUUUUUGGAGUCAUUUGAAUGUGAAUUUCAUAAAGCAUUUGAUUUUCUUCUCAUCAUUUGGAUUGGAGUAUGGGUCAUAAUUCAAGCAGUGUCAAAGAUGUUUGGCUUUCAUAUGGACAAGUGCAACGACUUUUCCUGAUUAGGUCAAUGAGAGAAGAAUGUUAGAAGAAUGGGAUUAAAGAUGUAAACUAGAACCUGUGUGAACUGAGAAGCCAGUAUCCCUUUGGCUUUUCAGUUAAAGAUUGUAGUUAGUCGUUCUCCUUUUUCUUGAUGUGGAAUAGUAUCAUUACAGAUAACCAAUGAAUUAACAUAAUUUGCUUGAACGUUGCUUAACUAUAGUAUCUUUAACAUAUUUACCGUGGCUGAUGGACUAUUAUUUUACAAGAAAGGUAAGUAAUGGAGCAUAAAGAGACAGGAUGCCAAGCUCCUCCAGAAGCUCCCAAACUUUGUGCAAACAACUGUGGAUUUUUCGGAAGUGCUGCAACUAUGAACAUGUGUUCAAAAUGCCACAAGGACUUCAUCAUGAAGCAAGAGCAGGCCAAGCUUGCAGCAUCCUCGUUCGGUAACAUCGUGAAUUGUGGACCAAAUGACCAUGGCAAGAAGGCUGUUGUCACUUCUCCAACUAAGCUGGAAAUCGAACCAGCUGAAUCAUCCAUCAUUCCAACUCAAGCAACUUGUACUUCAUCAAAUGCAAGAAGCAUUGUAGAGAAGGUGAAAGAAAGCCCAAAUAGGUGCAGCAGCUGCAGGAAGCGCGUUGGUCUAACAGGGUUCAACUGCCGAUGUGGAAGCCUCUUCUGUGCAGUCCAUCGCUACUCUGAUAAACACAACUGCUCUUUUGAUUACCAGGCUGUUGGUCGGGAGGCAAUUGCAAAAGCAAACCCCGUGGUGAAGGCUGAAAAGCUGGACAAGAUAUGAUAGACCAGACCUAGGUGACCGAAAGACAAAACGAGGUGCAGCACCAAACCUAUGUUUUCUUUCUGUGUUUGAAUGAAAUCUAUUACGUUUUCGUGGUUGAUGUUUUUUUUGGUGAAAAGGGGGUUGUGUGCAAAGGUUUGUGAGGCAUGUCUGUUACUUGGAGGAGCAUAAUGUUGUGAGACAAUCCCACUGGAGAAACGGCAUCGAGUGUGAGGAGUGUGUGAUUGUAGGUUUUGCUUGUAAACCAGUCAGUUGUAUGGAUGGAUUAUGCUAUGCUUAAAUUUCUGCUGGUUGAUUUUGUCUCUUUUGGUGUGUUGAGCUUAAAUUAUGGUAAAAUAGAGUGAUGAAUUAUAUUUUUUUUUUAAAAAUAGUAACUUUUUAUGAUUGUCGAGAUCGACCAUGAUAAUGCUUCAUAAUAUUUGUUGGUUUGGCUCAAAGUGGUAGAAGGAGAAACAGACUGCAUUUAGAAGUUGUGUUGUAGUCAAGUUGAUGUCAUCGAAGGGCUGUUAGGAGUGGCAAGGCAAUUGAAAGUGGGUUUCAAUUUCAAGAUUAUGAAUUUUAGAAAACAAUUGUCACGUAAACAAAUUGCCAUGUAUGGGAAUUCAAUUACUUGUUUUCUUACAUGUUCUAAUAUAUCUUUUUUAAUCUUAGUUAAGAUUACAUUUAAAUUAUCUUAAAAAUAAAAAAGUAGAUAAUAAUUUAAGAAAGGUCAUGGACAUAGUUCAAAUCUCUACUUACAGAACUUGAAAAAAAAAAAGGUUAAUUAUAAAAUAACAUCAACAAUAAACAAAAAUAUAUAAAGAGUAGAGAUUUUUGAGUCAAACUCAAAUUUCGAAUUGAAAAAUCCAAAUGAAUGUCCAUGAUUUAGGUUGAACUAAUCUAACCUUUCUCUAAUAAUUGAGGUUUUUCGAGAUAAUGGAUUAUUUAAACAUUAUGUUAUCAUGAAGUUAGGUGUAUAUUUAUUCCACUCUGUCAUUUUUCACAGAUUCUGAAAAGAAGAACCAUAGAUAAAACAAUAAAUCAAUAAAACUUAACAGAAGAAAAAUCCCCCAAAAUUGGGAUGAAUUUGUUAGCCAUAACCAUAAAUAAAGAAAAAAAUAAUUGAAGUGGGAAGGGAAAGGAAAGGAAAGGGGAGGAGCUGAGCUGUGUAAACAGUAGUUGAUAUUUAGUGCAGAAACGACAUGUCGUAAUGGUAUGUCGGAGGGUGGGUAACGACACGCGUGGGUCAGUACUCAGCGGGCAAUUGGGUCACUUUGUGAUAAAGCGAUAGGGACGGUCCGGGCAGCAGUCCCGGUCACAGUUGGCGGCUUAAUUAUAAAUUAAACAAAGAAAGAAAAAAAAGGUGCAAACUUUGCUGCCUUUUGCGUUUACGUUCUCUGCUCCGUUUCUUUUCUUCCAAACCUCACCGUUUCAAUAUGAAUUCCCCGUUUUGCCCCCACAUUCUCUCCCCUCACUAUUCAUAAUUCAAAAAUGUAUAUAAUGGCUUCAGUAGACUAAUUCCAUACCACUUUUAAACUGCUUUUCCAUUAAUUCAUUCAUUCACUACUAAUUUCUCUCUAUAUAUUAUAGAUGAAUAAAAGUGAUUCUGUCCUUUUUAUUUAUUUAACACAAUUGUCCCCCACAUCUACUUUUGGUAUUGCAUAUUUUUACUUUUCAAACUUCUUGACUUGGUUCAUUUGAAUUGUUUUCAUAAAUAGCACAUCAAAUGCCUACUUGGAUUGGGUCUUUUAUUUAUUUUUUUCUCAUUAUUUCUAGACAUGACCAAAUCCCUCAAUAAUUCAUUCAUCCCUUCUUCUCGCAAUAAUGUUCAAAUAGUGAUUUCCAAUUUUGUCAAUUUUCUUUUUCUUUUUUCUUUUUUAAUUAUGAGAGUUACUGUAAUUUUUAUGGCUCCUUUUGUACUUGAUUCUGUUAGCAAAACAUUAAUAAAAGUGGUCAAUAUUAUUAUUAUUAUUAUAUUUAUCUCAGUUGUAAAUGUAAAAAUCAUAAUCAAUAUAUCAAACACAAUUAGUUAUUUAAUGUGACACUUAAACACAAUUGGAAAUACAAGAAAAAUCCAGCCAUGUGAGUGGGUAGAUUUUGCUACAAACCCGAUUGAUUUUUGUUUAAUAUCUACAUUUUCAAUUAUCCCAUUUUUUUAUUUCUACUUUCACUCCAUUUUAAUUAGUCUUUCAUACGGGUUCAGUGAUAAACAUGGAUAGUUGCUAAUAGAUAACGAUGUAUAUUAGUAAAAAUGAUAAAAUUUUAUUACAAUUUAUCAAUAUAUAACUAAGGUUGAUCAUGGAUCAAUCAAAAUCAUAUUUUUUUUCUUUUUACAAAAAUUGACCCCGGACCGACUAUAAUCAAUUUAGUAAAUAUUCAAACUGACAUUGAAAUCGAUGAGUAAGGAUCGAUUAGUUUUAUGUUUAGAAAUAAUUUUUUGAAAUUCUUAAUUUGAAACUUUUCGAAUCCGACUCUUGUUUUCCUAAUUGAUGGAGUUCAAUUUAGUCGGUCGACUCGAUUUUUUGGUCUAUCAUGCUCUCCCUUAAUAUAUAUCACUCCUGUUUUGCUAUGUUUGUAAAUAUUUUUAUCUAUUUUUCUAUGUUUGAACAGUUUUUUUUAUUGUUUAUUAAUGUUUUUGGUUUAAAUUUUUCAACUAUAUUUAUAUAUUACAUUUCCAAAAAUAGAAAUUAUUAUUAUUACUAUCUACUAAAUUAAAAAAAAUGUUGGAGGACUAAACUUACAAUUUAUUAAAAAUGUGAAGCUAAAAUUGAAUAUUUGAAAAUAUUGAGUGUAAGAAGAACAACGAAUUUUAACCAUAAUUACAUCAAUUAAUUAGACAUUAAGCUAAAUUAUCAUAAUAUAGAAAAUAAUUAUAGCAUAGCUUUAAAAAUAUGAAAAAUGGAAAUGAAAAAGAUAAAAAUCAAGAAAUUAGAAAGAAAAAGAAAAAAAAGGUAAUAAUAAUAAUCCGAAAGAAGAAAUUGAGGAACGUAAUUAAGCAACUAACGAUAAUGAGGAAGAACACGUCACAACCGAUUAAGAAGGCAAAGAAAAGUGGGAAGGGGUAAAAACGUAAAUCAAACAAAAAAAUAAAGGAUAUUUUAGUAAAGUAGGUAAAAGGAAAGAAAAAAAAAAUGUUCAAUACGCGUCUCUAUGAGGCCCAUAUUCCAUCGCCAUUACCGACCUUUCAAUCCCUUCAUAUUCCUUCCUUUCCAUCUUUCUCUCUCAUCCUCUCAAGAAAAACCCAACCCCUAAACCAAAUCUUCUCGUUCUUAUCAUCUCCCUUUGAAUCUCUCCGGGGAUUUUUUCUUCUUUUGUUUGAGGAUCCGAUCGGAAGCUAUGGCUCAGAGAACCGAGAAGGAGGAGACGGAGUUCAAAGUUCCCGAGACGAUCACGCUCUGCGUCAACAACUGCGGCCUUACAGGGAAUCCAACCACGAACAAUAUGUGUCAGAAGUGUUUUAAUGCCACGACCGCCACCGCAUCUAUGGCCAUCAAGUUUUCCGGUGAGAAAAGUCCGAGAUCUACUACUUCUCGCUCGCCUGAGAAAUUUCGCUUCGUUUCAGAGUCUAGGAGGAUUAUAACGGCGGCUGAUCGUCCCAAGCCUGACGAAUCCGCAAAACGAGAGGUGAAUCGUUGUUCUGGAUGUAGAAAACGCGUUGGAUUGACUGGAUUUAGAUGCCGAUGUGGUGACUUGUUCUGUGCGGAGCAUCGGUAUUCAGAUCGUCAUGAUUGUAGCUUCGAUUAUAAAGCGGCAGGUCGUGAGGCAAUCGCGAGGGAGAAUCCGGUGGUGAAAGCGGCGAAGAUCGUUAGAGUUUAAAUUCGUAGAUCGAUUGAUUACUAAAAAAGAAAAAGAGAAAAAAGAAUCCGAUGAUGAUGAAAUCUGUGCAAAAAAACCUUUGAGCUGAUUGUUAAAAAUUUUUCUUCAGAGUAUUGAGGAUUAAUUCCUCGAAAUAUCCUCUCAAUCAAAAAAAUUGAGAGAAGGAGAAAAAAAAAAUGGUUGAUGAAGAUGAUGAUGGUUGUGUUUUCUCAGAUAAUUAUGUUCUUAAUUUUAAUUUUAAUUUUAAUUUAUUAUUAUUAUUAUUAUAAAUUUUUUUGGUUUAAUCGAAAACGAAAAGAGAAGAUUAUCGAUUACUUGUUUGUGUUUGAAAAUGCCGAUGGCAUGUGAUGUAAAUUGGAGAAACUCUCGGGGUUUAAUUGGCAGCUUGAAAACCUUUCUAGUUUCCACCACCCGAAGAAACAAAAGAAAAGGAUGUAUUUAUUUAUUAUUAUUAUUAUUAUUCGAAUUUCAUUUUAUUUUCUUUUAAUUAUUAUAUCACGAUGGGGACAUUUGCGUAACCCACUUUCCUUUCGAAUUCAUUCAUCUACAUUCCAUAUUAUCAUAUCUUUCUUUUUAUAUUGACCCAAUGGAUAUUAUGUGCUCUUUCCUCUUCCAUUGACACUCUUUAUUACUUUACCUUCUUUAAUAACCUCUCUCUUUACGUUAGUUACUGCAGCAUCUUCCUUCAAAAGUUACCUUUUCCUUUUUCUUAAAGAAUAAUUAUUAUGGGAUGAGUUCAUAUUUGAGAAAUAUUAAAGAAAAACUAUGUAGAGGUUUAAAAAGAAGGCUUUAUGAUGGUAGAAUUGAAUUGAACUGAAUUUCAUGAAUGAUAUUCUUUGUUGGCUACAAAUAUGUGGGUGCGCCAUGUUUUAUUUCUAUUAUUUUCUUUUGAAGGACAACACUUGGUUUUUGUUGAGUGGAAAAUGUAUAGGAAAAAUGUGCCAAUUUUUGAAAAGGUGACCACAAGUCAACUAUAUAAGAUACUUUUUUUUAAAAUGUAUUAUAAUAUGAUAUUUUUAUGAGACCAUGUUCAAGUACAAAUGAUGUUUGUUUUGACAUAAGUUUUCACUAAGAAUAUAUAUAGGGUUAUGAUUAGAUUAAUAAUGUUUUCUAAAAUAAUUAAUUAAAAUUUAUAAAUAUGUUUAGUUGGAUAAGUUUUAUAGUGUGGGUUAUUGUCCAACAGCAACUUAUAAUCUCUUACAAAAAUAACUAGUUUAUUUUGAAAUUAGUUUUCGGGUAAGUUCGUUGUGGAGGGGUUAAUUGGCUAGAGACACAAGAGGUUAAUUUGAUGUGGCCAUGGGUGGAUCACAAACUCUCAAGGGUCUCCUGUUGAGUGCGAGUUCUAAGGCGGUGUACAAUAUGAGAUUACACUAUAUUGUUUUGAAAAGCAUCUACAACAAGGAUAGUGUGGAAUCUAUUCGAGAUCUCAAAUGUUGUCAUGAAUGAUAUUUUUUCCCUUGCUGCUUAGAUGAAUAUCCUAAUGUUUUGUUUUUAUAAUAGGAGACUUACAAUAAGGUUUACUCAUGCCCUCCAAACGUCGAAAUAAGUCUAUCUCUCCCGACUCCCCCCAACUGAUAAACUUUUCUUUGGUUGGAUAGUUUCCAAAGAAAGUAUCUUCUCCCUUGUCUAAGAGCUUAGCUAUUUUUAGCUUCUAAUUUCUAUACAUUAUCUCAUGAUAAACAUAGAACCACGAAUUAAAGUUUGGAAAAAGAAAUUAAAUGGGAAGAUGUGAAAGUGACAACCAAAUAUGUAAUUUAGCUGAAAACGAUAUAUUAAAAACAAAUUAAGAAGAAGAUUACAUUAGGACGAAUGCUGAGGGCUUUUGGAUGAAAUGAAAAGCUUUGCCAGGUAGGACAGCUGGCUGGACCCCAUUUGAAGAAGUAGCCAAUAAAAACUUGCCAUAUCAUAUAUCUAUUUUUCAUGGAUGAAAAGAAAUCAAUAAGAAUAAGAAGAGAUUAACUUAAUUAUUGAAGUGGGACAGAAGAGAAGAUAAUGUAUUAACUUUGAGGGGCAACGUAUGGGCCGUCCAUAUAAUAAUGGAUUGCAGUUAUCUACUUACUCCACAAAAAUUAAUAUUACAUUACACACACAAAGAAAAAGAAAUAUAUAUUAAUUAAAUUUUUAUUUAUUGUAUAUUAAUUAUCGUAAUAAAUUUUUGUUAGGAAUGUAUUCAUGGUUUUAAUAUUAAUUUAAAAAUCUCAAUUUAUAUUUAUAUGUUUUAGUGAUUUUGAUAUUACUUGACCUUUUAUGUGUAGAAGUGAGAGAUUCAAAUUUUGAUAUUCUAUGGAUAAAAAGAAUAGGUUUUAAGUUAAAAGGGGUUGAGGUAAAAAUGUGGGAGGGGUAUAUUGGGGUUUUGAAGUGAAAUGACCUUUGGAAUUGUAAUUGAAUUGUGUGAAUUCAAAUUCAAAAUGAGUUUUGACUUAAUAAGAUGAUGGAGAUUGAGAUUGAGAUUGAGAUUGAGAUUGAGAUUGAGAGGCCCUUUGUCUUAUUUUUAUUCACUUUACUUUUGUAUUUGACUCCAUCUUUUUAUAUAUAUAAAUUAUUUGGAUUGAAAAUGUGUUGUCUAAAAAGAAUCUAAUAAGUUGGAAGGGAAUGAGAUGACGAUCCACCGUAAGUAGAAUAAAUCAACCGCGUGCAAUAAAACCCCAUCUUCCCCGCCAAGCUUUUUGAACGAAAUUCACAAUUUCCGCCAUGAAACUCAUUCAGAGAUCUAAAGCUUUCUCGUCGCCCGCCGUACCUAUUCUCCAAUAAAACUCCACUUUUCUCUCUUCAACACAGAAAUCUAAGGUAUCUCUUUAAUUUCUCCGCCCUCUCUUUUUCAACUGAAGCUUUUCGCGUUUUCUUGUUAUUUCCCGUGCCCUUUUAUCUGCCCUGAUUACUCCUCAAUAGAGCGAAUGCUGAAUGAAAUACUUCAACAAUCUCUUACCUUUCAAUCGUACCCCUGCACUUUAAUUUUUGAGCCGUUAUAUACGACUUCUUGUUUAUACACUUUUGUAACUCCGAACUCUAGUAUGGGAUGCUAAUUAUGUUCUUUUGAGUUGUCCAGCAGAGGAAUUGCUCAUUUGUACUUCACAUUUUCUGUUUGGUUUGUACGAUUUUCAUAUUGUUUGUCGCUAUUAGUAAUUACUGUUUUAUUUAUUUGAUUCUGUGAAAAUUAGCCGAAAUUUGAAGAGUGUUGAGCUUGCUUUGAUUUGUAUGCUUAAUAGUAUAUUAGUAUGUAGUUUGUGUUACAAUCCCUAUGUUACCAAUACCACUGUGGUAAAUGUGUUUAGACGAACUGCCGAAUUUGAGUUUACGCUGCUUAUAGGUGAUAUUAAAGCGGAAUUUGAUGCAAUUGUGAAACCUAGGUCACUCGCUCCAUUGGAAAAAAGAAAAUACUCGAAGAUAUAAUGUAAUGGGAUUUUUAGAGAUUUUCAUCAAUUUUAGGGGAAACCCUUAACUAAUUGAAGCAAUUUUCAAUAUCUUUGUCAGUCAUAAGUGGAUGUUUUUUCUUUUCCUUCUUUUAUGUGCUUUUCAGAUAUGGAGGGUGAUCAAAAUCAUUCUCUCAAACUUGGAGGAUCCUCUGUUGAAGGUGACGAUCAAAUUUACAUCUCUGGGCUUAGUACUCUUCUGGUUGCAACGAUCCAGGAAACUAAGGACAGGUUAUCCCAGAUUGAAUUUCUUUUCUGUAGCCAACUCUUUCCCAGUUUUCAAACAAAAUCAAAAAGUUUGCAAAAAAUAUAUUCUGAGGCUAGGAAAUCUGCAGAGGAUGCAUGGAAAGAGAACGAAAACGAUCUCCUAUUUCAAAUAGAAAAACUUAAGCGCGAAAAUCAGCGUAUUCUUGAAGAGAAUAAGUCUUUGAAACUUGAGAAAGAAAAUCCAUCAAGGGAGCUAGCAGAAAGGAUGGAUCUGCUGCGGUCUAAACUACUUGGCGAGCAACUCAAAGCUGAGGAGCUGGCACAGCAACUUAAGCAGAAAUCGAGAGAAAUCGACGAGGGGAUUGAAUUGCAGCAGAAAUUACUUGAAAUGGUUCGGUCAAAAACUUCUCUGAUAAUGAGUAAAGAACAAAAACUGAAAGAGUAUGAAGACCAAUCUAAUGUAUUGCGCACCAAAUUGACUAGCAUGGAGGUGAAGUUUGAUGAGCUCCAGAAGAAGCUUAAUGCGAAGACAGAUGAAGUAUCUACAGUCAAAAAGUUGGAAGAGAAUUUGUUCAAAAAACUUGAAUUACAAGCUUCAGAAAUUAUGAACAUUGAACAGAUGAAUAGUGAUCAACAAAAAGAGAAACAGAUGCUUGUGGUGAAGUUAGAAAAAUUGCAGGAGAAUGUAAAUCGUCUAGAGAAGGAGCUUUUGAGCAAGACUGAAGAAAUUGAGGAAGGAAGGAAACUGCAAACCAAGUUGCUACAGCAAAUUGAUUCAGCUGGCUCAGAAAUUUCAAAGAAUACAGAGCAGCUCGAGGAACUUCAGAAAGAGAACAAACAACUCUUAGCCAAGUUGAAUGGUUCUCAAGAGAAAGUUAAUGAGCUUAAGUCGAAUCCGAGGGUAAAGAAUAAGGAAAUGGAAGGAAAUGAAUUGUAUGAGAGUUUACGUGAACAGAUCGAACUAAAGUCCUUUGAGUUACAGGCUGAAAAGAAGGCAAGAAGAGGCGUUGUUGAUGCCUACAAAAGGCUGAAAUCACAAUAUAACUUCCUUUGCAAAAAAUUUGGCCUUACUAGCGAUAAUAUGCUGCUGAAAGACAGAAGAGAAAAUGAAACCGAUUCAAUGGCUUAUAAUCAAGAUCUUGCAUCCUCACCAGGUAAACAUCCUCUUCUUCAUAUUAUAAAUCCAAAUUUCCUCCAACAUUGAUAUCUGUAUUCCAUGCGUUACUAAUUAUCUAUUGACUGGAGCAGUAGAUCCCGACGCAGAAACUGAAGAACCUUCUAUAGCCAUUUCUGAUACAUCUCAAUUGAAGAAAGAGAUUAGCGUGCACCAUAACAUAGAGGAUAAAAAGGUAGUCAGGCUAAAUCAGGCCUUGAACUCCCGUUCCCCUCCAAAAACUCCUAGUUUCUCAAGCGGCUCGAAACGUAGUCCCAAUGUAAAAUCUGCACCAAUAGCAUCUAAAAGACCAGCAUCUAAUUGGAGAGGUACAAGGACUCAUUAUCAAGAGCGAGCGGGGCCUGACCCACACGAUGAUUUUCUUGAUACUCCACUCGAGAACAUCCGAGAGAAUUUAAACAAUCCUGUGAAGGACAGAGUUAAAGAUCUUCCUCUUCCUGAGGUGGUUGUAAAAAACAUCGAUAUGGAUGUUUCCGAUGACGAGACACAAGAUUUGAAUGUUGUUAAUCCACAACAACAUCAAAAGCAGAUGCCAAUUUCAGUGACUGGGAAUAGAGGAGGAGGCAUUAAGUUUGUGGAGCCAGUGAGAAAGAAAGCUGACAGGCAAAAUUUAAAAGGAGUGGAGUGCAAGCAAUGCAAGAAGUUCUACGAUGCUGUUCUUCCAAAUGAUGGCAAUGAAGAAACCAACGGUGAUAAACCGUGUUUACGAUGUGAACAUCAUGAUGGAGUUUCAAGGCAUCGGUAUAGGUAUGUUCCUCCCAUGACUCCUGAAGGAUUUUGGAACAUUGGAUUUGAAUCUGAAAUGUAAUGUUAAUGUAGGAUUAAACCCAUUGUUUGAUAAUUAACGACAAAGUAGGUGAUAUGUAUAGUAUAUUUUAGAUAGAAAACUAUGAAACAAUUUAUGCAUUGGAUAAAUAUAAAUGAAAGUUUUCAUUUUUACCUCAAAUUUAUCAUUCAAAGCAAUUUUUAUGAACUUUUAGCUAAGAUAACAUAUAGUGAUCAUUUUGCUGUUCCCAAUAACUUUUCAAGUUUAUUAUUUUAAUUCUUCAAACUUUUAAUCAGUAAUCGUUUUGGUCCUCACAUUGAUCUAAAUUUUACCAAAUUAAUAACAUAGUUUAGAAGAUAUGUUACCAUGCAAGUGUACUCAAACCAAGAAAUAUUUUCUGUAAAAGUAAUGUAACUAUAAUUUUUAUUUUUUAUCUUUUUAUCACUCGAGUUCGAAUACUAAAGUAGUUACGGAAAUUCAAUUUCGGAAUAGAACAAAUAAUAUAUGAGAAAAUUGUAGCAUUAAAGUAAUGUGAAAUCCAAGUAAACAUUACAAAGUAUAACAAAAUAGUAACAUAACAGCAUCAUGCAAUGAAUUGGCUUUAAUAUCAUAAGGUAAACAAUGUUUCUUUGAGAGUCUCCAAAUAAAAUUAAAAUGGUACAAAAUUUCACAUCUAAGGAUCAAGCAAAAACAUCCUCUGUAAUAAUAGAUUGUUCAUUGUUAGUACAACUCUCUGAUGAAACCUGAAGUUGCUCGUAAUUUAGUUGUCUUGAAGCUUCGUAUAUAGCAAUACCAACACUCACCGAGAGAUUGAGGCAUCUAACAUAAGUUUCAACCAUUGGAAUUCUUAAUGUCCCUCCUCCAAAUGGCUGGUUUUUGCAGUCCUCAAGCGCUUCAGGUGGUAAUCCAGUAGUUUCUGAGCCGAACAACAAGUAAUCGCCCCGCUUGUACGAAAAGUCCUGCAGAAAUGAAAUGAGAAAACAAAUUGUUACUCAAAAUUCCUCCUGGCCUAUGAGCAAUUGACGAUUCGUAUAGAAAUCAAAUCGUCAGAGAAAUAGGCACUCGCCGAGUGAUGUGUUGUUCCUCUUUUUGUAAAUGCUAGCAGCCGCUUUUCUCCUUCCUGUACAUAUCAUAUCAUUUGAGUUGGUAGACAUAGUUUCCAACAAUGUAGGAUGCAAAGAGGAAACUAAAAUGGAAUCUUGUCCAUGCUUACCUGCUUCUUAAAGUAUUCUUGAAAAUCCGCCCACGUGUUAUGAAUUUUAACGACAACGUAUCUAAAAUACAAUGUUAAAACCCGAAAACAUUGAACGAACAGUGACAGCACGAAAUAGAAAACUCAAACAGUUCAAGACAAAGUAAAGCACAAUUUCCUAACAUUGAAUCCCUGAUAUUUAACUGUAAAUGAGAGCAAAUGAAUCAUAUAUAAAAUGCAUCAUGGGAUACGGCCAAUAAUCCAAACCUGCCCGCUUUAGCUUUGUGUCAUCAACCUUAAAUCCCAAUGGCUGAGAAGGAGACAAUACAAGUGGAUAAGUUAUUAAAGUCAGAACGAUUAUGCUUAAAGUAAAGAUGAUACAAUACUAACCCCAACUAGAUGUAGUCCUACAGCCGAUGCAGCACAUGUUCUGGCAAUGCUACCAGUGUUCCCAGGAAUCUGCCAAGGACAACACAAAUCUCAGAGCCAUCCUUGAGGAAUUUUGAGGUUGUCUGCAACCCAAAAAGGCAAAUGGAGAAAUUACAAUUGGGCGUUCACCGUGUUUCACACAACUGCAUACAACGUGCCGUGAUAUACAAACUAAUAAGCGGUGCCGUAUGUGUACACACAAUGUCGAGUGUGUAUUUCAUUAGAAGUAGAAAUCAAUUUGGAAGAAAUUUGCUCCAAGCAUUUGAUACUAACCAAAAUAAAAGUUUACGAUUAACAUCACAUGACCUUUCGCUAUAUAUGACAUAAACAACCAUAAUACGCCUAGCAAGUUUUCAAGCAAUCUAUUAAAAUUUCUAUGAGAGGUUUUGCUCAACCCUCACAUUUCGACUUGAAGAAGACUGUUCCCAAGCAGCUCUACUAAUUUCAACUUGUUAGUCAUCCAAGAAUACCACCUAAGAUUGAUGCAAAGAUCUAACUAAAGGCUCCCUAGUCCUUGUUCAUUCGGUUUCAAACAAAAUACCAAGUAAAAUGUCAGCAAAUUUCCAUGUGCUAAUAUCCUCUGAGUUUCAUAUAUAUGUUUGUUUUAGUAACACGGUAUCGAGGGCCUUAGCCCCAUUAAUUCGAGGGCAACCAAGCUCGAGUCUAACCCAAUGCCUAGAUUCAAUGAACAUGUUUGGGAAGCUAGAAUUUGAUGGUUAGGGUUUUGAGCCUGGUUUGUAACUCCUUUUAUAUUCCUUUUCCAUUAUUUUCAACUCAACUCUCUUUCUCCCAUUUUUCCCGUUUCACAAUCCCAAUUUAACACCGAAUUAAACAUUUCAUCGUAAUUUACAUUUCAAUCUCCCAAACAGGGUUUUUUUUUUUCUUAUUAAGCUCAAUCCAAGGUUCGAAGUCAUACCACUCAAUUGACUGCAGUUCUUAAAUGUACAGUUUACAUUUGAUCAAAAUUUCCAAUAGUAUGAAAUAUCAUCCUUUACAAUCAAACAAAAUCUUAAAGCAAAGUGAAACUUAUUCAAAAUAUUAAAUCAAGCCAUACAACUCCACCAAAUACAGAUAAGAACACAAACAAUAACUAAAAAUAGCGAUUACUAGAAAAAAAAAUGCAGAAACGAAAAGCAAGAAAAAGAAUCAGCUAAGCAAUUACCAAGGGAGACACCAAUACAACUUGAAGAAGCUUUGGAUGCGAGACCCCAUUGACGGCCUCACCAACACCGGUCGGUAGGGAACCAGAACCCUCCACUCUGUCAGCUGCGCCAUGAACACAGCAAAAUCAAACUGAAAAAAAUAACCUCAACCCAAUUCACAGCAGAGAUUAUAGAGUCCAUAGGAUGUAAGAACGUUUAAUUACAGAUAUAUCAUAUAUACUUACAUGAGGAGCAGAAGGGGAGUAACCGGCGUAAGGAUGAAGAAGAUAGAUUGUGGUGUUUGUUGGUGAAAAGGGAGAAGGAGCGAGGGCGAAGAAGAUGAAGAGACCUGGAUGAGCGUAGUUGAAAAGGGGUAAAUGGGUUUAAAGCUCUGAGAGUGGCUGUUGUUGUGUCCAUUAACGGCAUCUCAGCAACACUAUCUUCUGCUUCUUCCUUCUUCUUGUUGCCGCUCGAGAGCCUCACUAAGUUCGUUUCAAAGGAAGAACACUCGCUAUUUUUUUAAUUAUUAUUUAAAGGUUAAAUUUAAAAAUAUUUGUAGUUUGGGUAAAAAUACUAUCAAACUUUCAAAAGUUACAAACAAAAAAAAUACAUACAUAUAUAUAUUCAACAUUCUUAGUUUCAUACAUACACAUCAGCUUUAAAAAAAAGUUAAAAAUAUUCUCACCAAUCAACUUUUACAUCAAUUUUUUCAUUAAACUAAACAAAAUUUAAUUAAAGAUAAAAAAUUUGAAUUCAUUUAACUAUUCGCAUAAAGUUAGAGGAUAAAUAUCCUAAAUCUUACUAGACUAUUAACCCAUGAUGAUAAUUCUUAUUUCAUUUGGUAAGAUUUUGUGAAAUUUUACGUUUUAGCUAAAAUUUAAAACAUGGAAGGUGAUGUAUAUAUGAAAAUCUUGAUUUUACAUAAAAUUCCAUUUCGAUUUAUAUCUUUAAAAAAUUUUAAAAUAAAAUUUAAUUAAUAAAUAAAUAAUUUAUUAUUUUCAUAUAAGUAAACAGGAUGAAUUCAUACAAAUGUGAAUUAUAAAGUUGAGUUUUAAUUUAACUUUUUGGUUUUUAUUUUAAUAUUAAAAAAAUUAACAUAAAAAUUAGAUUAAUAAAAAUAUUUUUUAUUUGGAGAGAUAUUUAUAAAACAAAACUUUAACAAAUUUCUUCCAAAAACAAACUAUAGUUUUUAUAAACUCUUUUAGAAAGUUGUAAAAGCUUUUUGAAAAAAUUUAUAGGUAUUUUUGAGGAAAGUGCAUUUGAUGUUAUUUAAUCGAAUUCUCGGACAUUUUAUUGGUGACUGAAAAAUUUCCCUUUUAAUAUUUAUAUAUUAACGAAACAUCAACCAAAAGGCCUUCUCUUCUCCUCUUCUCUUCUCUUCUCUUCUUCUACUUCACUUUUCUUCGCCAAACACGAAUUCCCCAACCUUCGCCUCACUUCAUCAUUUUUUCCAAUUCCAUUCUUCCUCCAAUUCAUCUUCCAAUCCUCAAUCGGGGUCACCGGAGCCUUAUCUCCGUCUAGUUUUACAAUCGAACCGGAAGAUUUCCAUUCUCAGAUUCAAUAUUGUUCCGCAGUGCUUUUGGGUCAGUUCUUGAUUCGUUUUGAUCCGUUGAAUAAUCUUCCUUACUCUCUCUUGCUCUUUUUGUAUUCUGUAUUUUUUUGUGUUUUCACUUUUGUUUGUUGAUUGUUCUUCGGGGCUUUUUGGUUCUGGAGCUAGGGUUUGUUUUCCUCCCUUUUAUAUGGUUCUACUUUUAUUACGCGGCUGUUUUUUCAUGUACGUAAUAUUUUUUUUAUAUGGGUUUUCGUGAUUUUUACCUUAUUAAUCGUCGUCUGCAGUUUUGGGUGGUGUUAAUUUUAUUUAAUAUUCGAUUACGACAAUGACCUAUGCCUAAGCAGAUCGUGUUUAGAGAUUUUGUGGAUGAUUUUAAUAUUAAUUCGUCCGUGUUAGCAUCUUGUUCUUAUCUUUCUAAUUAAUUGGUUCUUUCUUGUGUUUGUACUUUUUUUUUCUGUUUAAUUAGUGAAAAAGUCGAGGGAUGUUUGAAGGGAGAAGGUUUUUGUCGAUCCUUCGAGAUUUCCCUAUAUAUAUGAUUUGAAUGUUCUUUUUCAAGGAUUGUUGAACUCUUUGGUUGAUUGCUUUUCUAAUGAUGAUUCAUUCUAAGCAGUCUGAGACUGAGUACUCAUUGCCUCUCGAUGGACAAAGGAAUGCCCCCUACCCUUUUUGUCAACGACGGAUCAUUUAUGGAAAGGUUUAAACAACUCCAACAGAAAAAUGGUGAGAAGGAUAAGGAUAAAGAUAAAGGUGCUACCUCUGAGGAGCCAAAACCAAUCAAGAUUAUAGCAGGGACUUCAAUUCCACAUAAUACUAGUGGUAAAACUAGUAUGCAGUUUAAGGGUGGUGAGAUUCGUAAGACUGCCCCAACUGGAAAACUUGCUUUCAGCUUGAAGCAGAAGUCUAAGCUUGUGGCACCUUCUGUGAAGUUAGGAGCAGAUGAGGAUGAAGAUGAACCUGAUGCGGUAGAUGCAUCUGAUCAUCUACCAGAGAAGCGUCAAAAGUUAGGUCCACAAGAUGGUACUGAGCAGCCAGUACUUCAAUCUGGUGAUGGUAAUACUAAUUACUACUUUAUACUGACACUCCUCUCUUUUGGGAUUAAUGGCAAGUAUCUGCCAGAGUUUGUAAACCAAAAAACCUGGUCUGUUUAAGGCCAUUUCUGGUUGAUGCGGUGAAUUGGUACUUAAUUUCUGAUGUUCUGUUAUAUGCAUGUUCAUUCAUGAUUCAAAUUUUGUUACCCUGGAGCAUCUAUUUGUUGGCUUGCUUAUAUUUUUUAUUGACAAGUUGACUCAAGUUAUUGUCUUGAACCACUGUUAUCUGCAGCUAUUGAAAAUUAUUUGGGAUAGGGAGGUGAGCAAAUAACUUGUAUAUAAUUUUCAUUUUUAAGUCAUUAAGAAUGUCGGACCUCAAUUGUUUUAAGCUGAAAAGAACUAUGGUUCAGGGUGUUGCUCUCAUGUCUGCAUUCUUCCUUUCUGUUUUCCAACUUAAAUUGGUCUGUGGAAGAUUUCUUACUGAUUUCAUCUUCACCCUUUCAUCUAUUUAGCAUUAGUUUUUGCAUGAAGAGUCGCACCUUGUUCUUGAGACGAUGGAAAACCAUUUUUUGUUCUAUUGGGGGGUUGGGGCAUUAUAGAAUUACCAUCUAGGUCACUAUCCAUUUCCCCCUUCAAUUAACUCUAAUGGCUUUGUUGGGACCGUGAGUUUAGAUCUCUUCUAAAACUUGGACUGCUUCACUUGUAGAGUACAAAGCACUCUUGAAAAUUUCUUGUCUCAUGAAUGCAGUGUAUACCUUUAAUACCUUUCAACAUUGGUGGAAGAGAUGUUCAAUGAAAGAAUUGGAAUAUGUAGCAGCCUGCUGCAAGAGUAAUUUGCAUUCACUUGUUCAUGCUCUUGGUAUUAAUCAGUUUUAUAAGUGAUAUGCAGCACCACCUUCACCAAGUGAUCCUACAGUGAAGAAAGUUGCCGACAAGCUAGCAAGUUUUGUGGCUAAACAUGGAAGGCAAUUUGAGCAUGUUACUCGCCAAAAGAAUCCUGGAGAUACACCAUUUAAGUACGUUCUUGUUGUGCUUUAAAAGUUCCCAUGCAUUGUUCUUUCUUAACAUUGCCGUUGCUACUGCUUUCUUGAAUCUAUUGCUUCAUUUGUUUUUUUUUAUGCUUAGCUUCUCACUUCUCAAUAAAUGUUUUUUUAACAAAAUAUCCAUCAAUCUUUGCAGAUUUCUGUUUGAUGAGAGUUCUGCAGAUUACAAAUACUAUGAAUAUCAGCUAGCUCAAGAAGAAAAAGCUUUCUCAGAAACCGUCGAACCUAAAUCCUCUAAUGGUUUGGGCUUCUCACUUGAUUCUCAUAUUAUCUUUUUGAAAACAAGCAUUUGUGUCAUUGAUGACUUAGGGUUUUCUCAUGGGUUUUUCCUCGAGAUCCCAUUUUUUUAUGAAAUGUUUUUGGGAGAUUAAAUUGUUUUUCACAUUCAUUUUGCCCUUUCUAUCUGUAGAUGGUGGGAGCACGCAAACUUCUAAGCCAAGGACUGGUUCCCAGAAAUCUCUCCAGCAGUCUUCCUCAUCAAAUUAUCAAACCCCUGCCUCUGCUUUAUAUGAACCAUCAGAAGAUUCAAGGACUUCAGUGGGUUCAUCUAAUACUACUGCGUGGCCUGAAAGAGCAGGUAACUAUUUGACACCGUGACUGUUUAGUGCUCACUAUGUUUCAAUGAAUUGAUAUUGUACUUGACGUGUGGUUUUCACUUUUUAAGGUGAAACUAGACCACCACCAUCUAGUGGAGAUCCGAUUGCAAUGAUGGAAUUCUACAUGAAGAAAGCUGCUCGUGAAGAGCGGAUGAGGCAACCUAAACAGUCAAAAGAUGAAAUGCCUCCUCCUGCGUCUCUUCAAGGUAUCAACCUGCUGGGGUGUAGCUGGUUGACCAUUAUUUGUUUAGCCUGUGGCAUUAGUGGUUUUAUUGCUUGAACUUCCUUUUCUAUUUUGGGGGUGCUGUGCAGCUUCAGCUUUAGGGAAAAGAGGGCAUCACAUGGGUGACUUCAUUCCCCACGAGGAGCUUGAAAAGUUCUUAGCUACAUGCAAUGAUGCGUCUGCCCGGAAAUAUUCUAAAGAAGCUGCUGAUAAGGCUAAAAUUCAGGCUGAUAAUGUGGGGCACAGACUCCUAUCUAAAAUGGGAUGGAAAGAAGGUUCCCUCCCUCCCUCUUUCUUCAUAUUUUUUCUCACACACCACAUGUCACAUUGCACAUGGGUCAGUACAUAGACCAUUGGACUCGACAAUGCUAGGAUCUAGAAUUUUUAAUUAGAUAUAUCUCCAAGUUCAUUUUGCUAAAGGCUUUUAACAAGUCCUUAGACUUCUUUUCCUGGAGCUUACGUUGAACCCAAAGUUCAUAUUAUAAUUCCAGUUUAUUUGAGAAUUCAUUUGGUAAUGAAGGAGCCUUCUAAUACUGGCAAGAGAACUGCAGGUGAGGGUCUGGGAAGCUCCAAGAGUGGAAUUGCAGAUCCCAUAAUGGCGGGUGAUGUAAAAACAAAUAACUUGGGUGUUGGAGCCCAUCAACCUGGUGAGGUGACUCCUGAAGACGAUAUAUACGAGCAGUACAAAAAACGAAUGAUGCUUGGUUAUCGUUACAGACCGAACCCACUGGUAUUUAUUUAUCACACCCAUUGAAGUUGCGCUUACUUCAAUACCUAGUUAAUCAAGUAGUUUUGAUGUCAUACUUUUUUGUUUUCGUAGAAUAACCCUCGGAAAGCAUACUAUUGAUUGAUGACGGUUCUGCAAAGGCACUUUGAUCAUUCUGGCUCUGUUUGAAAAUUAUGAGAAAAGCCAAACUACGUGGUGGGAGUGGAAAUUAUCUCGAUCUAUUGUGGCAUAAUUGAUGUCAUAACUCAAUAAAUAAUCAAUAGAUGUAGUUCUUUUUAUCCUGUCAUCGUUUUGUUUUUUUUUCCCUUCAUUUUCCAUGUGGUGUGGGAUUCGGGGAUCGGGAUCAGGGUCAGGGCGGGGUUUUGUUUAAUCCUAUUGUGCUUGAUCAGUAUACUGGACUCGUCCUAUUUUUGUGUUAAAUAUGCAUAACUUGAAGCGUUAAUUACCAUUCCUUUUUUUCUUCUUUUCUUCUAAGCUCCAUUGGCUUGCUAGAGCAUCAUUCUGUAGUACUUCUCGGAUAAUUGUGGAGUUUGACCUAAACAAGUUUUGGCUUUUAGAUGAACUACCCAUUCCCUACCCCCCUCACCUCCAAUGUCAUCAAUGUUCUUUCUCUUGCUUUUCCCACCUUUUUGACUUAAAUUGUUUCAAUUGAGCAAAAACUUUACAGCGUUUUCCCCUUCUGUCGUGUUCUUUCUCCAUUUGUGAUUCUGCAUCAGGUUUCAUAGACAGCAAAACCAAUUCGAUUCUGACUCAAGAUGCGGUUUACCACGAUCAACCUCGCUUCCUCAUUUGUAGCUCUAAAAGCACCACUCUUUUUUGCAAAUGUGAUUAAAAUUUAAGUUAUUUUUCAAGAAUUGAGGCAAUUUGUCAAUAUUUAUCGAUGGGAAGAAUCAAGUUAUUUUUCAAGGAUUGGUGCAAUUUGUCAAUAUUUAUUAAGGAUAGGAAGAAUCUUGGGCGAGUGUUUAUCAUUGCCAGGAAUUACUACAUUUUGGAUCUGCUUCAGACAAAUUUUUGGGUCAUUUUCCUGCAAAGUCGUUAAUAUUAUUUUUUGACUUGGAUUAAAAGUUAUAUCUUUUAUUGACAUAUUUAAAUCUUCUGACAUUUUGAGCUUCCUUAGGAUGAACUAUUAAAACAAUUGACCAAAAGGGUUGUGAAGUAAUUGACCAAUAAGGGUUGUGAAAUAAUUGACCAAUAAGUUUUGUGUGAAAUGUAGAAAACUUGUGACAAUUAUCCCAUUUUUGGUUAUUGACAAUUCAGGUUGGGAAAGGGACUGCCGAGGGGAAUGAAAAUUCUUUUUAGUGGGUAAUUUCUAAAAACACAAACUUCUGCCUUGAAAGCCCAACAAGUUUAUGGUAUUUUUGUCCAAAGAUGAACAAGAGAUCUUUAGGUUAGUUUGAUCAAGUUAAUUUUUUUGUGGGAAUCGUUUUUGCAAAAUUUGAACAAAAUAGACUUUGAGAUGAUUUCAAGUGGACAUGAUAAUAUUCAUAAUAGGUUGUCUCCUCAUUUUUAUGGUAGGAUAGGGCGAACAAAUUAGUAGCCUAAUCAAUCUAAUUGACGUAGGAAAAGUAAUAUAUAAAUUCCAAGAUUGCAACAAUAGAAUCGAAAUCCCAAUCUAGUUUCCAUCUUUUGAUUCAUGGAGGUAUAUAAUUUCACUUAUCUAAGGUGGGUUUAUCUUGCAAGUAUUGAUGCAUGAAAAUAGAGGGUGACAGAUUCAAGGAAAAAAAAGUUCCAAAAUGGAACUUUAUGCAUUUAGAUUGGGACUAACACUCUUACUCUCCCUCGCUUGCAAGAAAUCCGACACUUACCAUUCUCAAUCUUCACAAUCCAUCUCGAUCUCCUUUCUUUAUGUAAUAUUCAUCAAUACAACAUCUCCAAUUUUUUCUUGCUUACUAGUGGGUAGAAUUUAGUUAAGAUCUAAGUAGCUCAAACCUCCCUCAUUGCAAUAGGAAGCAUAAUAUCAAAAUUGCUAGUUAGUUGAAUGGAAAUCUAUCUUCUAGUCUUCUGAUCUAGAUAAUCCAAGUUCCACUCUUUACAAUUUUAUUCUCCCGUCAAUAAAAGUGUCUCAUUGCAACGUUCCAAUAGCCAUCGACAUCUAUGGAAGGAAGUUAGGAGAGCAAAAGAAACAAAAAAAAGAAGGGAUAAUUGUGUAGUUUUGGUUGGUAACGUAAGGUAGAAGAAAAUCUUAAAAGUUAGAAAAAUUGGAGAAAAACAAUGUUUGGGAUAAUGAUUCCAUAUCAAAAUUCUCAUUAUUUUUUGGGAUAGAAAAAGAAAACUCCAAACAUUCUUAGAAUUAAUUGGUUAAUGGAAUUAUUGGAGAACUCAUUCGGAAUCGUAAAUGGGAACAUUGUGGGGGAGGCAGUUAUCCCGGUGAAGGCGUAACUUAUUGGGGCAUCCAAACACUACUCAGAUCCGAAUCCAGACGACAAUUGAAGCGUUGUCGGCGGUGAAGGUCUCAAUGCUCCACCUAACUUAACUUACCAAUAUAUAAUCAAAAUGAAAAACGACAAGUCGUUGACGAAACUUAUGGCUGCGUUCCGAUUGGAUGAAGGCAAGUUGAAGGGGAUCGGAUCCUCCCUUUUCCGGCGGCUGCGGUGAGGGCAUUAUUUUAGAUUUUAAAAUUGGCAUCUCAAUUAUUAUUUGAAUUUCUCUGUUUUUAUAAGCAUAUGUUCUACAUUCCUUUUUAAAAAAAAAAAAGAAAACACAGAAUAUUCUUUAAUAAUACAUAUUUUCCAUUUUCAACUUGUCUUUCACCUUAACAUACACAUCAUUUUUAUGUUAUAUAAAUGUAUGAUCUGAUCAUGAGUCAUGGCCCUCUAAUUUUCCUUUUUAGGUGAUGGAUUGCGAUGUGUUAGUUUCUUUUCAAAUGCAUGAUCUUUAUGCAUUAUUUUACAUUAUCAAACUUUAUGAUCAGAUUAUGGAUAUAUAUGUAUGUAUAUAUAUAUAUAUAUUAGGGAGAUUGUUUAAUUAUAUCACACUACUUUUCUUAAAAAGCCACUCCUUUUUUCCCCCUCUCCUCAAGUCUAUUUUUAAAAUGAUUGUAAAGUUAAAAAAAAGUUGUUUGAUAUGUGUUCUUAGGAGGGAGGUGAGUGAGAAGGUAACUGGGUUAUAUAAUUAAGGGAAUAAACAUGAUAAUGUUAGAACAAUAUAGUGUUAAAGUCGUUAUAAAUUUGUAGUACAUAUUCGUUUGGGUGAAUCCAAAAGCAAAGAUAUGAGUAUAAAUUUAUAUUAAGGUCGAUUAUAAAUGUUGGUGGGAAAUAAUGUAAUAUGGGUGAACUAAUUAAGUUUACCAAACUUAACUUAUUGUUUAGUAAAAGGAUAUAUUAAACUUGUGAAAGUAAGUAUAAGGUUCUUACAAGUCACAUUUGUUGUUGUGAUUAAUUAGUGGUCACUCCACUUACCUUACAAAUGUCAUCUCAUUCCAUUUGAAAGCAAUAAUGUUUAGUUCAAGAAACGUUAAAUAAAAUAAAAUUAGUUGUGUUUAGAUGAUCAAAUAUUGUUUUUCAAAAUCCAAAAUUAUAGGAAAAACCCAACCAUUUUUAUUUAUUUAUUUAUAUUUUAAAGAGCUUUGAUUGAAAAAGGAAAAUACCAACUCCCAAAUAUAAAAAGGUAAUAUGAAUAAGACUUAAAAUAAUAUAAUUUAGUUUCAUAAUUGGAAAAACGUAGAGAACACCCCUUUGAAGAAAUUACAACCCAACAAGAAACCAUUUCUCAAAAGAAACAUUAUAAUAAUAGAAAACAGUUUGGACUUUCAUCCUUUUUUAUUCUUUUAUUUUCUUUUUUUGUCAUAUUUAAUUUUCGUUCAUUUUAAUUAUUUUUUCCUAAAAAAGGCUACAAAAACACUCUCACUCAACUUUAUUCUAUACUUGUAUAACAUAUUUUCAUACACUUUGUUUUUUCUUCCACAUAAAUUAUUAAUAUUUAGAUGAUAAAACUACAAGUAAUGAUGUUGAAAUAAGCAGAAAAAUAACCAAAAAUUAAAAAUUAUUAUUACGAUUUAAUGAAAUUUGUUUUGUUGUAUAUGUAAUUUGAUAAACUAAUCAAGAAUCAAAUCUUUUAUAAAAACUAUAAAGAUUAAGUCGUUAUAUAAUAGGUAUGGAAUUUUUUAACUAUACAGAUCAAAAUUAUUACAAAUAUUUGACAGUUUAAUUUAGGGAAAAAAGAGAAGAGAGGGUUAAAAUAAUUUGUAGGCAAGAAUAGUUUUAAAAAAAAUGAUAUGAAUGGGGACGAAAAGUAUGAUGAUAAGGCCACGUUUGGAAGUGCUUACCGACUUUAUGAUAUAUAUUAUAUAUUAUAAUGAGAAACACUUUUGGCUUUGGUUGCAUUUCCCCAAUCUUAGUUGUAAUUAAUUUUUGUCUUUUUGUGACAUAGGAAAUGUAUUUGGUUCUUAAUUAUUUGAACGAACGAAAGAAAGAGAGGAAGAAAACAAACCAUUUUCUUUCCCAAAUCUAUGGUCCAAUUUCCAUUUUUCAUGAAUCCACUUUCCUUUUUCAUUCUCUGGUUUCAUCUCUUUAAAAGCCAUCUUUUGGAUUUAUUUUCCCUCUUGACCUCUUUUUCAACUUCAAAUUUGGUGUCUAAUCAAUUCUCAUUACUACCUUUUAACCUUUCUUUUAAAUUAUCUAAAAACUUUAAUAACAACUUAAAUUUAAUAUUUAUAAAAUCUAGUUAUUAUGUACUAGGAAAGAUAUAAAAUUAAAAAUUAGGGUUUAUUAAAUUUUCAAUGGUUCAAACAAAUCAUUUUUAUUAGAGUUGUAAAGUGUAGUGAAUGUGAAAUAACUAAUAAAUUGAAACAAAUAAAAUCACAACCAUAUAUUGUAUCAUAUAGGGAGACAUGAUCAUAUGAUAGAGUUAGUUGGAUGGAUUAGAAUAAGGUUAAAUAGUUUUAAUUUGAGCAAAAGUUAAACAUGAUUGAGUUAGUAGCUAGAUAAUUAUUAUAUUUACUAUUAUUUGUUUCUUUCAUUUUCUUAAUACAUUUAUUUAAGAUGCGGAUUGUAUAUCGCCACGACAUUCUCUUUUUUAAAAUAUUACAUUACAUAUAACUACGAGAUUGUUCAGAUCCAUCUUUUAUAAUAUAUGUAUUGUUAGGUCCACACACACAAAGUUCUAUACGUAACCUAUCGAUAUGAGGUGGAGAGAAAUAAUAUUAUAAUCAAAUAUCUCUAAUAAAAAAGAGCUCAAGUUGUUAUGUAAUUAGGGUAAAUUUUUAUCGUUGGAAUAUAACAUGAAAUCAAAUAUGAAAUAUGAACAAUAAAAAUUAUAUAAUGAUUUUGUUUAGAAUCUUUGCAUAAAAAAUGAAUUUUUAAAAAAAGAUUAAAGGAGGUGUAAUAACCAUUUUAAUUUUAUUAAGCUAAACAAAUAAUAGUUUGAUAAACACAACACACAAGAGAUUAUAAUAGUAAAAAGUAGUUCGGUCAAAAUAUAAUAGUGGUAAAGUUCGAAAACCAAAUUUAUCUUAUCGGAUUCAUUUCUUCGGAUGGAGUUAAAUUAUGCUAAAAUAUUAUUUAAGUUAUAAUAACACGACAUAAAAAUAUUGAAAAUAAAAUGAUAUGAAAGUUUAAAGUCUUAUAUUAAUAAUAUAAAAAAAAAAACGUUAAAAGUUUACUUUAUUUAAUUUGAUAACUAUUGAAUAAAUUAAACUUUUUAGAUUUGAUUUACUAUUUCCUUUCUAUAUUUUAAAUAAGGUUUUACUUUAGAUCUGAACUCAAAGAUAUUAAUAUAAGAUUUAGCAUUUCAAAAUAUAACGUGACAUAUAAGUCAGAGAUUAUUUAGAUCUCCAAUUUACACGACCUAUACUUGGGUCCAAAGCACGAGUAGUGUAGGUAAGAUAUUGAUAUUAAAUAAAAAGAAAUAAUAUUAUAAUCACAUACUUUUUAUAAAAAAGAACUCAAGUUGUGAUGUUAAGUUAAAAUUGUGGUUUAGAUAUAAAGCAUGAAGGUCAUUUAAAUACACUACUACUAUAUAGUACUAUGAGAUGGACAGAAAAAUAAUAUUUAAUUGCAUCAUAUUUAAAUCAAUACUUUAACCCUAAAAUUUAAAGUAAAUUCAAUAUUACUUUUCAACUAUUAUUACCUCAAAAAAUAAAUAGUCAAAUGCCUUGUUCACAAAAUAUUUUCAUAAGAACAUGGACAAUUUUAUAAAAUAAAUUCCAAGGUACCCUUGAAUUCACUAUUGUUUUUUCUUAUAAAAAAAGGUAACAUAUUAAAUUUGAAAUGUGGGUUGAUGAGUGUAUCUAAUUAUAUAGUUGAAAUUUGAAAAGGAUUCACUAAUUUAAUUACUUGUUAUUGUUAAUAUUAAAUUAAUUGGUUCAGAUUGUAGUUAGUGACAAAAGAAGAAUGGGGUGACGUAAGCUUCUCAAUCUCUAAUUUUGCUCUUAAGGCUUUGUAUCCCAUUGUACGGACAUUGAUACAGAUGAUGUCAUCCAACUAUUUUAAAUACCACUUCAUCAAUAUCUCUUAUUUUUUAAAUAUAUGAUCAUUUAAAUUAUUUUUAAAUUAAGUAUUACUGUUUUUCUUUUUUCUUUUUUUUUGUGUUAUUGAUAAAUUAUAUUUGACUUUUGAUUAAUUAAAUAAAUUGCUUUAGCUACACUACCAAGUUAGUAUAAAAUUAUUCACUAAUUACACAAUGAGCUUCCUUUUAAUAUUACACUAAAACCAAAAUUUUAAUUUAUUUCCUAUUUUUUUUAUUAAUGUAAGAAUCAUGAGUAAAUUAAAAUAGGGGUCUAUUUUUAAAAAAAAACUUAAUAUAAUUAAUUUCAAUAAACUCAAAACAAAGCCUUCAAAAUUUUUUUAAAAAAAACUGUUGAAUAGAGAAAUUUUAGAUUAAUAACAAAUUGCCACGUCAUUUAGCUGAUUAAAGGUACAAAUAAUUAAAUUUGUAACUAACUAAAAUAAUUGAUAUGUGUCCCGAAUUAAACCAUAAAUUGGUCAAUUUUGAUAAUGCCACAUGUAUUAUAACUACCAAAUUAAUUAUUUUGAUUGAAUUAAAUAUUAUUUACUUUGGUUUAAGUUGAAUCCAAAAAUAAGCUUAAUUGAGCUCAACAGUUAAAUAUGACUCAAAUCCAUGUGGUUAAGUUCAUAACGUUCCCUACAGAACUUUAUAAAUAGAAUAGUUCUCCUCGUUUGUAAGGGUUGGAAAUUUUUUACUCCAUAAAGUUUAGAGAGAAUUCACCAAAUAACUAGAAGAAUCUAUGAUUCCUGAAGUUGAUUGCCCUCGAAGAUUGAAGCUCAUUUAAAGAUAUAAGUUUUCUUCUAAUACUUCAACUUUAAGAACAUCAUGUGCUCCGUUUUCUCCAAAUCAAGCGUAAACAUCACAUUAAAUCAACAAAAAUACAACAUCAACUCAAGUUCAACGAAAACCUUAUGCAAACAAUAACCAUAAAAAAAUUAGGCACAUAAAUAAUAAUUUAGAUAUUUAAAAAAAUUGAGUCAUUUUAAAAGUAUUAUAAAUAUGACUUUGAGAAUAUUUCUGAUAGAGUUUUAGAAGAAUGAACAAUAGGUCAACGAAGAAACGGUAAAUAUAUACAUAUAUACGUUACAAGUUAGGUGAAUUUUUUUGACAAUAUAUUAUUAAUUAGACUAAUUUUUAAUUUAAAUAAACUCUUUCAAUGGUAUUAAUAAAUAUCUGUCAAGUACUAGAGGUGGGGAGUAGAGUUAUUGAUACAUACAUACACACACACACAUAUAUAUAUAACUUAAAAAUAUCACUUAAUACUAAACAAAAUAAACAUCAGUUAAUAUCGACAGUAUCAUAUUAAAUAAAAAAUAUUAGACAUCACUUAAAAAAAUUGAAUUUUCAGUACCUUAUAAACAAAUCGCAAAGUAACAUUUAAAUAUUAGGAAAGACUAAAAAUAAUCAUAAUUUUUUUUUAUAAAGAAUUGGAUUAUUUAAUUACACAAGGCGUAAAAAACGUGAUAAUUUUGUAAACAUAAAUAAUAUGAAUUUGACCAUAAACAAAUUAUAUAUAGUUAAUUAGAUGGUAAUUAAAAUUAUAAGAAGAAAAAUUGAAAAGAUAGUAAAUGGUCGCAUUAAGUUGGCUAAACUGCCCUCUCUGACUUUAUAUUUAAUUUUAUUAUAAUGUUUUUUGUUUCACCUUUGAUUUAUUUUUAAUUUUAUGCCUUGAUGUCUCUUUCUUUUAAAAAGUUGAAUAAAACAAGGAAUUAAAAUACAUAUAUUUCUUCCAUAGGUUGAAUUCCAAACCUUGAAACCGCUUUUAAAGAUUAGCGGUUUUGUUGACUUUAGUUGUCAAAGUCCUUCAAGGAUCACACACCACAUUUUAUAACCUUUUUUAUUUUCACUAUUAAAUUCCACUUCAAACCUACAAGUAAGUAAUAUAUAUUAAACGCCCAAAUUGGCUUUUGCCCUUUUUUUGGGUAACAACGUUUGUUUUAAAGCUUCAUUUAUUUUUAAAUAUAACACCCCAUAAAUUGUAUACUUUUAAUCAUUCUAUUCUUUUUUUAUUAUAAUAAACAUCAUAAAUUUUGACACGAGCUUAACUAGAUUCACAUAAAUAUAUAGUUCGAAUCUAAUAAUAUUUAGAGUGGUUUUAUAAUUUUCUACGAUUUUAUUUUUAUGCACUAUUAAUCAGUAGAGAUAAUUUAAUAACAUUUAACUAAAUAAUAUAUUGAAUUGAUAAAUUAAAACUCUGAAAGGAUGAAUGUUGGCAUGACAAAAAAAACAAAAUAAAAUAAGACUUGAGUUAGCUUUAUUAAUCACAAAAUAAGACUUGAGUUAGCUUUAUUAGCUCAUUUUGUUAAUUGACUAUAUUAAUUAGAUUAAGUUCCUACGUGUCUAUUUGGGGAAAAUUUUAUAAAUAUUUUUACUAAUCAUAUUUUUAAGAACAAAGCCUUAGUAAUUUCACCAUAAAUAAAUAAUUAUAUUUUCCACUAAGAGAAAUUACAGUUUUGCCCUCGUCGAUUUGAUUCGAUCUCUGUGGAUAUAAAUUUUCGCUCUAAUAUAAAAUUCUAUGGAGAGAAAAUAAAUAACAAUAUUGUACUUUUUUUCAUUUUUAAUAAUUUUAACCUUUCCUAAAAAAUAAUUUAUUAGUUUAAAUUUAAGUGAGAUAUGACGAUACUUAUCGACAUUUGUGAAAAAUAUUAAAAUAAGCUCAAUAGAAAAACAUUAAUAUUAAAGUGAUUUUUCCGAUAAAUUUUUACUCUAUUUUAAAUUUUAUUGAAUUAAAAGUAAGUUUUAUGUUUCUUGAAAUACUCGUUUCUAAAAUUUUCCAUUUAAAACGUAAUAUGAGUUUAUUAAUAUUAAUUUAUGUAUAGAGUCCCUUUCUUCGAUUUAAAGUCCAAAAGGUAGACACAUAAGAGUCAUUAGUAUAACAUAGUUAAAGAGAAAAAAAAAAGUAUAAUAUAUGUAUAAAGAUAUUAAAAUAAAAUUGAAUGAAUAAAAAUUUCAUGUAGGUACUAUAUAAGAUUUAAAAAAGACUUUGUGUUAUAACAUUAUUAUUAAUUAUAUGAACUAGUUGCCCCUUUCAAUGAAUGCCCAAUUUGUUCAUAAUAACUUUAGUUGACUUCUAAUUUUAAAGUCAACACCUAGUUAUUAUAGUGAGUAUAUAUAUAUAUAUAUAUAUAUAUAUAUAUAUACUAACAAACAUUAUGCCCUUUCCUUUAAUUAAUCCCACUUUAAUUAAUAAUACUUAAAAGAAGACUCUACUUUUGUUUUCACUUCUAUAUUCAUUAAAUCUCAAUUGAUGAUAUUACUUCUAUUAUUGCAACAUUUUGAAUUUGAAUCAAUAACAUUCAACACACGUUAACAUAAUAAUUAAACAUUGCUUUUAGAAAUGUACAUGUUAAAGUUUGUUUCAUUUCAGUGACCCUAAUUGAAAUUAUGUUGAGUUAAUACAUUUUCAUGCAAGCUAUGAGCACUUUUAUGACUAAACCAAUACUCCUUUUCUUUUCUUUGGGAAUUAGUACUUCUAUGUUAAAUGCUUUUCUCAAGCUUUAUUUUAAUAUUUCAAUGUUAUUUUCAACCCCCUUUUUUUUUAUCUACUUCACCCAUAUUUUCAUGGAUUGGUUUGACCAUUUUUGAGUUAAUCACAAUGAAUAAUUUUGUUUAAUUGGUUUCACUAGUUGAAUUUUUAGAUCAUUCCAAAAUAUAAACAUAAAUACAAUACAAACUUUAAUGGUAGACAUUAAUAUAAAUAUAAUUUGACUAAUCUACUCCUUAAAGCUUAGAAUUGAAUUCAAUGAUUUGAAUGUUUUAAGGGAAGGUGUUAAAUUUGACAAACUACAAGAGGAAAAAACCAAAAAAGAAAGAGAGGGAUAGGAAAUAAUGAGUGAUAUUAUUGUAGCAUUGAUUCUGGUUUAGGUAAUCUUCUUGAGCAUAAUGAAUGGAAGGGGUUGAGAAGUAUUGACUUUAGAAAUGGGAACUCGGAGGGUGACUCGCCGAGUUAGAUAAUAUUUGGAUGUAUACAAAGCAUCAAUGUCCUUAUCCAUUUUGAGAAGGCAUAUUUCAUUUUCAAACUUUAUGAGAAAGUAAAGAUUUUUUUUUUUCUCUUUAUACAAGAAAAUUUCUAAGCAUAGUGUUGUACAAGCCAAGUCGGCUAGGGCAAAUUUAUUAGGAGUAUCAUUUAAUUCAAAAUAUCUCUUCUUUUUUCAUUCAGUCUUAUCCUCCUAUUUUCAUCGUUUUUGUCUUUUACUUCAAAGUCUUGUUCAUACGAGAUAAUUUCGAGUAUUAUUAUGGUAUAUGAUUCUCAUUCAUAACUUACUAUAAAUUAAAGUAGCGCGUUUAAGAAUCAUGUGGAGUUCAUAAAUAUUGAAUUAAUAAAUCAUUUGAUGAAUUAUCAAAUGAUGAAUGGAAGUAGUACGUACUACGAUAGUAUUAUAUAUUUUUUUAAUUUACUAUUAUCCAUGAGAUGUAACCACAAAAAAAUUAACGUGAUAAGUUAGUGCAAUCAUGAUAGUAUUGAAUUGUUUUAUUUAUGGUUGUUCUCAAAGUGGAUGAGUUUAACCUUGUCCUAAUAAGUGAAUUGAUAUUAGUUGUAAUUUAUCAUCGUUCGGUCUAAUCCGUUUUUUUAACCAAAUCGUCAUUGAAUCGAUUAUGAUUGGUAUAGUGAAUGAUGAAACGGACAUCAACGGUUGAUGAAGACAUAUUUCUAAAACGUAAAUAAUAAGCAAAAAGAAAAUUACAAGGGUAAAUAUAUUAUAGACAUUUAAACAUAUUUUAAAAGGUUAAAAUAUUUAUUUAUUUUAUGAAUAAAAUUCACCAAAUUCCAAAUUGAUCAAAUAAUAUCUUAAAAUUUCUACAAUUCAACUUUAUGGACUAUUAAAAUCACUAUAUGAUUAAAAUUGAAUGCUUAGUAGCUUAUUCUUCAAAAUAGUAAUAAUAAUAAUAAAUGUGUUUGGCUUAUUACCGAAGUAAAAAUAAUUUCAUGUAUUUAAAAAUAAUAGGAGUAUUUACUCAGCUUAAAUACUGCAAUUAAGACUUCAAGAAAUUCUUUUAGUUUUAUUUUAUCCAAACUACGGAUAUUACACAAAUUUAUCUUCCUCUUCUUCUUUUUUCUCUUUUUUUUUCAUUUGUAAUGAACUUAAUACAUAAUAAUUAUAUGAAUAAAUAAAUGUAUUAACAUCAAACUUCAUAGUUCCAAAUAUUGUUUAUUAGUUGAAGUGUUUAAUUUAAUACAUUAGCCACUCAAAUUCACGAGAAUGUCUUACUACAAAAAUUCAAUCAUAAAUUUUAAUUCUUUUUAAGUAUUCAUAAAUCUAAUAAUGACGUUUUUCUUAUAAAAAUGAAAAUAAAUAAAUAAAUAAAUCGAACGCGCUAUAUUUUUAUUUAGAAUAAAACUAUGUCAAAAACACGAGGGGGCGGAGAAUGACCAUUUUGGUCAACGAAAAUAUGAUGUCACCGAGUAGAUUCCCUCUCAAUGUAUUGGCAUUUUUGGUAAUAAACUUUAAAUUUCAAGGGUAUUCAUCAAACCUUAACCCGUUAAAUAUAUGCACAGGUGGCUCUAAAGGAUAUCGCCACUUUCUUCUUUCUUUUUUUCUUCAAACCUUCAACUGAUAGUGGAGCUUCUUCAGUAUAUGAAUUUAUCAAUCAAUUUGCUUCUGUUUUUCUCUCACUCAAUUCAUUUCUUUACCUUUGGAACUGUCUUUUGUUUGAAUCUUUCAAGUUUAUGAGGUGAGAAGAUCAUUUGGAAAUGGAUUGAAAAUGGUUUUUUGUUCUUGGAUUAUGCUCACUCUUGUGUUUUUUUCUAUGCUGUCUUUGCAGAAUUGGAGUUUGGUUUUGUUGAAUUCAUCUUACUUCUCAUCUGGGUUUCAUUUGAGAACAGUUUUUUUGUGGAUUGGAAUUUUGUCCAACGGUUUAGAGACAUUAUGAGUUUGCUUUACAGUACGAAUUUCAAAUUCUCCAACGACGAAAUGAAGAAAUACCCUGAUUUUAUGGAUUGUGAUUCGACCAACAACCAUCAUUCUCAACAAGAACACAACAAUUCUGGUGGUCUUAUGCGUUAUUGCUCUGCUCCGACCUCUCUGUUUGCGAGUCUCGUCGAUGGAACUGAAGGUUUUAAUUCCAGCAACAAUGGCGGUGGGACCCGUGAGGAUUAUCGGUUUAUUCGAUCUUCUAGCCCUGAGGUCGAAGUUAUUUUGUCGAGGUUUAUGGCGUCGUGUAAUGGAAAAUUUGAUUCGGGAUCUGGUGAGAGGACGGUGAAGGAAGAAACAGGGGAACCGGUUCAACAACAAAACGGGUUCUGUAAUCAACCAUCUUCAAUGGUUAAUACGAGGUCGGUUGAUGCUGGUGGUAGAGCUCCGGUUGGGAACUCGUAUGGUGUUAUGAAUUCUUCGGAUUUUGAUAACUCGAUGCAAUCGCAAUUGGGUGCGAGAAAUUGUUCUAAUCUUUUUAGGCAAAGCAGCUCUCCUGCUGGAUUUUUCUCUCAUUUGAUUGCUGAAAAUGGUAAUAUUUCUGUACAUGAAAUCCCCUUUUUGUUUUUGGUUUUUUUGUUCUCUCAAAUUAUAAGGGUGUAGGCUACAUGGUUUAGUCAACCUGAUUGGUUAAAAAAAUUUCAGCUCCAAUAUUUGUAAAGUCCUUUGCUCCCAUUAAUUUAACUUUAGUCGUUUUUCUUUGGGCUUCUGUUACAAAGAAAUUUAGAUAUUAUUUUGUUUGAUUGGAGAUGCCUCUGUUUUUGUAGGCUUUCCUUUGUUCUUGUAUUCGUUUGUUUACUCGUAUAAAAGAAAAUUCAGAAUAUGGUUUUUAUUUUCCCUUUUUGUGAAAAGAAAAAAGGAUUGCUUCUUCAUCUUCAUAGCAAACAUAGUUCAACUUACAUAUAUAUGUUAACGACGGAGGGCUUUGUGGUUAAAGCUGAAACUGAUAAUUUAGAUCGGAUUCUUUCAUGGAUUAGAUAGUGUAGAUUGAGUAGCUUUUUCGUUGAGUCACUUGUUAACAGGACUACCUCUUGUUAAAUUGCAGGCAAUACAACAAGGGAGGUCGACAAGUUUGGGACUUGCAAUAGGAAAGAUGUAGAUGCUGCUUAUCCAUCUACUCGGAUUGGUAGUCAGAUGAACUUAUCCGGCCAUUCAUUUGGCUCAAACCAUAUGCCACCAAUCGCGGAAGAGGAGAAUAAAAGCAUAGGCAUUGUCGGUAGCUCCCGCCAUCGUCAGAAAGCUAACAGCGGUGAUCGACUUCAGACCGACGAUUUCCUCAAUAGUUCUUGGGAUAACUCUGCAAUGAGGGACACAAAGAGAGGGAGAGAUAACAAUGGGCGUGCAUUUGCAACUUCGAUUGUGCUUGAAACUCAGGUACAACUUGAUGAGAGUACCUGCCAAGUGUUUUCUGAUUAAUAAUGUGCUUUGCGAUAGGGUUUGGCUUAACAAGUCUUUCUUCAGCAGAAUGCUGAUUCUGGGAAUAACAUUCGUGGAUUGGCUCAUCAUUUGAGUUUACCUAUAAGUUUCAAUAAGGAUCCGGUAGAGAAAUUUUUACGAUUUCAAGAGCCUGUCCCUCAUCAAAUUCGAGCAAAAAGAGGAUGUGCCACACACCCGCGAAGCAUUGCAGAGCGGGUAGAUCCUCUCUUCUUUCAAUCAACCUCUCAUUGUUCUUAACUGAUUAACUCUAAUGUAAACUCAUCAAAUUCUUAAUCUCCUAAUGCUCAAAUUAUCAGAUGAGAAGAACACGGAUUAGUGAGAGAAUAAAAAAACUGCAAGAGCUUUUUCCUGACAUGGACAAGGUAAUUAUCCUGAGCCUAGAUGAUAAAUCUUGUUUAUGUCGUAAAGUUUACAAUGUUUAAAGACUAAAAUAGUUCGAUCGCUCAAUCUUUCUUUGCAGCAGACAAGCACAGCUGAUAUGUUAGAGUUGGCCGUUGAAUACAUUAAAGGGCUGCAGAGACAGGUCAAGGUAACCUCCAAAAGCAACCUAAAGUUCAUAAAAUCACAUGAAGAUCCAGCCAAUACCUUUUACUCACAAGAAUCACUUUUCUUUUCGUGCAGACUCUCACAGAUACGAAAGCGAAAUGCACUUGCUCAUGUUCGAGUCAAUAACAAGAAGCCAUAAAGAAAGCAACACCUAUCUUUUAGUUUGAUUUUGAUCUGUACAGAAAGCAGGCAACACCUAUCUUUUAAGCUCUAAGGAAGAAAGAUACAAGAAAGAACAAUACAACGUUGUCUACUUUGUUUAAAAGUCAUAGGAUUUUAGGAAAUUGUCUGUGUAAUAGAAACUCUUGUAAGUUAAAAUAGUUCAAUGUAAGAUCCAAAUCAUGGGUCAUUCACUCAACAAAAUCCAAUUGAAUAGUUCGCUUUCUGGCAUGUAAAUGUGCUGCUUCCAUCAUCAUAUGCAUAACUAUAAGCCAAUGGACAAGCUAACUUGAAUGCUUUCGAAUAAACUGUCGGCUUACACGUCUUCGGGGUACUGUAUACCCCCGUGCAGCAAUACUCUGGCUUGUUGAAAGCCAGGCAUGCACUCUUACAACCAAUGACCGUAUCAUUCUUCUUCAUCUCCAAACCAUCAGGGCAAUGCUGAUUCAAAUCUGUCAGGCAUUUCACCGUUUGGCAAGUACUCGAUCCACCAGAUGGAGCUAUCGAAAUUGGAAUGUUAUAGCCAUCAACAAGGCUAACAUCAUAAAAAUCUAAAGGACUGUCUAAGGUGAACUCUGCAAGUGUGGCAGGUGGGACACCACCCGCCCCUGCACAUUCGAGUACGCCACCACAGUCACCAGUUUGGCACGUUCCUUUGCCAGAGACAUCAAAGGAACAUCCACGUCGACCCCAGAAUCGUCCGGACCAUCCUGUAGGCGCAUUGAUCGUCACGGUCUCGCCAGGCUUAAGCUGAAAUCCACCAUUCAUCAGUUGAGGCCUCCCAGCUCCUGGUUGGAUUCCUGGCCAUAUUAUGUCAUUACAUUUAUUCUCCAAAGUGAAAACUGCAGCAUCAAUGCCUGAAAAGGAAAACCAUGCAUCAGAAUACAAAGAGAAAGAAAGGAAAAGAGAGAGAGAUUUGUGUUUGGUACCCAAGAAAAAGCACAAAGGCAGAAUGACAAACAAGAACUCCAUGAGAGCAGGAAAAAAUGGGAACGUUGGAUUAUGAAUAUUGGGUUUUAAAGAAGGCCAAACAAACAGAACUUUCUGACCCAGAAGAAAUCCAACAACUUGUCACAUGAGGAUGAUUUUUACGACUUGAUAUGUUACCAAAAUUGGAUGGAAAAAACGAUACGUUUGGUAAGUGAGUGAUUGAAAGAAAAAAAACUGGUCUUAAAUUCACUUGUAUUUGACCACAAGGCCAGAGAGUAAAAACAAAUAUGGUAAUUUCAGCAUUUAUGGGUAUAGUUAAGCUAUCAAAAAUGGCGAAAAGAGAAAUAUUUCAAUGGUCUAAAGCUUACUAUCUACAAGAAUCAUGUGAUAAUUAAUGGUGGGAAAAUUUCCAAUCAUGUUUUUACUUCAUUGGGUGCCCAAUUUUAAUUUUAAUCACUUGGAUUGUAUUGAUUUUUAGUAAAUAAUGAGAGUAUUAAGUACAUAUUAGCAAUUGGUUAAGAGUUUGUUGAGAGGAGUUUGGAAUCAUAACGUUAAAGCUAAUAUCAAUUAGCUCACUUGUUUUGAUAUUUAAAGAAAUACAAAUGUGGUAGAUACUAAAAAACUCAUCGAAUUUUGGAGUAUAUGAAAGAAGUUAUGAACUAUGAAGGUAUUAUUAUUUUCCUAAAAGAAAACAUUGGGUUUAAUUAGGCCUUGAAAUGAGGAAUGUCAAUUGGGGAAGUCAUCCCAAGUAUAUAAACACAAGGCCUUUGGGCCAUAGCCCUACUUCUACUUCUUAAUUGUUGGGCCACUUCAGCACUUUGUUACCCAAUUAUUAUCAUCUAAUUGUAAUGACUAAUUGACUAAUUAGAUUAGUAUCUUAAAUAAACAAACAUGGUACAAUAAUGAUAAAACAUUUGUAAAAUAGCAAAUAUUUUACCAAUUAAAUAGUAAAAUUUUUGAAAAUGUCAAGUUUGAUCUUCCUUAUGAAAAUUAUUAAUAGAAGCUAUCACUAGUAACCGAUAUCAAUGACAGCACUGAUAGUACAUUUUUCAAAUUAAAAUCUAUUAUUAAUAGCAUCUAUCGGUGAUAGUAACUACUAUCUAUAAUAGUUUUCAAUUUGAGAAAAUAAAAAAAAAAAAAAAAACUUGCACUUAGAAUAAUUAUUAGUGAUAACAACUAAUAACGGCUAUUAGUGUGAUAAUAUUUAUGAGUGAUAGCUUUAAUUUGAGAAAUUUGGAAAGGAACGCUCAAAGUGGUGGCUACACGUUGAUUUUUUUAGUCUUUUACUAAUUUUGUGCUAUAUGCAAUUAUUUCAUCACUUUGUUACAUAUUUUACAAUUUGUUGUUUAAAUGUCACUUACGAAAGUGGCUCAUUUUUAAACUUAAUACUCAAGUGUAUAACAACGUUGUUAAAGAAAUGUAAAUAUAACCAAAUCUAUAGACGUGAAGAGUAGUAUAAGUUCAAUUUUCAAAAUCCAAAAUUUAAAACACCAUUCUCAUCUUCUUGUUUUUUUAAUAAACAAAUGAAUUUCUUGGUUCUGGUUAUCCAUUCAUAACGUUUACAAAAUAAAAAUUAUCGUAAAUGAAAAAACUGUUGAAAAUAUUUAUAAAAAUAUAUAGUAAAUUUUCAAAAUUUAUUAAUAAUAUAGACGAAUAUACUCUUUUUUCUAUAUCAGCGUCUAUUAGUGGUAAAUUUGAAUUGUAAAUAUUUUGUUUCUAUUUGUUACACUUAAAAAUACCCUAAAUCUAAACCUAAUUUCGAAAAAUAAACCGUUUGCUAAUCAUUCGGUUUUGUAAAGUUAAGCAUAUAAACGUUAUUUCUAUCCGUUAUCCAUUUAGGUUUUGAAAGUAUAGUUUUUUUUCUUUGGAGAAAAACCAUAGUCAUAAUAAUUAAUACCUUUAGUUUUUUAUAAAAAAAAAUAUUUUGAAGCAUUAUGUAGUUGAAGUCAAAGCAAUAUGGUAAUUAAGAACUUGUUAAAAAUUAAACAACGUUAUUAUAUUAAUUAGAUAAAUUAGUUUUUGACUCUUGAAUUAAACAAACUUAAUCAUUAUUAUAUCAAAUUCAUUGCCCAAAUUGAUUAUAAACUAUAAAUUAAGAAUUGUAAAUUAUUAGAAAUAUGUGAAGGGUUUUGCUUAGUUGGUCUCAACAAUUUGUUUGGUUAAAGACAAAUCAGUAGAUAAAUUAAACUAAAACAAAGGAUUAAACAAAUCCAAUUGAAAAAGAGACUUCUUCUAUAAACCAUUUUCAUUAUUGUGAGGCAUUCAAAAUCAUCAUUAUUAUUUUUUUGUUUGAAAUUACUCAUUUUGUUUACCAUUUUAUUCCAUCAUAUUAAUAUUGGUCUCGAUAGGAACUAAAUCAUUACAAAUUAUAAAGUGCAUAAACUAAUUCGUUAUGCUUUUGCUUCCUCUCAUGAUGAUUUGCUGACUUGAAAACUAAACUUCUAACCAGAUAUAUUAUUCUUUUUGAAUAUUUGUUUUGGUUCAGAGUGUUGUUGUGUGGCUGCUAACAAAAGAAAAAAUGUAUUAUUAACUUAUACUGUAUAUGACGUGGUUCAUAGAAUAGAACUUGUUACAUUGACCGAAUAAAACUUUAUAGAUCUUCUAAAAUAAUAAAUAUACUCAAGUUGAAUCUAUCAUUUAUUUGAUUUAUGAUUGGUAUAGUUAGGUAUAAUUCCAUUUUUUUAUUGUCUUGUUCAAGUUUGGUACAAGCAAAAAUUUUGACAAUAUUAAUUGGAAACUAAUUGAUACAUAGUCAAAUUUUAAUUUAUUUUGAUGGUAGAAUCCGAAGAUGAUUUUCAAAAGCAAAAGUCGUUAAUUAUAUGUCUAACACACCUUUUUACUAAACUCAUAAAUUCAAAAACAUAUAAAACAUAAUUUUUACUUACCAAUCAGACGUUCAAACUAGUUAAUAAACCCGAUCAAAAAUCUUUUAUUUUUUAAAAAAAAUAUUGAACCCGAGACGUCUUAUCCUCGAUACAUAUACAAGUGUAUGUUGAGUAUCCAAUAUUUUUCUAAACCAAAAUUUGUUGUUUUUACUUGAAAACACAUAGACUUACAUGUUAGGAGGUUAGGAAGUAUAUGAACCUAAAUUAAUAUUACAAAUACAAAAAAUAAAAAGCAUUUAAAAAAAGGAAUAGAUUGAUUUUUGUGUAGUAAAAUAUAAGGUAACAAACACAUAAAUAUAUAAUUUAUGAAGAUUUAUAGGAUUUGUUUGUUGUAAUAAACAAUGUUUGGAAUCAUUCAAAUAUGAACUAGCACCAAUUACAACCAAUAAGAAACACCUAAAUAAUAUUUUUUGGUCAAUGCCCACACCACCACGACUUAUUAUUACUAUUAGUUUUCUUUUUUCUUUUCAAGCAAUAUCAUAUAUCAUAUAUCAUAUAUAUAUAUAUAUAUAAAUUAUUUCAAUAGCAUGAUAUAAUAUUUAUGAAAAGUUGGUAAGGUCAAGGUCAAACUUCCCACAUGAGUGAGAGAUUUAACUUUUUGUCAUUAAUUAAUAAGUAUGUGUGAUGUAUGAUCCUUUUGAUAUUCUAAAUUUAUGGUAUGAUAAUGUUAAAAAGAAAAAAAAAAAAUUGAUUUAUAAUUUUAGGUAGUAAUGUGUGUGUCAUAAGUUUAGUGGUUAUUCUUUGCUUAAGUAACUUUGUUUGAGAUAAAAAAUUGAAGUUCAAUUUUACAAUACGAAGAAAAUAUUGUAUAAUAAAACAAAAGGAAUAACCUAACCCUAAUUAAUCAAACUGUGUAAUUAGAUGGUGUUAGUCAUUAAUUACAUCUGGAAUAGGGUUUUGAAAUAUUAUCAAAUUUAAUUCCAACAAAACAUGGAUUAAUCUCAAACUUAAAAUUCUAGGUUUUGUUUUUAUUCUUAAUUAACAUAAUUUGUUCAAGGAUCUUUUAGGUAUGUUCGUGUGUGGAUAUGAAACUACAUGGUUUGUGCAUAAUGUAUGGAUACAUCAUUCAAACGAUUUGAUAGCAAUAUUAAUUUACUAACAAUAAAACAACUAGAUUGUUGCGAACAAAAUAUAGUGAUAAACAAACAUAAAAUAAUAUUGUAUUUAAAACAUUGGAAAAAUAGUUUUGUAUGUAAAAUUAAAAAGUUCAAAAUUCAAUUGUAUUUGUUCUAUCUCUUAAAAUUUCCAAAAUAAUAAUUAAUCAUCUUUCAUAUAGUUUCCAACAAUUUUUUAUUUAGAAAAAAACACUAUUUUUUUUUCUUGAACCUCACAAGUGGUAAUUAAAAUAGAGAAGUAAACAAUAAAAUACACAUUUUUUCCUUUUUUUUCUUUUUUUCCUCUCUUAAAAUAAUAUAUCCAAUAUUAAUUUUAUAUUUUAAUCAGAAGCAAAUGGGUUGAAUUUCACAACCGGAACGCAAUUGAGCGGGUGGGCCAUGGGCAACCCGAGACCCGAUCCGAUUUCCAUAUUCGCCUUUUUCUCCUCUUUGCCGUCCACUUUCCAGUCAAAGCAUUGAACCAUGGCGGCGAUUACGACGGUGCUGGUGGUGAAAGCCAAGGUAGACCCGGGACAGCCGCGCCGUCCGCCGCCAAAUGGAACGAAAUUGAAAUUUUGGCCCUUAAUUUCGUACUGGAUCUGCUUCAUGCUGUCGCCUUCCUUGGCCUGUGAUAUGAAUCUCUCCGGCCGGAACUCGUUGGGAUCUUCCCAGGAAUUGGGAUCUCUCAUAAUGGCGAAGAGAUUAACGCCUACCAUGGUGUUUUCCGGUAUGUCGUAACCGUUGAUUUUGCAGCUUUGUGGACAACUCCUCAUCGCCACCGGCACCGCCGGGUACAUUCUUAGGCCUUCCUUCACCACCGCCUACACAAUUUUCAGUUCACACUAUUUAACUAAAAAUAAGAGACAUUUUUCACAAAAAUUCAAAUUAUUUACAAAAUAACUAUCUAAACUGUUAGACGAUGUGAAAAUAGUUUCAAUCUUUUUUUAAUAACUAAUUUGUAAAAUAUCAAAUCUUUUCAAACGAAAAAGUAAAUUGUUUUUUUUACUUAGUUUCCUCCAUGAUAGAGGCAGGAUUUAAACCUUACUUGCAAGUAGGGCAUAUGGGGAACGUCGUUUUCCUGAACAAGUCUCGAGUCUCCGACAACGGAGAGUAUCUCUUCUCUUAGCUUUUUGAGCUCUUUUGGGUGGUUGAUUAGCUCUGCAAUUAUCCAUUGCAUCACCUCCGUCGACGUUCCGGUCCCGCCGACGAAAAGAUCCUACGAAUUAAACACCUCAAUUUAACAGACUAAUACAAUAAUAAUGACAGAUACACAAAACGACAUUUGUUACAAUUUAAACGCCAUUUUCUUUCUCUUCCUUGCCGCCACCGGCCGGCAGAUAAUACACGUCCGACAAUAAUCAAAUUAUUGAAUCAAUCAUCAUUUGAAAAUAACUAAUAUAUUUCUAAUGGUUUAAAUAUAGCAUUUGAAGACUAUUUAUUCUUUUUAUUUAUAAAAAGCAAAAUAAUAGCAAUAACUAUUUAAAUUUAUAGAUUAAAACGAUCUAAAAUGUGAAGUGUAUAAAUUUGACAACCCACUUUUUACAAAUGAAGGCAACAACCUUUGAAAUUAUAGUAAUGUUAAAUAUGUGAGUAUAAAAUACUAAGAUUCCUUCCAUAAAUCUAAUAUGAUCAACCAUUAAUGCUUCAAACUGAAAUAAACAUACUUUAAUUUUUGUCAAAGUUCAAACUUUAAAGAAAACUAAUUAAACCCCAGAUCCAUAUUUUUCUCUUGUUCAAAGUAUGAUAUUCCAAACCCCCUUUUUCUCUCUCUUUUCUUUUGAUUAACAAAAUGACAAGAAAAAUUAAGGAAAAUUUAUUUACAUAGAAAGGAAAAGCAUUUCAUGUGUCAAUAAAAACAGAAAAAUAGAUGAUGCAAAUAAGUUAUUAAUAAUGAGAAGAAAAAAACAAACUUACCAACAAGAAAGCCUUCACAUUUGUUCUAGUAAUCUUAAACUCCGCUUGACUAUCUUGAUGAACCUUCAAGAUUAUAUCCAUUAAAUCUCUGUCUUCUCUGUCAAAACCUUCUACCUUCCCUCUCUCUUCAUGUUGCUUUAAUGCUUUUUCUAAUAUCGCAUCGUACCUGUAAGAGUUGUCUCGUCAUAUUUAGUCAAAUACGUAUAUAUGAUCAUAUACGAUCAAAAUGAUCCAAGUUAUGUCCUUUGUACCUCAUCGUCACGUCAAUGGCUUGUUUUCCAUACACCCAAAAUGCCACCCUUUUCAGCGGCCAUCCCACCACGUCGCCGAAGGCUACUUUUGCUCCAACCUCCAUUGUAUCUUUUACUAGUUGUCGAAUCUUUUCGGAUUCGUCACUGUCAUCUGCGCACCUUAUGCUCAUCAUCAUCCUGUUGAAAUUUAAAAACAAAAAAGUUAAAAUUUACUACAACUCAUAUCAACUUAAUUCUUUUAGUUCAAAAGUUGUUAUUUGUUCAAGUCAUUCUCUUCGAUCUAUCGUGAUAGACUAUAGUGCGGAUAGUUAAUAUCAACCUGCAAAUGCUAUUGUUGGUUAGUUUCAUGAGCUCUGCACCAACAUCAACGAGCUGGUUGUUGUUGGCAGCAGCCACCAUUUUUCGCAAGAAUCUCAAAACCUCUUCAUACCGAACAGCGCGUGAUCGUUCAACUUGUUUCGGUGCAAGAAGCUCGGUCAUGGUGAGCUUCUUCAUGAAACGCCAAUAGUCACCGUAAGGAGCGGCGAAGAAUCCAGAGCUGCCAUAGGGGGUUUCAUCGCUGAAGGCAAACUUUGGACGAGAAGAAAAGGCGAGAUCUUGAGUCUUAAAGACUUCGGUAGCGAGGGAAGCGGAGGAGACGACUAUGCAACGGACAGCACCAAGUUGGAGGCAGAGAAGUGGGCCAAAUUUGGAGGAGAGGGCAGUGAAGGACUUGUGGAGGGAGGGAGAGAGGAGGUGGAGGUGACCAAGAAUAGGGAUGGACGGGGGGCUCGGCGGGAGGCGGCGAAGAUUGGAGGAGGAUUUGGUGGUUUUUGAUCUAUGGAAAAGAUAUUGGAGGAGGAGAGUUGAGAUGAAACAGAAGAUGAAACAGAGGAUGUAGGUGUUUGUUUCUGUCAUAUUUCUCUCUUUUCUUGUUGUUGUUUUGAGUUGAGAAGUUGAGAGAGAGAUGAGAAUGAAGUUAAUGAAAGAUGGAAUGAAUCAAUUUUGUUGUGUCAUCUCGUUUGAGACCCUUCCUUUCUUCUCUUUUAUUUAUAGAAUUCAUAGACUUUGGAUCUCUCUCACCCUAUAUGUGAUUUUGAGAUUUCAAAUGAGUCCCUUCCAUUUAUACUCCAAUUAUUUCAUUUAGUGACCAAAUUUAUAAUGAAAAUAUCGACUACCAUUUUAAGACAAUAUUAAAUCUAAGUAUGUUAGCAUGACAAAUAAUAUUUAUAACUUGUUAGGAGACAUGAAUAAUAUUUUAAUCUACAUAAAAAAAAUAGUUAUCAAAACCAUAUACUUUUUUAACUUGUAUCAUAUAAUUAGUGAGUAGUUUUGAGGAUCUCCUUUUAAAAAAAUUAAGAGAUUUCACCGUUUUUAUAAAGAUAAAUGAUUUCGAAAUGGUAUCACAUGUUAUCUAUUAGUAAUAGUUAUAAUUAGACUCUAAAACUCAUCAAAGUUACAAUAGUUAUAGAGAUUGAACCGCCAAAAUGAUAAAAAUCAAAUUUAUCCAAUCAUUACCGUUCUUACAAUUAUGUACGUUUAAAGGUCUAAUUUCAUUUUGAAUGAUAGAGUAUAAUUGCAAUUAUCAUCAUACUUUAGUGGUGGUCUUUUCAAUUUAUCAUAAAUUUGUGUCUUUGAUCUAGAUUUUAAUAAUAUCAAGAGUUGUUAAGUAUAUUUAUGUCCAUGCCUUAUUAUUUCUCCCCUAUACUAAUAUUUAUGUCCCAUGGGGCUGUCUCUAGAAAUGAAUAUUAAUUGAUGCCUUAAAAUGUAUAUAAUAGUAAUGAAACAUAAAUGAUUUAGGAACUAUAUUGUUUAGUUGAAUUAAAUGAUUUGGUAAAGUGUCACAUAUUAUUAUUACUUAUUUUGUAAUUUUUCAAAUGGCCUUUUUUUUUUAUUUAGUACAAAAGUAUAAUAAUAAGGAUCCAUUUUUUAUUAUUUAUAUUAUAAUUGGUUAUUUAAAAAGGGUGGAACUUAUAUAUAUUUCAUAAUAUAUAAAAAGCUCCAAUAAAACUCCCAUCAUUUAUUAACAUUUUUGUAAAUUCAUUGAUAUUUGUGUAAUUUUGAAAAGGAGUUAAAUAAUAAUUGGUAAUUCCAAAAAGAAAAUUUGUUUUCCUUCUUUAUAAAGUCAAAAUUCAACUCUAAGAGAAAUUACAAUAAUUCUUUCCACUCAAAACCCUAUUUGACUCACAAGUCCAUUUCUUUUAUCUUUUAAUCUCUUUCUCAAUAGAGAUAAAAAUAACUUUUAGGAUUAAACUUUUAAAAUAUUAUAAUAAUUUAGUUUAAUUACAUAUUAAUACUAUUUAACAAUAUCUGAAAGGGAGAAAAUUGAACAAUAUUUAACUUUUGUGUUAAUCUAUUUACCAUUAUUAAUCCAAUCAAUUAUAAUUCACAUAUUUAAAUCAUAAUUUUUUUAUAAAAAAAAUCUAAUAAACUAUUCACACUAUGGAGAGAAUUAAGGUAACUUAAAAAUAUUAAACUAAGGUAACUUAAACUUUCAUUAGAACAUAGUUUUAGACUAAAGACUAACGAAGUCAAAUUUUAAUACUUUAUUCUAUAAAACAAACUCACCUUUGGUAUUUUAAAUAAUGUAUUUCCUUCAAAUAAAUAUAUAAUUAAUUGUGAGAGCAAAUGGUUGAAAUUGAAAAAUAUAUCUAAUUAAGACAAUUGUCCCUUUUUUUCUUUAAUUAUGCAACAUGAAUAUAUAUUUUUUAUUUCAUUCAUACUAAUUAAAUUAAUAUAGUGUGUGUCUUACUCUAUAAACUAAUUAAAUAUAUUAUUAACUUUUGUCCUCAUUCAAUUUUUCCUUUCAUUAUUUCUCUAAAAACUUAAUUGUAUAAUUCUUACCCAUAUAUGAAGGUACCUCAUGGGGAAUAAUAUAUAGAAAAUAGCAUCGCCAAUAAGUUAUACAAUUUAUAUUAUGAAUAUGAUUGUUAAUAAAAUUAAAACUGUAUAUACUUUGUUUAAAUAAUUAGAUCAUAGUUUAAACUAAAUUUGUUUAGUUUAUUCGAAAUUUGUAUUCAUAAACAUUUAAUCUCAUCUUUUUUAUUCUUUUACUAAGGGACAAUGAUUUUCACUAAGAGGCAAUGAUUUGACCAGGUAACUAAUAGUUAUAUUUUAAUUCAUUUAUGCAGUUUUAAAUUUUUGUCUCUUUCUUUAAUGUACUUCGUCAUCGAAAAUAUAGAUCAACUUAUUAUUAAAAACCUUCAAUUUCAAAUGUAAUAUCAAUAAAAAAAAAAUGAAAUGGAUCCAUGAAUGACAUGUAACUAUUAGACUAAUGUUAAUAUUUUAGUUAAAUCUAAAGUUUAGGUGUUAUUAUUUUUUUCUCUCCUUGACUUUGCCAACUAAAGCCCUUAGUCUAAACUUUGAUGUAUGUAUGUAUCAUAGAAUAAUUUCCCAUCAUUGUCACAAAAACUCAUAUAAGGUUUUUUUUCUCUUUGCAUAAAAUAUUUUCUACUUACCAUUCAAUUUUCGUAUGAAAUAAAUUAUGCAAAUGUUGUAGUGGAUUUGUGCCUAAGUGCUACAAAAUAAUCAAAUUAAUGUUCUUAAUUAAAACUAUUGUGGAUAUAUAGGAAACGUUAAUGUUACAUCAUAAUCGUAAUUAAUAUCAAUUGAAAAUAAAUGAAACAUUAAUGUUACAUCAUAACAUAAUGUCGUAUCCAAAUGCAAAACACAAAAAACAAUCACUUAUCUCAUUUAAUUUUUCUUUUUCUAAUUCAAUUCUCUUUUUAUUUUUCUUUUCUUCUUCUUUCUCUCAUGAUAUCUACUUCUAUAUAUUUUCCAUAAAUUUCCUUCAAUCCUACUUAGUGUUUGUAGUCAAUACUAUUCAAAUGCUUUGGAAAUGUGGACUCUUUCCUCUUCAUUAUGUCUACCAUUAUAUAAAUCUUCCAAUUUAAAUUUACUUCUUGGAGAAAAUUAAAUAUCUUUAAUGAAGUAUUUUCCUAUAAACAUUUUUACAACAAAUGUCCAAUAUUUUAUAACAGAAAAUUCAUUUUAUCCUCCUAUAGCUUUAAAAUAAUUGAAUAAUAUUUACAAAUAUAUAUAUAUCUAUCCAAUACAAAUAGACAUGAAUAUUUUUUCAUGCUAUAUUACCUAUAAAUCUAAGUUUCAAUCCUUCUUUUCCUUCAAUUUUUCCCAUUUUAAGCUGCAUUUUUUAAAAUGUGUGUGUAUUGAUCAAUAACUUGUAUGUUAAGUAAAAUAAAUUACUUUUGUUUUAGGGAAAAAAAAAAAGAAAUAAAUGGUCAGAUCAUGUUGCAUUAUUUAAUUAUAACAGCAAUUAAUUGACCAUUACUAAAAAAGUAUUCACAACUGGACCAGAUCUCUUGCAUUAUUAUUUUAUAUCUACAUAUUAGAAUUAUGUAUAUGUGUAUAUGUGUGUAUUCAUAACUUAGCAUGACAUACUUGCACGAAAUAUGAAAUGGAAAUUUUUUAUUAUAUUAAACAACAAUAAGUUUAAAUAAUUGAAGCAUAAGGAAAGUAAGGUAUAUUAAAUUAAUCAUAAAAAUAAAAUUAUGAAGAGAAAAAAGAUAUUCUGAUUGUUCAAACUUAAUGAAACAAAACAUAUAGAAAAGGAGGGCAAUUGUUGUUUGUUUCAGAUCUAUUUAAUCAUAAACAUAAGUGCAAAUAAUCAUCCUAUGAACUGCUAAUCAUUUUUUGAUCAUUAGCAAAUUUGGUCGAAUUUAGUCUUCAUAAUUUAUAAUUAGAAUGUAAUGUUAUACUUUAACAAAUAAUUCUUGAGGUGUUGAUUAUUUAUGUUAUAAAAUUUUUAUCCAAUAAACUAUUUAUGAGGUUUUAUCCAACUAUAAGAACUAAAUUCUAUCUUUUAAAACUUUGAAAGUCUCCCGACUUAUAACCCAUUUUAAAUUGAUGUUCUUAUCAUCGUUAAUGAUACUUUUUAUUCGCUUUUUUGGUACACUUCAUCAUAGAUAUUGUUUUAGAUAAAUUUGGAUGACAUGCUACCCAUCUCGCAUAUCUUCAUUAGUGUAAAAUCCAAUAAAGAGAAGAAGUUAUGUAUUAUCUAAUAAAAUGGUCAAAGACUAGAAAUCUCAACUUCACAUUUCACAUCACUCACCAAACUCAUCUUUCAACCAAUGAGUCCAUAUGAAGCACCUCUAAGAAUUUCUAAAGUCGUUCUCAUUCCAAAGUUGAAACAAACAUAGUUAUUCUUAACUUAAACAUAUAUCCAACCAUGACAUCUAUCUAAACAUCAUAAGCAGCGUUAUUCAUCAUCUUCACACACCCCACCAUCGUCCCAACUUCUAGAAACCUGCAUUAGAAACCAAGUUUCUCAAGAAUCUUCAACACAAAAACUAGAAAAAUGUAGAGAGAUCAAGAAGCAAGGAGAAAUAGUUACAUGGCUCGAAAUUUGCAGCGCAUUUCUGAGGCAGAGACAUGGCCAAGUUAUAAUCAACACCAGAAACAGGGGGAGCAUCCAACAACGCACAAAUACAAGACUGGCCUAAAGUUUUGAUAGCAUCGCAACAGACAAGACUUGGUGGUAUAGGGUGGAAUGGAGACAGUGAAGGCCUACAAGGAAUUAGCUGAACAAGAGAGUAAAUUAGACUGUUAGAACAGAACUUGGCUUUAGCUUGCCCUAGAAAGGAUGUAAUUGCCAACAUGAACACCAGAAACUCCAGAGGCUUGAAGAUCGCCUGUUUCAUCUUUGAAUACAGAUAAAAUUCUCAAGUUAAAAUGAAGAUGAAUAUUCUAUCUAGUGAUGCUGCUUAUAUUGAGAGUAACUCAUGCUUUCUUACACUAUCUUCCUAACACAGUACCCACUUGCAAAUGCAAUGUGCAACUUUUUGUUUCUCUUACUAGCUAUGUAUUUUCUGAGGUUUAUCUUUACUCUUUUUAUUUUAUGGGUGUCAGAAAUUGCAAAACUCGUGUUUAUGUGUAGGUGAAACAGAAGGAAAGCACCUGGUUGGUGAAACAGUCCUGAGGAAGUCAAGAAAAUCAAUAGGUAUAAACAAUGCAUCCCAAAAUUUUACAUUCUAAAUAAAAACUUUCAUUAGAGAUAAAUGAAACCUUCUAACAAGUGACUGUUCAUCCCAAGAACAGUCCAACCAAAUAGACUUCAAUCAAUGACAGUCCCAAUCUUCAUACACCAACAGACCAAUGUAGUAAAACAUCAGAAAUUGUUGUUAGCUAACAUUUUAUUCACAUUAUCAAAAUUAGGAACUCACAAAAGGGUAAAAGAGAAUUGAACUUACGAGUUCACUAGAACAACAAAAUAAUAUUAACUCAUACCAUUUGAAGUCAACAAAUUUAGAUAGAGAUAAUAAAUGAAAAGAGAUAAUUCAUUUAGUAAACAGAUUGUUGAGUCCCAUAUACAUGUGACCUACCAUAUACUCAUGGGACAGCAUAUCAAAACACAAAACACAGUAGAUUUACACCAUAGACUAAAUCUAGAGACAGAAAAAGCACUUAAAAAAGUAAAAAACCAAAAACACAAUAAUCAAACCAAACCCUCUAAGCCCUUUCCCCUCUAAUCCUCCUUGCCAAUUGAAUAUCCUUAGGCAUAAUGGUUACCCUCUUAGCAUGAAUAGCACAAAGAUUCGUAUCCUCAAACAGACCAACCAAAUAGGCUUCGGCCGCCUCCUGAAGCGCCGCGACGGCACUGCUCUGGAACCUCAGAUCGGUCUUGAAAUCCUGAGCAAUUUCACGAACCAAACGUUGAAACGGAAGCUUUCGGAUCAGAAGCUCGGUGCUCUUCUGGUACUUCCUGAUUUCACGAAGUGCGACGGUACCAGGACGGAAACGAUGGGGCUUCUUCACUCCACCGGUAGCCGGAGCUGACUUCCUGGCAGCUUUGGUGGCCAAUUGCUUUCUGGGGGCCUUGCCUCCGGUAGACUUCCUGGCGGUUUGCUUGGUGCGAGCCAUUCGGGCAAAUCAGUAGAGCAGAAAUUGGAAGAUUUGAGUUCUGGAGGUUGAAGAUUCGAUUGAGCGAUGAGGAAACUUCGAUGGUUUGGUGAUGGAGAUAUAGGGUUUGCAAGAAGAAGAAAAGCGGGAGAUUUUAAAUUUUGGGGGAAAUUUGGUGGGUUCGUUUCUUAGUUAGCGUGAAGAGUCACCGUUGGAUGAUACCCAUUUGGACGGUCAGAUUACACGAAUUGUUUCCUAUCUAGGAUUGCGAUCCGUGGGGAAAUUUAUCAUCCAAUACAAUUCUGCCACGUAGAAAAUCCCCCCGCCUUCUCUUAGUUACCCACCGGAGGGAAACCAUUUAACCGCGCAAUUUUCUAAUUUAAUUUUUCGGCCAAAUUUUUAAUAGCACAUUUUAAAAUAUUAAAAAAAAACUAUUAACAAAAUCUAUCACAUUAUUCAUAAGUUUUUUUUUUUGUAUUUGUUAAAUAGUUUAAACUUUUGAUAUCAUAAAAGUGCAUCUUUUAAUUAACAUUUUCUUACCAAUUUUUCUUAAUUUGCAUUUACAGUGAUAAUUUGAUGUAAUUUUUUUAAUGUUUUUGUGUUAGCUUUUUCGUAUAUGACAAAAUGUACAAAUAAAAAUUGAAACCAAAUACAUCACUUUAGUAGCUAAAGUUAAGUGUCCUACUUGGACAUUGCCUCAAUAGCACAAUGAUCAUCACAAAAAUCAUCAUCAAUUGGCAUAGGAUUCUUGUUACCCCAUUAUUUGUACUAGAAGUAAUGACUUCUAUGCUGACCAAAAAAGUAAGUUUGGGCAACACAUACAACACAAAUACCCCAAAAGAAAGCGCUGACAACACAAAACCAAUAGCAUCAACCACAUUUGUGAAGAAAUAAAAUGUUCUUUCAAGCAUCAAAGCCUAAUAAUAAAUGCCACAAUGAGCAACCUCCAAUACACAAUCAAAUUUGAGCACCAUCAAACUUUGUUUUAUUCUCAACAUAUAAAUAUGAGUACAAAUUUUCAUCUCAUUCAACUUCAAAUUAGUCCAUGUAAUUAUUAACAAGCUAGCUAGUAGUUGCAAAUCGUGUAUAUGAUCAAGAAACUAAAUUGGGUAACUAUUGUUAUCUAGCAAUUGGUUUCUCUUAAAUCGGAGAACAUGAAAACAAACAUUCAAAUACUCAUCAAAAUUUGUUGGAAUAAAUAGUAUCCUUACUUCCAUUUAUGAGAAUAACCAAAUUAAAUUAGACAAAGCAAAGUGAACAAUUACUCCUCAACCUCCAACAAAAGAGUGAACAAAAUUAUCUCAAGUGAAUAACAUGAAUUCAAUGAACUAAAAUCUAUUAUAGAUGUGUUUAAUAUGUUUUCCUGCUUUGAUAUGUUUCUUGUUUAGAUAACAAAAUUAAACUUAAUCCAAGAAUCUAAAUAAUCUGCACUUCUUCCAAUCAAUCUUCAUUUUAUAGAAUGUAAAUAAGGCAUUCAACAAGGAUAUACGAACAAAAAAAGAUCCAAUUCCAAAACGGUGAUUCAUUCCGUAAGCAGAUUCAAGAUUCACAUAUACAUCCAACCUGAAGCAAUCUAAAGCCCUAGACACCAAAUGAACUCAAAAAAUAUUUUUAAAAAAUUAAUCCACAACUUUAAGCCCUUUCCCCUCUAAUCCUUCUAGCCAAUUGAAUAUCCUUAGGCAUAAUCGUAACUCUCUUGGCAUGAAUCGCACAAAGAUUCGUGUCUUCGAACAAACCAACCAAGUAGGCCUCCGCGGCCUCCUGAAGUGCCGCCACGGCACUGCUCUGAAACCUCAGAUCGGUCUUGAAAUCCUGAGCAAUUUCGCGAACCAAACGUUGAAACGGAAGUUUCCGGAUCAAAAGCUCAGUGCUCUUCUGGUACUUCCUGAUUUCACGAAGUGCGACGGUUCCAGGACGGAAGCGAUGUGGCUUCUUCACUCCACCGGUAGCCGGAGCUGACUUCCUGGCUGCUUUGGUGGCGAGUUGCUUCCUCGGAGCCUUGCCUCCGGUAGAUUUUCUGGCUGUCUGCUUGGUGCGAGCCAUUCGGGGAAAUUGAUUUGACGAAAGUUGAAGAAUUUGGAAGGUUGAACUGAGAUUUUGGUUGUGAUGAUUAAGAAAUUGGGGGGUGAAGAAAUAUAUAAAGGGUUGUGUUAAAAGGAAAAGCGGGAAGCUUUGAAAUUUUCGGAUUUUGGUACGCGAUGGAUGGCCGUCGGAUGGACGGUUGAGAUUUUAUUUACUGGUUUAUUUAGGAUUCGAUCCGUGGCAAUGCUCAACACCCAAUAGUAUUUUCCCACGUGUAAAUAAUGUUUUUCGAUUUUUUGUUUUUUAUCUCAAUCUUAUUUUUUGGGUUACUAAAUUAAUAAUGAGUUCUUAAAUUAGUUUAUGCUGUCCGAUCAAAACUUCUAAGUAUUGAUUUGAUGGAUUAGAGUUUUUUUUUUUCUUUUAGCAAUUUGGGUUCGAAUCUUUUGGGUUAAAGUUCAAAAACAAAUUUCUUAUUUUAAACUAGCAGCUAAACUAUACAAAUAAUAAUGAUUGUCAUUUGUAUGUUGAUUUCGUUUCUUUAUCUAUUAGGAUCCGUGUUGAAUUGUGCAAGCAAUGCACUAGAUUGAUGUUAGAAAAAUGGUUUGACCAUAAAUUUGUAUUAUGGGAGAAAAAAGUUUAGAUACAUGACAGAAAAUUUGAGCAUCGGUAUGGAUUGUGUGGUGUUAUGAAUAACUUGACGGUAAGAAAUGGUAGUGUAUAUUAGGUCAAGGUGUAUAUUCAACAAAUUGAUUUGGUUGUUAAUAUAGUAGUAAAACACAAUAGACACUUGGGCACAUAAUUGUCUCUCUUCUUUUUUUUUUGAAACCCUAGAGCUAGUACUAUUGGGUUGGCACACCUUUCUUGCAAUUCAUGUUUAAAUGUAUCGUUCAUUCGAUUUCUCAGUAUUUUCCUCAUAGCUCGUUCGUUGAAAAUGUAUAUGGUUUUUAAUCAUAUUACUUUGAAGUCUUAUAGGUCUUUUUAGAUCUACUUGGCUCUUAAUAAAUCCUUCUGUCACCCUAAAUUUAUGUGUUUUGAUUUGUUUUCAGUAGGCUCUUCUCAUAUUUUUACAUGGACUCUUCUCUCUUCUAUUGCUCCCACUAAGACUUGUAAGCUUAGGCUCCAAUGAGCUAUUCGCUGAUUGCUACCUUUUAGACUCUCUCAAGCAUAGCUUUCCUAUGUUCCUCUCUUAGAGCCAUCUCUUUUACUCCCUCGGGCUUGCUCCUUUCCUAGAGCUCCUUAUAAGUUUUCUCCUACGUAUCCUCCUAUAGUCUCCUAGCCUCUCAUGCGUUCCUUUGAGCUCCACACCCUUCUCGUGAGUGAUUGAAGCUUUCGUUGGCUAACUUAAGUUUCAACAGGCUCUUCUCACCAGUCAUUUGAACUUUUAGACUCUCCACAUAGAUUAUGAUUCUCCGAGCUCUCAUGGACUUGUCUCUCAAAGACCUCUCUAGACUUUCUCCUUAGGUUUUAUAACUCCUAGGAUAAAGUUCUAUUUCUCCCGAGGUCCACAAAGCUCUCUUAGGCUAUUUCCACAUGUCCUUUUGAGCUCACUUUAAGCUCCACUAGAAUAUUCUCCAUCUCUUUAAAAAAUUUCACUAGACUCGACACUUUAAACUUCUAUAAAUUCUCAUAUGUUUCACUCGUUAGACAACUCAAAUUUUGUUUUAUGUUUUCAAACUUGAACAAAUAUUAUAUUUGAAAAACAUUUGAUGUGUUUCAAAAAACUGAAUUAUGAACUAUAUAAUCCAAAUAGUGUGAAGAUUUAAUAUUUGUAGGUCCGCUCGGUAGGAAACUUAGAACAACACAAAAACAAUUGAUUCAAUGAACAUGUUUUCAUACAUAUGGUUGAAAUCAUAUUAUAAUUUAGAAGUAUUUUUAAAAAUAGUAAAAUAAAUUAAAAUAUUUACUAGUUAUAGUAAACUUUUGAAUUAUAUCUGAUAGUUUUCUAUCACUAUAACAUAUUAAUGACUAUCAGCGAUAGAAUUUACUAUAGAUUGUAAAUAUUUUGUAAAAUUUACAACUUUUAAAAAAUUUCCUAUAAUUUACUGAUUCUUAUGGGUGCUUUGAUUCUAUAUCUAUGUACAACUAUAAAGCCAAUCAUAUACCCACCAGUACAAGGUCAACUUAAGGUUAACUAUAAACAAUUAUAAAUCAAUCCAUGAACAUGUAUUAUAAUAAAAUCUGAGAUAUUUGUAUUGAAAAUUUGUGCUUUUCUCAAUCUUAAAAUUGUAACAAUUUGCAACGUAUCAUCACCAAACACAUAUUUGUUCAAUUCAAUGAAUCUAAAAACAUAAAACGAGACUCAAAUUGUCAACCAAACAAGCUCACGUUUCAACUUUUGAAUCAUGUUAUAAGUUCAAUUGUUCUUGUUAAAUUAAAACAAAACAUGUAUUAUAUAACAUCAUCAUUAAUUACUACCUUGUGGAUCAUGGAGUAGUUUUACAACCAUCUUAUAGAUUAGAUAAGAAAUAAGUACUGAAGCACCGAUUUAUCUUAAGGCAUGUCCCUUUAUGGGUAUGAGCCGUAAGUAUGACUCACAUCCCCACACACAGAAAUCAACCAAACAAAAGAAAAUAUCAUAAAUAUCAUGUGGUGGACAAUGAAUUAAUGCCCAUUAUGAAAUAACACAAGUCUAUACAAAUGAAACUAAAGUAUCUCCACUAUAUGGCGUUCGUCUCUCGCCCAAAUACUCCUACAAAACUUUCAUAUUGGUAAACCCAUUACUAUUUUCCUUCCCUUUCUAAAACUGGAGAAUUUGCUACAACAAAAUCGGGGUUUUGAGUGUUUAAAGAAUUAGUUUAGAAUGCUGCAUCUUCUUACCCAGAUGCUCCGGCAGCCCUGCUUUUAUCAUCUUCUCCUUGCUCUUCCUUGGAGAAUUCCUCGAUUAGUUCACGCUGCCUUGGAGUAAGGGUCCUAAGGACGAAAACAUAGUGCUAUUUAUGUAAAAAUAUCAUCUACCAACAGAUGUGCAUGCUCUUUAAAUGCAUACAUCGCAUUGCCUUCUAUCAAAAAAUGAUAACAGACAAAACAAUCCUGCUUGUAUGCCAAACUAAGACUAUUUGCCAAAGAUGCAGAGAUGGGUAAAACUCACGUUGGUAUGCUGACAUUGAAGUGCACAUAUUGGUCGCCGAAUGAGUAAGAGUUCCUUGUUUUUAUCCCUGCAAGACAACGCCAAGAGAACGGGUUAGUAGUUAGUAAAAUACUUUCUGUGGAUCAUGAUAGUCAUCAUCGGCAUCAGCCAAACAUCUGAGGGAGGAUCUGAGUAUAAUUAAAACUAUAGGAAUGAGGCUACAUAGUCAAUAGUUAGAAAUCAAUAGGUUGAGUGGUUGUAGUUAGAAACUAACACAAAGGAAUUUGGCAAACGAAUUAGGAUUUAAUUUUGAUUUUUUAAUAUAAUUCUUGUCACUCUUCCAAGUACAAUUCUAGAACAUUUGAUAUCUUAACACGGCUCCCACUUGUUAAAACCAAAUAUGCUCCCUUUGACCACUUGGAUAACUCAAAAAGCUGUUAGAUAUUGGAAAUAAUCGUGGCCACGCAUCAGACUGAAAACACUCCUCUUCACAAUUUAAUCCUUGUCAAAGUAGUCGAUAUGACAUUUCAACAUUUCUCAUCGUUUAAUUUGAAAAAACAAAAAACAAAAACAAGACAGAAUGGCAUAAAUGGCUCUUUCCAAUGCCAUCGAGAAGCCUAAAGAAAUGAUAUUGCCGAAUAGAAAUUGGUGAUAUUACCUUUCUUCUUCAGAACAACCUUUUGCCCAGGUUGAGUACCAGGACGAACCUAAUAAUUAAAAGUUAAUAUAGUCAAUCUGCCAAUGAAUCCACAAGAAUGGUAAUCCAUGGUUAUCAAUAUUAACAUAUUGCCAAACCUUUAGGACAACAUCUCCCGUUAGAGUAGGAACCUGGACAGUGCCUCCCAAUAUAGCCUGCACGGAGACAGUAUAUCAAGUACAAGUGAAUUUAAAAUUUGAUACAAGCAAGACAGCAGAAGACUUGAACCAUAUAUAAUAAACAACCAUGUCAAAAUAUCAUGAAAUGUGAACAAUUUAAAUCUUCAAACGUAUCCCUGAUAGGUUACUUAGAAAUAACAUCCUUCAAGUUUUGGUAUAUCUUUUGAAGGUUUACAUUUUUAAAUUGAAAAAAAAAAACGAGCUUUCAUCUAGAGAAAUUAAAUAAAGUUCCUAAUUUUGUUGGCCAUUUCUCUUUUAAAAGAUGAUUGCCAUCCUAAAACACUAAAUGUUUUUGCCAUGCAAAAUUUUAAACCGGUCUGGCAGAAAAUUUCAAAGGCAACAGUUACUUGAAUCAACAAUCUUAUUUUAGACAAUUACAAUGUGGUUUAGGGUCAUAGAUGGAAUAAAAUUCAAGCCAAUCUAUCUGCAGCUACCAAAUAGCAAGAUUGUUGAUAAAAAGGAAGGAUAUAGCCACAGAAAAAUAACUCCAUAAAUUUGGUCACUUCUUGAUAUUCAGAAACAAAUUAAACAGAGAUUACCUGAGUGAUGCUUAAAACAGUAUCCACAUGAAUGUCCGAACCUUCUCUUUUGAAAACUGGGUCUUCACGAACCUUUUUUUCCCAAUAAACAGAAGAGACAUCACAUCAGCAAGAAAGGAAACCAUCAAUAUAAACUUGAGAGAAGGAACAUCUAAGUCACCUUAACAGUAACAUAUAGAUCACCAGGUUGGUUUCCCUCAGGAUCUGCACCUCCACUCCUAAAGACCUUCAUAGUUUCAUUAUCAUCUAUCCCUGUAUGAGCCAUUACGAACACCAAUCCAACAUUAUCCACAAGUGUGAAGGAAAAACAGUUUUCCUUUUCUAGGGAACAUCUAAAGAUUAAAUGUUGUAUGGAAACCAGAAAGACUUGCCUGGUAUUAUAUCCAACUUAACAGAUUUCAUUUUUCUCACAACUCGUUCCCCAUUACAAGACUUGCAGAAGUUCUGAAAUUUUUAGAGAAACAUAAAUAUCCAAGAUGGAUAGAUCAACUUUCUUUAUAUAUGUGAGCAUGUGUGUGUGAAAAAAGAAGGAUAAACAAAAGGUUGGGACAUACCGACACAAUUUUCCCACUUCCACCACAUUGCGUACAUGUAGUUUGCAUUCUAAAUGGACCAGUUUGCAUGUAUGUCUAGUGUUGAGCAUGAAAAACAAAAUGACUUAGAUCUCACAAGACCACAUUCAUAGAAAAAUGACUUGUGGAAGUAGUAUAACAGAUAAAACUAACCAUGCCUGAGCCCUUACACCGUCUACAUGUCUCAGGUCUUGUUCCGGGUGGAACACCACUUCCACCUGCAAAUCGCCAUACAUUUAUCAAAGACUUAAGAGACAGGAAACUAGAAGACAACAAUUCAUUAAUUGAAUAGAUUUGGCCUACCACAAGUGUCGCAUGCCACAGCUGCAUUAAAUGAUACAGUUUUUGAGCAUCCCUGGACAGCUUCCAUAAAGGAGAUCUCCAAAACAACCUACCAAAACAAAAACCUACAAUAAUAUGUGUGCUGCUUAAGAAUGAAGCCCAAUGCACAUAAACAGGUAGGAUUACCACCUUGAUAUCUUCUCCACCAAAGUUCUGCCGAAAGAUAUUAGAGAACUGGUCACCACAUGCAAAAAACACGUGAAAAAAAGGACCAUUGUAAGUUAUCAAAAGGAAAAAGGCAUGGAAAAAUAAGCUCCAUAGAAGAUUGGCUUACAUCAAAUUCCCUAAAAAUUCCACUAAACGGGUCAAAACCGCCUCCACCACCAGGGAAGCCACCAUGAUGGUCUUGUUGUGUAAAUGCUUCAUGCCCCACCUAUGACAUUGCAAUGGACAUAAAAUAUGUGCAGAGACGAGUUGAUGACUUCAUACUGAAUAUGCUGAACUUCGUGAGAAUUAAAACUAUAUAUCAACGCCAAAUAAAUAUCAACUCCAAUAUUGUUCCAAAAUCUUAAUAAACAGGUAGAAAUUUCAGAUAUGUGAAGGAAGACCUAGUGGUAUGCUUUCUGUAUCAGAAAGCAAAUAGGAAAAAUUAUUUGUGAGUAAGAACAAAUGAAGACUUCCAUCUCAACGAGGCUUAAUGAGGAGAAGCAUGUUUCACUGCACACUAAACUAAUAACUUUUAGAGCCCACCAACUAAACAUCCAUGUGCAUUUUUUCUCCUUCUUUUGAUUGAAACAAGAACAACUUUCAUCUAUGUGGUAUUUUAAAUGAUACCUCAUCAUAUUGUCGGCGCUUAUCCUCAUCUUUUAAAACCUGAGAUCAAGGUCAUAGAGAUUUUAAAAACCUGAAUUGUAUUUAUAUGUACAUUUAUGCAAAAACCAGAGAGGUAAAAAUGUAUAGAGAUUACCUCAUAAGCCUUACUGACUUCUUGAAACUUCUUUUCUGCAUCAGGGUCAUCCUUGUUUGUAUCUGGAUGAAGCUUUUUUGCCAGCUGCCAAAAAAGAAUGUUCUCCACUAUAAAUAAACUGCUCGGUCUUAACAGCAAAGUCACUUGAAAUAAUCUAUUCCUCUAAUUUGUAAUUAAAAUUCCGCUUACAGAGUGUCCUAUGAUCAAGACAAAUACUAUGCUUCAAAUUUCCUCUAGAAAGACACCAAUUGCAGAAACUUACCCCGUAGUAUGCUUUCUUUAUUUCUGAUGCAGUUGCAUUCUUGUUCACUCCAAGGGUAUCGUAAUAAUUGUUAGCAGACAUGUGUGCUGGUUCAAAAAAUACAAAAACGAUACAAACUUAAAAUUAUUCAUGACACCUGUGUAGAGUAAAAUAAUAAUAAUAAUAAUAAUAUCUGCAUACACAACUCAGAACUUGAUCAUGAACACCCCUCUGCUAUAGAUGCAACGGAGAAAAUCAAUUGAAGGGAAUAGGAUAGAAAGUAAAUAAAUAUAUCCUGAAUGGUGCACAGUCUCAUACCAGUUCCAUGAAUGAAUUUUGCUUCUCCAUAGUUGGCACCAAGAACUCCUAACCGAAACCAGUUCUUUUUAUUAACUGCACCAAAAAACAGAGAUAAAAUAAACACAACCGACGAAGAUUUAAUUCCAAUUCCAUAGAGAACGUACACAUACACCUAUCUUACUAACAAAUAUUCAACUAAAACCCACAUAUUGCAAUAUCUUUCACCAUUAACACGAGGCAACAGGAACGAAUAAAGAUCAGAAAUUAUCAAUGGGUAAAAGAAAGAACAAAUACAGACCAUUCUUCGAAGCGCAAUUUCCAAAACAAGCAAAUUUAUUACAAACCCCAGAAUGGAAUUGCCUACAACUCCCUCGAAAAACAGCAUCGGUUACCUACAAAGAACCAAUCCCCAAAUAAAAAACAGAAAUUUAUUACAACAAGGGCAUGGGUACAAGAGGAAAUAACAUAAAAUCGACAUACAGAGGUGGAUGAUUCGCGAGGGAGAUGGGGUGUGAAAGAACGACGAGCCAGCAAACGAAUGAGCUUGAGGCCAUCGGAGCGAACCAUUUGGGGCUAAGAAACACAGAAACUCAGUGAAGUGAAAUGGGGAGUUGGAAGAUGGGGGAAUUGAUGAAAUGAUAAACCCUGUAAAAACCCUAAUUGGGUGAAGAAAAAAAAGCGGAAGGUUCUAGCAGGUGAGGAUGGAAAGGAAGAGGAAAAUCGAUUUUUUUUUUUUUUUUUUUUCCCCUUUCUUUUCUUUACCUUAGAAAAUAUAAAAGCUUCAAUGGUAGAGAGGAAUCCCCCAUGUUCCUCGGAAGCACUUUUAAAAGACACGUUACCAUUCUUUUUCUUUUUUUUCUUUUUUUAACUAUUUUAGGUUUUUCUAUUUCUUACUAUUAAUUAUUUUAAAUGAUAAAUUUGGUUGUAUAUUUAUACAAAUAUCAUUGUUCUAUUUCAAAACAUUUUUUUAUAUAUUUAAAGAAAACAUAUUUCACAUUUAUAUAUUAUUUUAUUAUUUUGAAUAGCAAGUUCACGGCCUUGGAUUCACUACUUAUGUGUAUAACAAUCCUUACAUUCCUAGAUCCCAUUUGAUCAAGUUUAUUUGGUCUCCGGCUAAGACCAUGGUUUUAAAGUCUUUCCUAGUUGGUCACUUUAUUAUUGAAUGACAUUGAUUGAAUAUGGAUCUGCUUUAACUAAUUCUCACGAAUGAGGUACUUCAUCUUACAGUUGGAUUACUUAGCGAAAAUUUGUUGACAAAUGGUGCUUGAAUGCAACAUUUUGAUUUUAAGGGUACUAUUACGUCAAAAGUGGUUAUCGAUUGCAUGUGGAACAACAAUAUUUUGUUGGAUCCUAUGAUAUUUUGCAAACGAGGAUUUGCCUUGUAGAACGACGAAUGAUUGUUUCAAACAACCAUAAACAAUUAUUCAUGUCCUCUUUUGGUGUUGUAGAUUGCAAAACGUUUGCUAUCUUUUGCUUCUUGUAGAGUAACCUUCCACGUCGGAUUUGGCACUUAGUGUAUUGGUUGUUGAGACCUUUAGAAUGAUCAUAAUGAUUUUUGUUAAUGUGGGACUGUGGCUGAAGCGAGGGUAAAUGCAAAUGAUUGUUUAGUUAUUUGGAGGAAUAUACGUUGUUGGAUGAGGGGGUCCUAAAGUUGACGUUUCUAAUGUGUGAUAGUUGUGUGGGAUUCCACCUCGCUCUUUGUUGGAUUUAUGUUAAUGUUUCAUACUUGUCUUAUAAGAGUCACUGAAAUUGGUACGAUGGUCAUUGACGACCAUGGUGUUGUUAUGAUGAGCUUGUAUAAUUUCAUUUCCAUCCCUUUGUACCACUAAUUGUCAAAUCGAUGGCAAUUAAAUAUUGAUAGUCGUGUUCUCAUAUUACCUCUUUGAUGUUUCCUUAACUAGUGAGAGCAAGAUUUCUAUCGCAUAAGUUGGUGUUUUGGUAUAUGAUACCAUUGACGUUUAUAUUCCUUGUAGCCCACAUAACAUUAGUGAUCUUUGAAUGUAAUUGUUGUUUAUACAUAUAUAUAUCUAUAUAUAAUUUAGAUCUACGUUCAAUACUAAAUUAUAUUUUUUUUUCCAAUUGAAAAUUAAGUAUGAUGAUAUUAUCAAAUAUAUUUUCUCUCCUUUUAACAAAUGUAAAUUUAUCUAUCCAUUCAUAAAAAACUUUGAAAAUAGAAAAAAUACGUACAAGGAUAUUUAUUUCUUUAUCAACGUGAAAAUGAUAAAAUUGCCCACAAUCAUCCAUAAAAAUCAUUGAAAGAUUUAAAAUUUAAUGAUAUUUUUCAAACAUCGAGCCCAAGGAGAAAUUUUCCUAUAAAAUUCUAUACAUCAUUGAAUUGAUUACUAAACAUAAAAAUGAUGAACUAUUAAAAUAAAAUAAAGUGCAACAUCCCAUUAAAAUAGAUAGCAUCGAAAUGUUAACCAAUAUGAGUAUAGCUAUAGUCAAAUCCCACACGUAAACUAUUUUUACAAUAUUCUAAAUUCACUAUCAUAUUUAGAAUAGUUUUCAAAAUAAUGUCUUCCUAUCUAGUCAAAUAUCAUAAUAAAUUCGAAGACCUGAAUCUGUAAUGAAAUUUUGGAACCCGAAAACAGAAAUUAUGAGCCAUGGAAUCUCUAUUUAAAAUCAAAAUUUGGGGCUAGGCAAUUACUACAAGUCAUACCAAGUUCAGAUGAACAUAAAAACAAAGUGAUAACUUUUGUAAAAAAGAAACGAUAAUAAGAAGAAGAAAAAAAACAAAUCCCUUAUCUAAAAGACAAGCUCAUGAGGUUUCAUUCCAGCCUUAAGAGAAAAUCUUGCUCCCAAGUAUGCCUUCAACUCCGGAACCGCCUCAAUAGACUUUAUCAAUGGUGUAUCCACAGCUUUCUGGUCAUCCUUCUUCUCAGCUGGGAGAGCACUUUUCUCCUAUAGUAAUAAGUUGAAGUCCAAAAAUUAGAACAGCAAAAAGAUAAACAACUAAAACAAUGAAAGACAGAGUUGUAAAUCCAGUUCUUCCUACCUCUUUCUCUGCCUCGAAAAAUUCCCCUUCACCCUUUUUCUUCUUCUUCUGGGCUUCCUUGGAAAAGUACUUGUCGUCAAACUUUUCGGAGUUCACUCCAGAGAUGUCAACUUUGGUGGAGGUUGCAAUCACGUACGAUUGAUUCACCCGUCUCAGAGGAACACCAUUAAUCUUAAAAGGCCCUAUAGUCAUAAAUACUUAACCUUUAGUAUAAAAAGAUUCAACUUUGCAAUAAAUAGUUGAGGAACAGCAUUCAUGUAUUUCUGAUUGCAAGUGGGCAAUGGAAUAAAUUGUUCAGCCGAUGCAUACUACAUAUCUGACGUAUUAAGGAGUGAUUUUGAAAUAGUUAGUCACAUUUGUGGUGUUCAAAAUCACUCAAUUCAAUGUUCAAUAGUACACUUGUAGACACAUUUUAUCAUACUAUUAAAAUUGAUUAUGAAUUAUUACAAUCAUAAUUUUAGUGAUACUGAAAAUGAAAGUAGUGAUUUUAACUAAGCAUGCAACAAAGUGAGGAAAAGUUUAGCAAUUCUAAUAUACAGCAAACCGAACUAGACCACACUGAAACUUUCAAAAUGCAAACAUUUUAAUAGAAGAACUGAUUCGAGUUGGUAGGAAAACCAGGUACAAAUACAUACGAGUGAAAAGAGACAAACGAGACCCAACAGAUAACAGCAAAUUAUAACAUAACCUGGAUCAAAACCAGAUAAAUACAAUAUAACAGCAAGAAACAUCCACCAUUAUUUCACAAGGAACCAACUCACCAGUAACCAGAAGCAACCCAGAUGGCAGCUGUUUCAAAAACACAACUCUCUUCCCCUUGAACCUCCCAGCAAGAAUAAUCAACACAGUACCAGGAGUAAUGCUAGCUCUAAAAUCCGAAAAAAGGUUUGAGUUAAAAAAAACGUCGCAGAAGCAGAUUCAACAAAUUUUGAAAAUAAUAUAAACCUCAACGCACAAAAAAAAAAAAAAAAAAACGAAAACGGAGCAAUCAUACCUAAGCUUCGUGAGCUUGGCCUUGCGCUUGUUAACAAGGGGCUUCUUCACAUCAUCGGCAGGGUAAAACUUUGGCGGUUUCUCGGCUGGGGCAGCAGCUUUCGGCUGUGCGUCGUGACGAGGGAACACGCCGCCAUUUUUAGCCUUGAUGGCCCAAAGACCACGCUUGUGAUACAUCUUAGACCUCGAGUACUUGCCGACUCCUCGGAUGAGAUCCGGGUUUCUGGUAACUCGCGGGGUUUUGGGCGCCAUUGACGUUGCUCUGGUGCUGCUGUACACUUCUUCUUCGCAACGAGAGAAAGAGGAGGGUUGCCAGAAACCCUAAUUCACAAAGAAUGUUAUUUAUAUAUUAGAAUUUUUUUUGGAAUAAAAUGAAGCCUAACUCAAAGGUCCGAUAGUUUGGGCUUUGGGUCCGACCCAACUAAAACCAUUAUAUAGUAUUUGUAUAUUUAUUACAUUCUUUUAAUUAUUAGUCAUUAUAACAAGUUAUUACUAAUUAUAAAAUAAAAUAUAUAUAAAAUUAACGUACAAAUUUUUUUUUUCUUAAUUCUAAUAUGUCGGUUUAUUUAGAAAAUUAAAAUUGAGAAAUCACAAAUAAAAUAAACUAAAAUUAGGGGUAAAAACUUUUAGAAUUGCUUAUUGAAAUGUUGAGUUUCAAUAAAUAAAAUUAUGAAAUGUUUAUAUAUGAAUAAUUUUUCUUAAAAAUUAAAAAACGUGAAACAUCUUUCUCGCCCUUUUUCUUUUACCUUUCUCUUGCUUUUUUUUUCAAACUUUUGGAAUUUCUUAGAAUUUUGUAUCCAUGGUUGAACAAACCUCUUUUCUUGUUGUUUUUAUUAUUAUUAUUAUUAUUGUUAUACCUGUUAGUUUUUUAUGUCUACAAUUUUUAGUUAAGAUUAGAUUAAAGAGAUUGUGUACAGAUGAAGAAAAAAAAUUAUAUAUUGUUCAUCACUACCACCAAGGAAAAGAGAAAAUAAAAAAAUAAUUGAAUAAUAAUUAGGGUAAUGUAAAAUAUGUUUUACAUUUAUCACGUAACAAUUUAUAGUCGUUUGGAUGAUAUACAACAAAUAAAUAAGUGGAUGACAAAAAUGGAAGAACUAAUAUAUGUUAUAGGAGAAAAAGAUCACUUAAAAACAGACACGUUCAAUAUGGUGGUUGAAAGUAAUUAAAAGAAGAAGAACAGUAACAUUUGAUCAAAGUAAAGAGUCAAUUCUAGCAGGCAUUCUCCUAAGAAAGUUUUGAGGGAAAGAAGGUAAAGUGAUCCUAAAUAUUGGGUGUCUCAUUGCAUAAAGACCCAUUAAAAGGAUAAGAACAUUGAAAGGAAUUACAUACAUUCCCACAGCUGCAACAAGGCAAAACAUCAUAAAAAGUGCAGUUGCUCUUGGAUCCCUCCAACUUAGAACCCCUUCAAUCCUCUCCCCUUGUGUUGCUAAAUCCCCCAUCAACACUUGCAUUCUCCCCCCGAUAUAUCGAAGCUUGUCGUAUCGUCUUCUCAAUGCUCCUCCAUUCGCUCUACUCGGGAAUGUGUCAAAUUCCUCUUCUAAGUCAUCAGGUGUCACCGCAUAAGCGUACGAAAGCUCAGUAUCCAUGUGUGGUGGAUGCCUCGGCCUAUAACGGUACCGCCACACACCCAUCAAGAAACCGUAAAAAAAGAUAGUGGGAAAGAUUAGUUUAGGAAAGAACACAACGAGUAUAAACAUUAUGUGAACUGCAACGGUUAAGGUAGGAUUUGUCCAACUUUGUACGCAACCAAACCAUUUGCAAAACAAAACCAACCACUUGAAAAGCGCUGCAAUUCGGUUGAAGUUGGCUUUGGAUUUUCUUAUGCUCCAUAAGUGUGAGUCUGCAUCCAAUAUGUAGUAGAUGACCUCCCUCCUUAGCUUUGGCUCAGCACGUGUUAGUCGGUCUGAAAGAAUGUUGAAGCAUUGAUCUCUCAAGUGCUCUAUUUGGUAAAUGGACAAAGGGAGAGUGUAAUGCAUUUCAGGUAGCAUAGGUUGAGCAUAAGUUUGCAACAUGUUGAUAAAAGAUAAGCAAGAAAACCUCACUGCCAAUUGAAUCUCACCCAUCUUCUUCACACCACAAGCUUGCAAUGCCACAAGAGGGUAAGAAUGUGUGUAAACUCGAUUGGUCUCGAGUGUGGACAAUCGAAUCCGAACCUUCCCAAUGCGACUAUCCUUUCCUAUAUCCCCUCCUUGGAGAUAACCAUUAUCAAACACUCCAAUAGUUAAAACAGUACACGGAUCAUAAACCUCAAAAAUGUAUUGCUCAUUCCAUUUGGGAGCAGAAGUAUUAGUAAUUGUUCUAGUCCUCACCCAUUUCGGCCCGUAUUUUGCUACGCAAAAUGCGUCAGUUUGAUUCUCUCUUUGUUUCAUUGGCGACAACCCCGAAGCACUCAGGAUACCUAACUCCAAAACACCAAUGCACUUCGGCCAUAACAACUUCGACGUUGCUCGAAGAUCACUCGCAUAUUGAAUCUGCUCAUGAAGAACAUGAUACCCUCCAUCUAAAGAGACUCUCAAAUGCAACUUGCUUGCAAACUUCACUUCCUUUGCUUCGUCCCCUGCCUUGAAUCCAUUGGGCCUCUCUAGAUUGUACCAUCUGUUCUCAACAGAUGAACUAUCAUUUCUCACUUCAAUUUUCUCUAGAGGAAUAUAACAAACACCUAGAACAUCAAUUUGAUUAGGGCCAAUCUUAUCAACCACACGAAGCUCUAAAUUCUUCUCAAAUGGCUCUGCUGCAACAAGCAACAUGUCUUGAUUCCAUACUGGAUUCAAAUUCUUACUCUCUGAUAUUCUGCUUAUCAUUUGUAUAAUCCCAAGUCUUGCUUCAAUCAAAACCUCUGGCUUUCUGUUCUUGUCAUUGAUUACUAAAUCUUGAGCUUCAAUUAUGUUCACUCUCAAGUACCACAACCUUGGUGAUUGGUAAACUUUCGAUUGUGUGUUGAUGACACCGUCGCCACUGACCGAUGCUGCAUCAGAAUGCCACGCUAUUGAGUAAUGGUUGUCGGCUUGAGUCCCCAUCCAAACAGAGAGCAUCAACUCACCCCUGACUCGACUGCCAUUGCUGUUUCGAUUUUCGAGUUUAUACCAUUGCGAAGCCAACUGACUGUCGGGUGGUAUCCUCAAUGGAACGUCGGCAAUGCUCAUAACAAUGCUGCCGAUCUCUGCAUUGGCCCCUGACUUAUUAAACAAAGAGAUUUCAACGUCAGUUGUCUGAAUUCGAUCUUUCACAAAGGCAAAAACAGUACCCCAUUCUGGAUUUGGUGUUUUCUCAAAAGCUUUCGUGGUCCCUCUGUAGUUUCCAAGCUUGAUUUCAACAUAAGGGUCACAAGUUUCCGUUAAAUCUCUUGCUCUUUCGACUUUGACGUAAAGAAACAACAUUUGUUCGACAAGAUCAAAAGCAGUACUAAUGCCAACAGAUGAUUUUCCCCCAUUAAUGUUGGGGGAGGUCUCUUUGAGAGCGAAAUCUUCAUGUUUCUUAUGUGGGUUUGGUUUAUUCUUGUUCUCCAUAAAUCACAACGACCUGCAAACACAAGGAUACAUUCAAAUUCCCAUGUUAUCAGAGAGAAAACAGAGGAUUUUGUUUCACUUUAGUUGAACUACACGGAGGAAUCACCAUUAAAAGUUUGGUGGGUUCGAAGGAUCUGACUCAGAUCAUCUGAAACAUUGAAGGAGAUAGAUGAAAAUGAAAAUCUUUUGGAGAUGGUAACUCAUGGAGAAGGUGAAGCAAAGAGAGAAAGAGGGAAUGACAGGGAGGACAAUUCGGAAAAUAAAUCACGAUAUUAAAAAUAAUAUAGUGUUAAUUUUGUUUUUUAAAAAAUUAACAUCUCUAUUUGAAAAUGCUAAAUUUAAUUAACGAUAUUUUUAAAAAAUAAUAAUAUCAAUAUUAGAAUAUUCGAAAUGGACAUGUUUUUAAGUAAUAAUAAUAUACUCUUCAAAAAAUAACUUUUGAAAUAUUUAAGUACUUCAAAAAAAAAAAAAAAAAAAACUUAGCAUUGAAAAUUAUUGAUUAAUUAGUGAAAGAAACAACGGUUACAAAUUACCAUAUUUAUCAAACCUUUGGAUUGCAGGAUUUAUUUCAAUUAAUUUUUUUAUAUGGUAAUUUAAAAAUAUCAAAAUGUAAUUAAUUUCAAUUGUAAUUUUCAAAUAAAACUGUGCAUUAAAAAAUUGUAUAAACUCAAAUUUUGUGUAUGUGUAUCAUAUCAGUUUAUACAAUGAAUUUGUGCUAUGAGACGUGUAAUUUCAUUAAUUAAAAUACAGAACUAAGCAAAUCAAUUUUAGGUUAGUUGUAGUAUUUUAUUAAAAUAUUUAUUAGGAUAUUUUAAAUUUUCUCUUGUAUGGAAAUUUCCAAAAAAACUCACUCCCAAAUUCAACCAAAUUUAAUGUUAGUGAUUCAUUUUCUCAAAAACAAAAAUAGUAAUAAUGAUAAUAAUUGGAAGUAUAUUUGGUUUUUAAAAAAAAAAAAUCAAAAAACAACACUCCAAAUGGUCAAUUUUCAAAAACAAUAAAUUGUCAUUUUUUUGUUCGUUUUCAAAUUCACAAUCAAACCUAAAAUUUGAUUCAAAUUUGAAUGUUGAAUCUAAAUUUCAAAUUGUAAAUUGGAGUCAAAGCUAUUUUCAAAUAUAUUAAAAAAUAAAGAAUUUGUUUUUCUUUUUUACUAAAUUAUUUGGUUUUCAAAAUAAUUUUUGGAUCCUAACGAUUAUUUCAAUCUUCAUUCUAUAACGUCCUAUUUUAUUUUUUUAAAUCAAGAAUAUACCCAAAUAAACAGUUAUACAUAUAAACUCGUGUUCUAAUAAUAGUGAAUAGUACCCUUCUAAAAAAAUAAAAGUGAAUAGUAUGCUUGGAAAAAAUUCGAAAAAAACAUAGUGAAUAAUAUGCAAACACAUAUUCUAAAUAAUAUAUCUAAGUUUUUCUUUUUUCUAUUCGAUCAGACACAUACUCCAUAAUAAACAAGAUCGAUACUUCGAAAACAUUAUGCUAAAAAAAGAUUCAAAAAAGUUUUAUGCACAAACGUAUGAACUCAACGUACCUGAAGAACUUUGUGGAGAGAUUAGAAUCAAAGUGAUGAAGAAGAAUAGAUAAUUGUUGUAAAUCGUAAAUGAUGGAAAAAAUUAAGCAAAUAUUUGUGAUUAUUCUCUUACCAAUUUAUUUGCUUUGAUUUUCAAAUUUUAUAGUUUCCUUUUUUAAUUUCCAAACAUCUCUCCAUAUAUAUAUAUAUUUCCAAAUUUAUCAAGAUUUGAGGAUUUAUUUCAAUUAUCCUUUUUUUUUCUUCUAAUUAUUAACCAAAUUUAAGAACAACGGUUAUAAAUGGUAAUUCUUAAAAUAUCAAAACGUAAGAUUUUAAAUUGCAAAUGAAGUAUUAAUUAAAACCUUAAUAAGGAUUUAUUUCAUUUAGUUAAAGGUCAAAUUUAAGUAAGGUCAUGACUAUGUAUUAGUAAUUAAAUUUUGGGUAAUCAUAAUUAAAUUUAAUUGUUAGAUUAAUCGUAAUUGACCACAAUCUUAAAUAUAAUUAAGUUGCAAAUGUAACUAAAUUGUGUUGUGAAUUUUUUUGAAUUUAACGGUGUCAAAAUGAAGUAUUUUCUUAAAGGAUAAUCAUAAUCCAAAUGAUAAUCGAUGAUUCAUCAUCCUUCGUUCUUCGAUUGGAUUGCGGCUUUUGUUUACUAAUUUGGACGUAGAUUCAUGUAUCACAUAUAUAUGUAAAAUAUAAGUAAACAACAACAUUGUUUGACUAUAUUUUUUUAAUAAAUUUAAUUUAUGAAAUUUGAACAUUGUAUUUGUAUUAGUUAAUUUAAAUACUGUGAGUACAGUUUAUAAUAUUUGGUAAUUUAACUAUUUCUCUCGAAAAAUAAACUUUCCAAGCAUAUUGAUCUUAUUGGAUGAUUGAUCUCUGGGCUUGUUGUUUUUCUCAGAGGAUCGGUCAUUUGCUCGCUGAACUUGUGAACAAUUUGAACCACCAUUUGGCUUGGACUAGCUUUACCACUUCAAGAGAGUUAAAUUUUUUGUCACGUGAACUUUAUAACUUAAGAGCUCUAGAGCUACGGUCUCUAAAAUUUGAGUGAUUUAAAGCUUCAAUAUUCAAAAUUUAAAUGUUUCAGUUUUCAAAUUUAAAGAAUAUUUAAUUUUUUAAGUCUUCAAAUUUUUAGAUAAAUGAUAAUAUUAAGAUUGAUCAUAACUUUAAAAUCUUAAGAGCUUGAGAGGUUGAAUAUUUAAAUCUACAUAGUCUUAGUAGUUGUCAUUAUUUUUUAAAAAGAUAUUUAGAGAAAAUACCUAAAUUUUUUUAAAAACCUAUAUUUUUAGGACAAUUAUAACCUUAUCUAUAUUAUUAGAAAGUAAAUUCAAAUUAAUUCCUUAAUUACAUUAUAUUCAAUUUAUUAUAUAAAUGAUAACUUCCUUAUUUAUCAUAUCAAUUUAUGUAUAACUUGAUGGGGGUAGUUAAUUGAAAAUGGUUUAAUGGUUUAUAUAAAACGAUAUAAAAGAAAAAGAAAAAAAAAAGAAGAGAUGGCACGUGCGGACAGCACAAGAUUAGCUCAAUCUCUUCUUCUUCUUCUUGUCGACUGGAUAAACCUCUGGCCACGCCUCAGGGUUCUGUGCUUUCUUCUCUCUGUUCUCUCAAGCUCUCCACAACAAAAAUGGCUUCCAUCUCAUCCAUAUUAACCCCUACCAAUCUCAUUCACAGCUCCAAAAAACCCACAGAUAUCCCACAAACUUUAUCCUCUCAAUUUCUCCGACCAAUCUCCUUUCACCCUCCUCAUAUCCUUCUCCGCAUCUCUCCCGUCGCCGCCAAACCCCCCACCAGACUUUUCGCCGUUGCAGAAGUGGCGACGCAGGGUGCCAGUUCGGUGGCGGAAAGGAAAUUGUACAUUGGGAAUAUACCUAGAAAUGUGAAUAACGAGGAGCUUACUCGGAUUGUCCAAGAACAUGGGGCUGUGGAGAAGGCUGAAGUGAGUAAUUUCUGCUUGGAUUUGUUAUUUUUUCUUUUAUUUUUUCAUUUUCCUCUUUUGGGUAUCCUGAAAUUUGUUUUAUACCAUGCGUCGUAUUGUUGAUUUUGAGGCUUGCUGGAUUCUCCAGGGUUUAUACGUGCUUAGUUUGUUUUGAACCUUUGCAUUGAUUGAGUUUACUUGUUUAUAAAUUCAUCAAAACUGCUGAAUGUAGUUUGAUUUUGGGCUGAAUUUGUCUACCCUUUACUUCCUGAAUGUUGUUUGGACAAGCUAUUGAGGGUUCUUUUACAUUUGAAGUUGGAUUGGUUCUUGUCAUCUGUAAUUUGAGCUCUAGAAUACGAUAAGAUAUACUUCGAUUCUUGCUAAAGUAACUCUAGUUUAAAUCUACGAGUGCAUGUCAAUUACUGUUAAAACUGUGCUUUCUUUGGGCGAGAUAACACUUGGUAAUUUAUGUUUAUUGCUUAUUUGUAAUUUCCUUUCCAAAAUGUGCUCUCCAACUUGAAUAUCUUAUGCCAUAUGGUCAUUUUGAAAAACUAGCUAAUUUUUUCUCUUGAACUCCGAGGCAAAGCACUUGAACCGAACGGUCCUUUAAAUCAAGUAGCUAGCAGCAACAUUUUUAUUUUUUUUAAUGAAUUAGCUCUUGCAAUCUAUUGAUUUCAAGAAUUCUAGCAUCCCUUUGUUCUUAAUCUUCACUUGGUAACUGUUGGUGUUGGCCUUAAGAAUCUUAUUUUGUUCCAUUUCCAGGUCAUGUAUGACAAGUACUCUGGGAGAAGCCGCAGAUUCGCCUUUGUUACUAUGAAAACAGUUGAAGACGCAAAUGCAGCAAUUGAGAAACUGAAUGAGACAGUGAGUUCAUUUUAAUAUCUAGUUAUCUACAAAGUGCAACAACAAUUGAAAAGAAAAGAGAACGAAGGAAUUGUUUCUUACCGUUGACUAGAUGGAUUGAUUAUACUGACAAUGUUUGUUUAAUGGCAGGAAGUCGGAGGACGUAAAAUUAAAGUCAACAUAACAGAAAAACCUGUUGUUAAUACAGUUGACAUGUCAUUUCUUCAGGCAGAGGAAUCUCAAUUCAUUGACAGUCCUUACAAAGUAUAUGUAGGAAACAUUUCGAGUACAGUUUCUACAGAAACACUCAAAAACUUCUUUUCUGAGAAGGGUAAAGUUCUCAGUGCGAAGGUUUCACGGGUUCCAGGUACCUCGAAAUCAAGUGGCUACGGUUUUGUUACCUUCUCUUCAGAGGAGGAAGUCGACGCUGCCAUUUCAUCUUUUAACAAUGCUGUAAGUAACUUGCUUCGGUUCUCAUAUGAUUCAUAUCUAAAUGCUGUGGCUCCGAUAUCGGUCUAUGCACACUCCACCUCACUUUUUAGUCCCUAUCACAUAAUGUCCCAUGGUUUAAGUUUCAUGCAUUGGCAACACUCUUGCUCCUGUUUAGUUGGCACUGUCUAGUAGAGAAUUCCUUGUUUCACUUUAUGUUCUUCAGUAACAGUUUGGUUAAAAUACGCAGCCCUCAAAAGAUUUGGAAGAAAAUUAUAAUUUAGUCUCUAUAGUUAAAUAGUUUACAAGUUAUUUAACUACUACAAUGACUAUAUAAUUUUAUUAAAUGAUGACUUUAUAAUUUUAUUAAAUAAUUGGUCAAGGGUUCAAUCUGUAGUGGCCACUUAUCUAGAAAUUAAUUUUCUACAAGUUUUUUUUUUACAUCCAAAUGUUAUAAAGUUGAUCCGGUAAAACCAUAAGGACGGAACAAUCAUGGAUAUAAAAAUAAUAUAAAAUAACAAUUUACCAAAUGAUUGAGACUAUUUAUGUGAAUUUAUCAAACUAUAAGGAUAGAAACUUUUAAAACCAUAAGUACUAAAUUCUAACUUUCUUCAACCUACUUAAUAUGGCCAUAUUUAUAGGUAACUAAACAUUUCUAAUCACAAACUUGCUUGAAACUUUUCUUAAACUAGUUGACUGAUAGGCAUUACCAACUUGAAUGUCUAAUUGAUAUUACCUUAUGAAUGGAUGAGCUACGCUCUGAAAGAUGAUGGCAUUUUAACCUGAAACAUCUAAUACAUCUUUUGUUUUCGAAUUCUUACGGGAAGCUUGUGUUUCUGAUAUGUUUUUCUUUGCUGCAGUUGUUGGAAGGCCAACCAAUCCGUGUAAACAAGGCCUAAAUUUUGUAGGGUUCUAUGUAACAAAAAUGUUUGGAAGUUUCACUUUUGCCUCUUGGAAUGAAAUUGAUGAACAGCAGAGGGCAGUUUUUUCACACAAUUUCUGUAUUCAUAUCACUAAUGUAUAAUCUUGUUUAUUUUUCUGUUUAAGCAUCAAAUCUUAACUUAGCUAGACUUUAAAAUGCAAAUCUUUGAUUACAUAUCAAAAUAUUCUGAAAAUCAUUUUCAAAUUAAGUAAUCAUUCAUUUAUAACAUAUAUAACUGAGUACUCAAGACUAAUCAAAUUAAAACGCUACAAAAGCUAUCACAAUCAACAUUAACUUUCUACAACCAAUAGCAACAAAACAUAUAUAGUAUGCAAAUUUAUAUUAUUUGGUAAAGAUGUCAAGUUUAAAUCACUAUAAAAAGAUGUCAAUUGAAAAUUCAAACUAACACAAACUCAAAUAUAUUAGAAUUCAAAAUUCAAAACUAAAGAAAAAAAAGAAAAAGAAAACCCACCAUGAAUAAAUUGCGGUAUAAUUUUGAAAUGCAUUACUAUAGUAAUUUGGGAGACUGACUAGUAAUUACUUAUCGAGGAAGCAAUUUCCAGCCAAACAAUUUUCACAGCAUUUUGAAUAAAAGUACUUCAGGAACAAUAAAUUAUUAAAAAUGUAAUAAAAUAACAAUAAUACAGCUUUCAAUUUCAUUAAAGUCGUCCCAAAUUCCCAAAUUUGAUCGUAAGAUAUGAGAGGUUCUUCCCAGAAAUCUUCCCGUUUUUUCAACCCUCGGAUCUCCUCUGUGGCCGUCGACGUCAAGGACCGGCACCACCGCCACCAAGAGCUCCAAUUGUUGUGGCUUAUUUUCCGGUUGAUUCGAUUCGUUGCGAGACCGACGACGGUGAUCUCUGAUCAACUGCCGUUGUUUUUGUUUUAUUUUAUUUUUACAGUCCCUAAAGUAAAUGAUCAAUAAAGAUACAGUUGAGUUCAUUUAUAUAAUCUUUGAAUUUGUAAGCUUAAAUUUACAAUUAUAAAUGUUUAAAUUGUAUAUUUGGGUGAAAUUUCUGAUGAUUUCUUAUUUUAUCAAUAAGUUAUUUAAUAAAAGUUAUUCUUUUAUUAUAUUGUAUAAUAAUAUUUCUAAUAAAUUAAGAUUGGUAUGAAUUAUAAUUGAUAAUGUUAUAUGACUAAAUACAUAAUUAAAUUGAAGAAUUAAAAACUUAUUAGGAUCCUAAUAAGAUUAGGAAUCCUAAACUUAUUAGUAGGAUCGAAAACCUAAACUUAUUAGUAGGAUCCUAAUAAGAUUAGGAAACCUAAGCUUAUUAGGAAACCUCACAAACCCUAUAAAUAAGACUUUGAGGUCUUAUUUUAAAUACAACAAAGACAUAAAUUCAUUAUACACAAAGGGAGUAUAGAGAAUUUUGGUGAUACAAAUUGGAGAAUUGUUCUUAAAUUCAACAUAAAGGUAUGUUUAUUUUAAUUGUUUAUGCACGAUUUGUUAUAUCGUAAAGUGAGAUAAAAGAAAGAAAGUUUUAUGUUAAAUUUAAGUUUAGUAUAAGUAAUAUGAAAAAGAAAAUUAAGAAGUAGGGGUAGAGACAAUUUAAGCAUUAGACUAAGUAGUGGAAUUGAGGUAUAUAUUAAAUGGAGUGAUUCUACCACCUAGGGCACCUAUGAUAACCAAUUCCAACUGUUGGAAACCUGAUUUAAUUUAUGAAAUUUUACUAAAAGAAUGUGAUGCAAAGAUAAAGGGGAGAGAGAAAAAGUUAAAAUAAGAAGAUAAUAAAGAAUGACUAUGAGUGAUAACUAUAUCACUAUGACAUAAUGAAAAUGAAAGAGGAGAAUAAAUUUGGACCAUAUGAAAGGUGACAGAUAUGGGCCAAUGGCUGCUUAGAACUUGAGAUCCACGGCUCCUUCCUUGUAGGAUAAGCAAUUAAUUCACCUCAAAUCCCACACUGCUUCUUCUUUCAUCUUCUUCCUACCUCUAACUGUCUAUAAAUAAUUCCAACAUUUAAAUCAUUAAUUUCCACAACCAAAAUCAACUUCUACAGGAUCUUCAAUAUGGGAUUCUCGCAAAUGUUCAGCUCCUGUUUUUCCCCCUCCAGAGUCUCCGACGAUCGCAAAGAUGAUCUUCCCGGGUCAAAGAAACCCAAACGACCCGUGAAGAAGGAGCGUAAGGAAGCUCCGAUUGUAGUUUCUUAUUUUCCUGUUGGUUCAUAUGCUUCUCGCUUGUAGCUGGUGAUCAAGACGCUUGCUGUGAAUUGGUUUCAAAAUAGGAAAGAAAGUACUCCAUGAGGGGGAAAAAAAAAAGAAAGCCAAUUCUAGAUUAUAUUAUUUUCGUCAUUAGAAUAUAUAUGAACAUAUGAUAUUCAAAGAAAUUUAUAUAUAUAUAUAUUGUGAUUUGCAAAUAUUGUUAGAUUAUAAAAUACUCUUUGGCAAGACAUUACCGAUCUGUCCUAUUAAUUACAAGGUGCAAAAUCUCUAAAACGUCCGAUCAAACGCACACCACAUGAACAUAAUGUUUUCUUGUUUUCUUUUUCGAAUAUUUACUCAAUAAUGAUAAUGACCACUUUUUUUUUAAAAGGAAAAAGAAUUAAGAAAGUAAUGAUAAUAUGAAUUGUUACCCAACUGAUAAAUUAAU